Molecule: long non-coding RNA, 93596 nt
Filed under: Sorghum bicolor (sorghum)
Lineage: Eukaryota; Viridiplantae; Streptophyta; Magnoliopsida; Poales; Poaceae
Description: long non-coding RNA (SBIC_LNC002649)
Rfam family: Plant small nucleolar RNA R71 (bases 12684-12790)
Source: RNAcentral
GGCGCCCUGCCUCUGGCCCCGUUCGGCCUCCGCCUCCUUCCCGUGGCUUCUGGAGUCUUCUAGAUGUAAGAUAAUUGCGCGGCACGUUAAUAUCUCUAUGUAAUCCCGACGUGUGGGCCUUUCUUCCUUAUUUCCUGAUAACCCCCUGCAGAAAUAGACAAACACCAAAACUCGUGGAAUUCUGUCAGAUAAAACCCUAAGUUUAGAUGUUGGUUGUAUUUGGAUCCUUUUCUUUAUUUAUUUGAUAAUUAAAUUUGAUACUUAAGGACCGUCAACAAACUCCCCCAAGCUUACCUCUUGCUCAUCCCUGAGCAAGGAUAGACUCAGCAAUGGAUCAGAAGUUGUUGCAAUAUCUUAAAAAUUUGACUGUACACAUGCUUUUAAAUAAGAUCUCAUCUCUGAGUUAGAGUAAACUGUCAAGAACUAAAACUUACUUACUUUACCUUUCACCAUGGGACUUGUAACCGUCACUUCUGUCUUGAGUAGUUAAAAGAUAGAACAGUCUAGCCAAGUGCCAUGUCUCUUAUUCUUGAUCAGCUAUAGCUCUGGAGUUUUUGCAGUUUUUCAAAUAAAACUCAGAGAUUCCUUGUAUGACUCUCUAAAUCUCUCUUUUAUGGUAUUUCUGGAUCCUUACCAAGGCAUGAUGGUAUAUGCCUUCUCUCAAGAUAUGUGGUAUUUGUGGUAUAAGGCAUAGUGACAUUGCCUUCUCUCUCACCCUACUCUAAUAAGGCUUUAAUAUCUGGAGCUCAUAGGUGGGAGACAGCUAAUACAUACUUACAAGACAUUUAUUGCAUAGUCAAACCAUGGAUCCAGAGAAACAAGUCAAUAAGUCAAAUCAAGAUGUGCAUGUGUGGCGAAUGAAUGGUGUAUGGUGAUGAUGGUGAUAACAAUGGUGGAAGUCUAAUUCUACUUUUGCUCUUUUGAGGGGAUACAUACCUUCCUUGCUUUUUGAAACUUUAUGAGGAGAAUGAGAUGCUCUAUCUUUCAUUUUUUUUCUUUCCUCUCAGGUGGGUAUCCUGUACCCCUAAUUCUACUGUCGGACACUUGUCCAUUUUUACCUCUCGUCUCACUCUUUUUUUUCUUUCGAGGUUCCAGGCACUUGCCCCUUUUUAUUUCCUCGUUUAUUAUUAUUUUUUCUUCUUUUCUCUCUCUUUUCUUUUUUUUCAGAGCACUCAUCUCUUGAGAUAAUAUAGCAAGUGGUAGUAGCAAGAUAACUUGAGCAUUUAUUUCACAAGAGAAAACAGAAAUAUUUUUGGCUAUUCUCUCCCGGAUUAGGAGUAGAAUAUUUUUGGGUGGUUCUGGAGAUGGAAAUGGGUGGAUAUAUGUGGAUGAUACUUCCGGAGUAGAAGUAGCAUAUAUGAGUGAACGUGCAAGUGAAAUCUUGAUUUAACCACAUGACAAGCUCCUAAGGGUCUACACAGCUUGACCACACUCAAUGCUCAUAAGCAGUAAAUAGUACAUGUAUGGUUCAUAGUCUAAUAAGCAUGUAUAUAUGGCUGUGGUAGGAAUUUAAACUUUCAUCAUACAGGAACUCAUCAUGCAAUAUUUUAAAGAUUUUUUAAAGAUAAAAUUCUCCAGAAUUGUAGCAUCUCUAGGAACAGAUAAACAGCAGCUCAACCUUCCCAUAUCAUAUCCGUUAACAGCUUAGAUUUCAGAUCAAGUUUUCAUCCCACAAGUUUAGAUCUAGAGCAAGCUUUAAAUUAUAACAGUUAUGUCUAAACUUGAGAGAGAACUUCAAAUUUGCAAAUUAGGCAGAGCAACUAUUCAUCAUAUCCAUGCUAGAGUUUUAUUAUUAAGAUUCAGAUUAGCAUAGCCACUUUAUUUAUUUAUUAAACACACUAAGCAAAAGAUAUAUAUAAGCACAAAAUCUUUAUUUGGUUUUUCAUAGUUUAUGUAUUUUAAUAUUCUAAUAUAAUAUAAGUAUAAAGAUAGGUAGAAAUACUUAGCGAGAUAAAUGGGGGUGCUCUCCCCCAAGCUGAAUUUUGACGUAAUUUAUCUUGAUGUAGCUAGCAGGUGGUAGAGGUGUAUUUGAAAGUCAGUAACAUUCUGACAGCGAUUAGAAUGUCCUCCGUCUGCUAGUCUUCUUGAUUCUUAAAUUCUGUGGAGCUCAAAUAGACAACAAAGCUUGUGGAACUAAUUACGUGUUAGCAUAAAUAUCUAGCCUUCAUCAUGUUGAGCUUCCUUAAUAAAUAUUACUCCCUAUUUUUAUAUUUUUAUUUUAUAAAGCAGAAAAGAAAUAUUUAUUUUAUUUUUAUGCCACCACAGUGAAGGUACUUAUGGGUUUUAUGCCACUCGUAUACUCACAUGGGGCUUAGUAUUUUUUAACAUUUUUAUUUUCUUUUCAAGAUAGCAUGAUUAACUAAUAAUCUAUUUAAGGAAAGUAAAUAAUUAAAGGGAAAAGGGAAUGCAGAAAGGAUAAAUAUGGAUAACUACUGAUCUUACCUUUCGGCGAGGGUUCAAUGUUUUAAGUCUUCUUAACAAGACUUCUCACCGUGUUCAUUCUUCAGGUGCGUCAUUUGAUUCAGGUGCGGACCUUGAUGUCUGCACCUCUUCGUUUGCCUAGCAGUUCGAAGUGCGGCGUUGGCAGUGUCCUGCUCACUGUGUUUGUGCUCGUAGAUCCAGGUUCUUUAAUUGGUAGAGUCUGAGAGUUAUAAAACUCCUCCGUGUUUUGCUCAAAGUGUACCUGCUCAUAGAGACAAGGCAGAGAUCAAGUGCAUGGGUCCUGUUGGUGGAAAACACCAACAGAACCUAAAGUGUAUUUGUUCUUCUCUAACCCUAAGCAUAGUGAGCAAGACAAAGUUGAUGGAUGAAAAGUUCAUGAGUGUAGCACUUAUAACAUUUGUCAGAUCAGAUCGCUCAACCUUAUGAAAAGAUAAUCUAUCUAUGUAUAUGUAUUUUUCUUUAUAUCUCUCAAUGAUUGAAUGUGUAACAUUUUAGCUCAUAUGAUUAGGAGUGUGGGAUCAUGGAGGUAGUACUAAGAACAAGGAUUAAAGGACUAAACAUGUUGAAUCAGUUGGGUUGGUUAAUCUAGAGUUGUAAAUUAUAUAUGUUUGUCUCUUUUAUUUAUAUGAACGCCAGAACCAAGGAGAAGCUUAUAAAAGUGAUAGUCAAGUACCUUAAGAUGUUACCUUGCUUGAAGAGUGAUGGUACAGUAUCACCUUGUGGAAGCUUUCCUUUCUUAGCGGUUGUGCAUCAUGUUUGUGGCACCCUCCAUGGAUCAUCUCUCUAUGAUGAAUGAGCUAUGUCCUUCUUGUGCAAAUUGUUAAACUUCAUGUGUCACUCUCUUCGUCUCUGAUGUGAGUUUAUCUCAGGACUUCCCAAAUCGAUAUUGAAAGUUUUUCUGCAGGGGUUAGUCCGACAAAAAUAUACCAAUGUCUACACAAGCAGUUUUUAGUUCAAUAACCGAACUAGACUCCAUGUCUAAUCAGAUUAAGGAAGGCUGUUUAACCUAAGCACCAUGCUUAAUUUAAAAGCCAAUAGAAGUAUGUGCAGUACUUCCAAACUAACACUUACUAGUAAAUAGACAAAGGUAACAUGACAGCAUUUAUAGAGAUCUACUCAAGUGGAGAUGAAGUAGUGUGAUUAGUAUUUAACAAAUUGAGCAUGUCUUAAAGGUAGGGACAACCAACAUAGCAACAUGGCAAAGGAUGUUUUUAUGUAAAGUACUCCCCCAAGCUUGAAUUUUGCAGAAUUCAAGUUUGGAUGAAUUUAAUUCAGUGUUGCAUGAUGAUUGGUUGGACAUACCUUGUACUUGCUUGUUAUUCAUCUGAUCUUCUUGUUCCAAUCCUGGAAAGGUUAGUGACAAGAAUACCCGAAGGAAUAUUUUUACAAUUAUCCUUAUAUGCUCAAUACACAAGGUAAUGUUGCAAAUAAUUAAAAACUCAUGUUACGAUCUGAUCAGCGCUUAUUUUAGGACACCAAGCUUGUCCUUGGGAAACCAUCAAUUUAUGUCGGCGAAGUGGUUUCCCUUCCAACGCUGACCUAAAUCAAGAUCAACUCAACGAGAUCUGCAAUAUUUAUUAUAGACAUAUGCAUCGACAACCGCCCUUUUAAAGUUUUUAUAAAUAGAAAGGAAGAGGGGGUUGGAGAUCUCAAAUGUGGUGAUGUUGGAGAGACCAAUAGAUUGGGAAGAUGUUGCAUAUGAGCAUGGAGUAAACAAAGUGGCUAUGAAAUAAAUUCCAUGCUCAUUAAUGUUAUCUUCGUCUCCAAUCUGAAUGUUCAGAGUUCCUCUUGGAUUGGUUUCACUUAUGUCCUCUUCUAUAGUUGGAUGAAUCCCAUCUUCAAAGGGAGUCAAGAACUCACCAUUUGAAAUUGAACCAAAGUCAAAAUUCAUUAAGGCUUCUUCCUUAUCCAUCCAUUCUACACAUUCUAGCCAUUUAGAACUUGUGAUCAGGAAAGGGGAGGUGAUAGAAUCUUCUCUAUGGCUUACUCUCCUUCUAUGGCAUUACUUGACAUGACAUCCUUAUGGUCUUCAUGACUCCUAUGGUUUGGUCGUCUUGAUGGAUUGCUAGGAUCAUCAUGAGACUUAAAAGGAGAGGGAUAAGAGGGGUCUCUAAGGUCAAGGAUGGACUUAGAAUUUGUGAACAUGGAAGGGGAGGAGAUAGAAUUUUCUAUAUGGUUUAGCUCUCCUUCACUUGAUAUGUCAUCCUCAACUUCUUCAUAAUAGGAACAAGGACAUUCUCUAAGAGAAACAUUAUUGCAAAGAUUUGAAUUAUCCCUGCUUGAAGGUCUCUUAUGGAACCAGAAGUCUAAACCAUCAGUAUCUGAAAGAUUUAAGGUCGGAAUUCCUUCCUCCCUUGGAGAAUUUUGGGGUAUUGAUGGUUUAGGAUCGAUAGCUAGAGUUUGGGUUUGAAGUGGUUGUAAUGUGGCUAUCGAAACUUCUUCUUCUUGUCUAGGAACUGGUUCUUUCUCUUUCUCAGGGAUAUAAAAGCUAGGAGACAUUCCGCUUAAUAAAUCAAUCAAAUUCCAAGCUUCACUAGCAGGUAGGUGAUAGAAGGAUCCUCUAGAGGCUGUAUUCAAGGUUUGCUUAUUUGCCCCACUAAGGCCUUCAAAAAAGUGAAUUAGAAGAACUUCUUCUGGAAUAGAAAGCUUUGGGCCAGUGAGAGUAAGCUUAAUAAAGCGGUCCCAUGAUUUGCUAAGAGAUUCUUUUUCCAGUUGUUUGAAAGAAAUAAUCUCACGCCGAAGUUCUGCCACUUCAGAGAUUGGAAAAUAUUUUAAAAGAAAACUAUUAUGUAACUCCUUCCAAUCUCCAUGAACACUCCCUACUUUGAGUUUGUACCAAUGACUAGCUUUUCCCGUUAAAGAGAACGGAAAGAGCUUCCAUUUGAGGGUCUCAUCGGACAUUCCUUCUAUGCGAAGGAGGUCACAGACUCGAUAAAACUCUCUUAGGUGUGUGUAUGGGUUUUCCUCACCUUCUUCUGAGAAAGGUUGUUUUUGAACAAAUUCUAUGUAUUCGGGGUCUAUCUCAAAACUAGAUGCUAUGAUAGGCUUUGAAGAUUUUGAUGGUUCGAGAUGUGUGCCCGUAGGUCUAUGAAAUUCAUAGAUAGACAUGUUUGAAUUCAUGAUAGACCAGAGAUCAAGGAUUAGAUAAGAAGAAAGAUUAGUAGAGAUGAGGCAAAGGAUAAAAGGAAAAUAUUUUUUUAUUUUUUUAGAAAAUGAUUAAGCUAGUUCGUAGUCAACUCAGCAACCGUUUUCCCGGCAACGGCGCCAAAAAUGCUUGUUGACACUUGCUAACACCACUUGAAUACUAGGUUGUCAUCCCCAGCAUGGCACUAGAGUGUACUAUGGUAUUUAUACGCACACAGAUAAUCCGCAAGCGCACGGAUACCGUUGAAGCUUUUACCCGGUUAAAGGUUUUAUCAUAUCCACAGGGAAACAGGAGAACUGAUCUACGCUCUAAUUUAACCAAGAUAAGUAAAUAGGUGUAAAUGGAAAGAUGGUAGAAUCGAAUAAGAACAAUAUUAAAGGUAAGAUAACAGUGAGUGAUAAUAUGGGAAUAGAGAAUAGAGCAAUUCUAGUAUAUGGGCGAUGGUAGCAGAAUAGAGAGGGUAACUAUGGUUUCUCUACUUCAAAGGGAUAUGUCUAUGUCUGGGACGAACCACGUGAUAAGAGUACACCACAAAGGAUGCUUAUCCUUAGGCCGAUAAACCCUACCCGUCCUGCUAACGAGAGGUGGACUACAGAGGACCAACGUAACUGUCACCUACGCGGCCUACCACACGAUCCAGCUAGACAGGGGAUAUCCACAAGUAAUCUAGAUCUAAGAACCUCGCUUACACCUAUACUACAACUCUCACCUAUAGCGUCCUAUAGAUUAGAAUACUCAAAAGAGUUGUGAACCAGAACAUACAUAAUUAGUAAUUGCAUAAUGAAUUAGAAGUAGAUUACCAGAGUCAUCCCAUGAGCAAGCUUGAUUAGAGCUUGAUCAUGACGAAGUACAACCGGAGGAAGAACCGACAGGCCGGCCUCUCCUCUAAUCCUCCUUCGCUCUUCAUCUUGCUACUAUCUAGAUCUACUCUAAGUUAGAGAAGAGAGGAGAGCUCUCAUCUCUAAACCCUAGCUUUUGCUCUGUCUAUGAAUAAUGAAUAAUGAUCAAGGGGUGCCUCCUCCAGGGGCCAGGGGGUCUGGUUAUAUAGUCCCCUCAAGUGAACCUGGGCCGUCGGAUCAAACCGACAUUGAUUGAACGGUUAUCCUUCAUCCUUUAGGUCGGUGGAGCUUGGUCCGCAAAGUUGGACGUGUUUGACUACAACUCCUGGGCGGGCGCCCAAGAAAGGAGGGCGGGCACCCUGCCUCUGGCCCCGUUCGGCCUCCGCCUCCUUCCCGUGGCUUCUAGAGUCUUCUAGAUGUAAGAUAAUUGCGCGGCACAUUAAUAUCUCUAUGUAAUCCCGACGUGUAGGCCUUUCUUCCGUAUUUCCUGAUAACCCCCUACAGAAAUAGACAAACACCAAAACUCGUGGAAUUCUGUCAGAUAAAACCCUAAGUUUAGAUGUUGGUUGUAUUUGGAUCCUUUUCUUUAUUUAUUUGAUAAUUAAAUUUGAUACUUAAGGACCGUCAACAAUGACAUGUGGGCCUUCUCUCCCUAUUUUCUGAUAAACCCCUGCAAAAAUAGAUAAACACCAAAACUCGUGGAAUUCUGUCAGAUAAAACCCAAAUUCUAGAUGUUUGUUUCAUAUUGAUCCUUUUUCAUGUUUAUUUGAUUAUUAAUUUUAGUACUUAAGGACCGUCAACAAACUCCCCCAAGCUUACCCUUUGCUCGUCCCUGAGCAAAUAGCUAAACUCAGACGGAUCAGGAGUUGCUUCGAUGUUUUCUUUCCUGACAGGCACACAUGCUUUUACAUAAAAAUUCUUCCAGAUUAAAGUGAAGUGUUAUGAAGUUUAGUACCUGCACUUAAAUCUUAAGUAAUCGAAAGACAAAAUAGUUAAUUCAAGCACUAUCCCUCCUGUCUAUACUUCACCUUUGUUCUAGAGUUUUUCAUAAGUUUUUAAAAUAAAACUCAGAGUUCCUAGCAAUUAUUCUCUCAAGUCUCUCUAUAUGUAGUAUUUGUGGAUCCUUACCAUAAUGUCACUUGCCUAUAGCUAAUAGAAUAAUUAUGUGGAGCUCAUAGGAGUGCAAACAGCUCAUACAUAUGUUGUCUAAUCGAGCCAUGGAUCCAAAGGAACUCAGCAUAUAAUUAAAUCAAGAUGUGCAUGUGUGAUGGAGUAAAUGAUAGUGAUGGUGAAAAUCCAUAAGUGAUAAUAAAAUUUACUUCUCAUUGCUCCUCAUAUUGCUAUCUCUCCUCUUCUUUGAUCUUUGCUUUGGGAGAACAUGGGCUAUCUUUUUUUUUCUUUUUCAGGUGGGUAGUGGAUACCCCUAAUUCUACUGUCAGACACUUGUCCAUUUUUUCCGCUCAAGUGGGCAUCUUUGUACCCCUAAUUCUACUUCGGACACUUGUCCAUUUUUACCUCUCGUCUCACUCUUUUUCUUUUAUCGAGGUUCCGGGCACUUGCCCCUUUUUAUUUCCUCGUAUAUUUUUUUUUUGCAUAACCCAUGCCUCUUCUGCAUUGAAUCUUUUUAGAGAGAGAGAAUAACAAUAUUCGGGACAGUGAGUGAUAAUAUUUUUAGCAAUUUUAAUGAUUGAUAAUGAAUGCUGUGGUAGAUGCGUGCAAGUGAAUAUCUUAAUUUAACCACAUGAAAAGCUCCUAAGGAUCAACAUAGCUCGAUCAAACUCAAUGUGAAUAUAGUAAAGAUGUUAUAGCAAGUAUGGCUGUGGUAGGUAGUUUGUUAUGCUAGGAACUCAUCAUGUGAUUUGUAAGUUUUCAAAAAUAAAUCUCUAGAACUUGGUGUAGUAGGAACAAGAUAAACAGUAGCUCAACUUUAUAUCAUGCCUUUCUCUUACCUAGACUUUAGUUUAUGCUUUCCCAAAGAUAGUAAUUUUAGUUUUAGUAAUUCCUGGAAGAAUUCUAAUAUAAAAGCUAGGUACUUGUAAGUGAGCAAACAGAGCAACUAUUCAUCAUUUCCAUCAUGUAUAUUUUUGGUCUUUUUAUUUUUCUAGAGAUUAAACUUAGCAGGAAGAUAAAGCACACUUAUCUACACACUCUUUUUAUUUUGUUUUCAUGUUUAUAAAGUGCAGUAAAUUAAAGCAAGAAAAUAUUUAUUUGGUUUUCUAAGCUUUUCCUUUUAAGAUAAAUUAAAUACUAAGACAGAAUAGAAUAAAUAAGAAGAGCAAAUAAAAACUUACUUGAUAAAUUUGGGAGGAACUCCCCCAAGCUGGAUGUUGACGUCGGUCUUACCCGAUGUUCCAGAAUCGCAUCAUGGUUGUGAUGUUGUCGUUCAUUGUUGUUGUAUCUUGUCUCAGCUCUUCUACUGUAGCGGCAUGGUCCUGGUUCCAUUUUGUUGCUCUUCCAGGAGUCUUCCAUGUUCUGCUUGCGUGUUCUGGAUGUUGAGGAGGGUGUUGUCGGUACGAGUAAAGAAAGCACCGGCCUCUUGAUAGUAGUCAUCCGUGAAGGCGUAGGAGGCGUCGGAGUAUCGUCCUGCAUCAAAUUGGGGUGGAGGUCUGGAUCCUGAAGCUCCAUAUGGAUCAGUGGAGUACCUGCCCGUAUGAAAAGGCGGGUUUGUCCACUGAUGAUCUUGGCUCUCCGGCCAUGUCUCCUCUGUUGGCUCUUGUGGUUGUGCAUAUCGAGCCCAUGGGUCUCGAAGGACUCGUGGAUUGUAAUCGCAAUAAUGCAGGUGCGCUGCUUCUUCUGGUCCAGGGUCAGCUCCAUACCAAGUGCGUUCUCGGUGAGUGGUUAUCCUUUCAGAUGCCACUCGCUGUGGAGUUCUCUGGUUCACUGGUGUUGCUGCAAUCUCAAUCAAAAAGUUUUGCACAGAGUAGAGGCCAAGGUUCGGGUUAGGUAACCGAAUCUUGCCUUUAUCAUCAUAUAGCAUAUACAUUAUAUUCCCCUCUUUCUUUAACAUCCGAGCUUGUCUAAAUGUGUCAUAGCCAUGGUAAAUUCUUAAUUCUUGUAUGAAGUCCAAUGAUGAGUUUUCUAGUAAGUGAAGAUUAGUGGCUAGACGAGUGAUAAGUGAAGUACAUCCUACUGGUCCCUGAAGACUAGGUAUACUAAGCCAAUGUGAAACUAAUAGUAUAACAGGUGAAGUAGGUACUUUACUAAUAGCAGCAUAUAAAAGUUGUAAAUCUCCUACUCUUACUUUCCUAAUAUCGUCACGAUAGAAAAGAUUGUACCCAAGCCAUUUGUGGAACAUCCUAAGAGUGGGGUGUUCCAUGUCACUGGUUCGGGCUUGACUGUAAAAAUUAUCUCUAGAUAUUUCUCUCCAAAACUGGUGUCUCUCAAAAUUGGGUAAAUCGGAGUCAAUGUUCAGGAUGCAUCUUGAAGAGAAACCAAGAUGGUCGCUUAGCUCUCUCCAGGAUAACAUAAUUUCCUGUUUGAACAUCCGAAAAACAAUUCCCCCCUCAUAGUAUUGUAAAGUACAAAGAAAUUCGAGGGUGAGAAGACGAGAACCCAGCUCAGUUAUAUUCCAAAAAUUUGUCCAACCCAUCAUUUGAAAAAUUAAGUCAAAUUCAGUGUCCAUACCUGUUUCUCGUAGUAGGAUUGGAUCAAUAGUAGGGGUGUGAAUGAAAUCUUUGUUCUUCAGUUGCUGAUAGACUUCCUUCUCUCUUCGGGUCUUCAGUCCUAGGUCUCCUAUCUUGAGAAGGACCUUGACUUGCUGGCCUGAUGAAGAUGAUGGAGCUUGUGUGGGUGUCGGGUCGACGCUCAUCUCUGAUGGUUGUGAGGAGUGUCGGGAUGAACUCCUUGUACCAAUGUUCUUGAGAGCCUUCCCUGCAUUCUUCACCUUCUUAAACAUCCUGCAAACAAAAGUUGGCAAAAACACAACUGGUGGAAAAUGUGAGAUAAAAUGUUAGUGGUCAGCUGUCCGGAGUGUCAGUAGUCCAGGGGUUAAUCGUUCAAGACAAGUUUCUAUUUUGGUAGAGCCUCCCCCUAAACAACUUUUACUUCCGCUUAGACAGCGGGAUCACUACUUGCUAGGUGAUAAACACUCUCUCAAAAGAACUCCAACUUUCUCGUCCACUCUCCUCUUUCUCUCUACUCUCUUCUCUUCACUACAAAAGCUCCUUCUCGGGAGACUGAGAUUUAUGUGGUUUUCUGAAGUGUUUGUGUGAAGAGAAGGAAAGCUGGAGGUGGCCUUUUAUAGGCUGAGCAGGGGACAGGGCGGGCGCCCAAGGUAGGUGGGCGGGCGCCCACCCCUGGUGUCCAUCCUGGGUGUGCUUCCUCCACUUGCUUCCUUGCUUUGAUCUCACGCAAAAUAAUGUUGUGUUGGUGGUGGUUGGACGGUGGAAAGAUGUCAGGUGAGUGGAAAUAUAUUGGUGGAUGAAAUUAUGUGAUGGGAUGUAUGUGAGGUGAAGUGUAUGACAUGUGGGACCCAAAGAGUGUGGGUCAUGCUUCUAGAAGACUAAUAUGAUUAAAUAUAAUGCAGGAAAAUCUAUGAGAAUCGAAACUUAAUGAAAAUGAUAAUGGAAAAUAUUUUUGUGCCUCCACAAUAAUAAAUAUGGGUUGUUACACACCACAAAUAUUAUUUAUAUGGGGCUUUUUGAUUAUUAUAAUAAUGCUAUGACUAAUGCAAGAAUUAAUUAUGCAAGAAUGAGAAAAUUGAUAAUGCGGAUAAAUACCGAUUUACCUCCCGGUGAGGGUUUGGGAUUUUUAGGUCCCCCAAGCUGGACCUCCAAAUCUUUUAAUCUUCUGAGUUACCUUCCUCUGGAGAUGGUGUCUCCAGUGGUUCUUCUUGAACUUCCUUCACUGUAGAGUCUCUCUCUGGUCUGGGUUUGAAUGUGAAGUGUUCUUCUUGACCGUUUAUGUUGAACUUGAUUUCCCCCUUCCCGACAUCAAUGUGGGCAUUGGCAGUGCUCAGAAAUGGCCUUCCAAGGAUGAUGGACACUUUCGAGUCAGGACUCAUGUCCAGUACUACGAAGUCUACUGGCACCAGGAAAUCUCUGAUCUUGACUGGAAUGUUCUCGGCGAUGCCCAACGGGUGUCGAACCGAUUGAUCCGCUAGUUGUAGGCACAUUGAUGUUGGUUCUAAGGUCGCAUGCUCAAGCUUUUUGUAGACUGAUACUGGCAUCACACUGACACUUGCUCCGAGAUCACAAAGUGCAUUGUUGAAGUGUUGGUUUCCGAUCGAGCAAUCUAUAGUGGGACAUCCGGGAUCUUCCUUCUUCUUUGGUGGCUUAUUGAGGAUGGCCGCACUACAUUCUUCCGUCAGCUUGAUAACCUCAGUGGUGGGCAGUGGUCUCUUCUUGUUAAGAAUAUCUCUGAUGUACUUUGCAUAUGUAGGUACCUGUAUGGCAUCAGCAGAGGUAUGUUGACAUAUAAUUUCUGAACGACCUCUACAAACUUACCAAACUGCUCAUCCGACUGCAGUCCUCUGUUUCUUCUGGGAAAUGGCAAAUAGUUGGUGUCGUAAAAAUCUUUCCUCAUUUCUCCAGUUCUUGGUGGUUGGAGCAGAUCUUCUGCUUCAACUGGGCUUUCUUCUUCUAUUACUGCUGGUUGCACUGGUGCUGAUGUUCUUUGUUUCUCUUUUGGGUAUGGUGGAUCUCUGGUAGCUUUACCUCCUCUAGUAGUUAUAUUCUUUACCUGCUCAAUGUUAGUAGCAACAGGCAGUGCAGCAGCUAACUUUAUUAAUUUAAGCUCUACCCUUUUAUUAAGAGUGUUUUGCUCAUCAAAGGCAGUUAGUAGAAAAUCCAUUUUAUUGUGUAUAUCUUUUAGAGAUGAUUCAUUUGUAUCUAGCCUUUGUUUAACUUCAUCAUUAAUUUUGGUUUGUUGAGCAAUUAUCUCUUUUAAUGAAAGUUGCUUGACAGUAUUAUCUGAAUUCAUACCUUUGCUAUUGGGUUGACUCGAAGUUGGUUGAUAUUUGUAUGCUGUCUCAAUGGCCCUUUGAUCUUCUUUGAACUUGGCCCUCUGGUCAAUCCAAUGGAGCAAAUUUUCCAUCUUAGUUGAUAAUGCAUUUACUUCUUCUGGUAUUCCUUCAGUUUGAUGACAAUGUUGAGCUUUAUCUUGGAACCAGCUUUGGUUUUCUGCUAUCUUAUCCAAAAGUAUCUCUGCUUUUCCAGUUGUAAGCUCCAAGAAUGAUCCUUUAGCAGAUGCAUCUAGGCACUCACGAGCCUUCUGGGUUAAUCCAUGGUAGAAGGUCUGCAUAAGUAACCAUGUGGCCAUUCCAUGGUGAGGACAAUCUGAUAUGUAUCCUUGAAAACGCUCCCAUGCUUCUGAAAUGGCUUCUGUCUUCUGCUGUUGGAAACUGACAAUAUUUCCUCUUAAGGCAGUUGUUUUGCCUAUAGGGAAAAACUUUGAUAGAAAGGCAUCUGACAAGUUCGUCCAGUUGUUGAUGUUAUCUUGAUGAGUGUAGAACCACUUCCUCGCUUUUCCUUCUAAUGAGAAUGGAAAAAGGCGAAGCAGUAUGACGUCUUUGUCAACUCCGUUGAUGUGGAUUGUGCUUCCAAUCUCUAAGAAAUUCUGCAAGUGUGCACUGGCAUCUUCAUGUGCCUUUCCACUGAAUUGUGUAGCUUGUACCAAAUUGAUGAGGCUUGACUUGAGCUCAAACUCAGGUAUUCCUUCUUCUACUGCAAAUCUUGGACCAGUUGGAAUGUUCUCAAGACUUGGAGCAGAGAAUUCUUGCAAGGUCUUUUGUGCCAUAGCUUCAGCAAUUGGUAACUAGCUUCUUCUUCUCUUGAUUGCUUUGGUUCUGAUGAUGAAGAGUUGAAUGUACCCAAAGUCAAUCCUGUUAUACCCUGUAUAAAAAUAUAAACAUAGAAAAACAACAGGGUGAACCUGCCAAAGCAGUGGUGCCUUGUUAUGAUUUCUCACUUAGUAGCUGUUUUAUGCAAUUAUUUCUCUAUAGUCUAGUCUAAAAUUUUAUAUGAAUAACCUUGAUUGAUUUUCUGGCUUUCCUCAAUAUUACUCCUUUGUUCCCCUUUUACAACUUAUUCCUGAGACUCAUAUAAUUCUUAUAAUUCUAACAUGUCUCCGUAACUCCCCGGCAACGGUGCCAGAAAUGCUUGUUGACACUAGCUAACACCACUUAGAUACUAGGUUGUCAUCCCUAGCAUGGCGCCAGAGUGUACAAAGGUAUUUAUAAAUGUAAAGGCUCUCUAGAAAAUAAUCUAUUCUAUCCGCAAGCGCACAGAUAAAACACCUCAUUGUAGCAUUUCACCAGGAUAAGUAUUCCAGGUAUCGUUAUUUAUAAUUUUGCUUAGGGAUCUGAGGAAGAUGGAAUUAAAUCAAAGGGGGCAAAAUCUAUCAAGGCAUAGACUAGAGAUAAACUUGCAAGAACAUGAUUACUAAUGAGAAACUCGUCACACAGUCACUUACUUAAGCAGGGGGUAAACCAUAAAGAUAAUGAUAAUAAAGUAUAAGUUCAUGGGAUAAAGAGCACAGCGAUUAGAAAAUAGACUACUCCUCAUAUAUGUAGGUGAUGUCGGAUUAGCUAGAGAAUGUAUUCUAAGUUAUCUACUAACUACUAAGUCAUAAUCUACUCUAGUUAUCUACAAGAUCAUAUAUAGCAUAAAAGACUCUUCAUUCAUGUAUAAGGAACAUUGAUAAAGUAAAUCAGAACAUCGCAUGACUUACUCCACAAUACCGGUUCUGCCUGUCCUAUCAACGGAGGGUGGACUAUAUAAGAAUCAACGAAGCUGUCACUAUCGCGAACUACCACACGACUCGGCCAAUAGGAUACAUUUGCAGAUAAAUAACAUCUAAGCACCACGCUCACAUGUGAUCUAUCACCUAACUCCCUCGCGACAAGAGCUAAGCGCUUUGCAAACUUAUACAUAAACUCAUUAUCAAUUAGAACUAUAUCAAAUAUAGAACUAGAGCAAACUAAGAACAUAAUAAUUAGGGACAUAAUGCAAUUAGAACAAUAGAAUUAGAGAAAGAUAUGAAUAAUACCAAUCUUUAUUACCGAAGAUCCGAAUCCAGAGCGUAGUGCUCUACUUCUCUAAUUGCUAUCUAAUCAAACCUCUAAACUUGAAGGAUUAGGGAGUAGCUAAUUCUAAUUCUCUGUGGGAGAGAAGCUCUAAACCCUAACUUUGAUGGCUACCUCUGAAUAAUGAUUUCUCCUCCUCUCCUCCAGGGGCCAGGGGGUCUGGUUUUAUAGUCCCCUCAAGUGAACGUGAGCCAUUGGAUCAAACCGACAUAGAUUGUUUGGUUUAGAUUGAUCCUUUAGGUCGGUGGAGGAUUGUCCCGAAGCAGAGUCCUGAUUGGACUCUCCACCUGGGCGGGCGCCCAAGGGGGGUGGGCGGCCGCCCAGCCCCCGAGCCCGAAUCCCCUCUCGUUCGUUCCCGUGGCUUCUGGAUCCUUCCAGAUCAAGGAAAAUUGCGCGGCACGUAAUUAUCUCGUUGUAAACAUGACAUGUGGGCCUUCUCUCCCUAUUUUCUGAUAAACCCCUGCAGAAAUAGAUAAACACCAAAACUCGUGGAAUUCUGUCAGAUAAAACCCUAAUUCUAGAUGUUUGUUUCAUAUUGAUCCUUUUUCAUGUUUAUUUGAUUAUUAAUUUUAGUACUUAAGGACCGUCAACAAACUCCCCCAAGCUCCUAAGGGUCUACACAGCUCGAUCAAACUCAAUGUGAAUAUAAGUAAAAGAUAUUAUAGCAAGUAUGGCUGUGGUAGGUAGUUUGCCGUCACGGGUGGGGCAGGGGAAUCAGGGUGAUGAAGCAGGAGUGGGUCACGAUAGGGGGAUUCCGAAUGAUGAAGUACGGGAAAUCAUGUGGGCCGGCCCAUUACAUGCUUGAAGGUUUCCUACACCAUUCCUUCUGCGCGCAAGAAGUUUAGUACCACAUGGCCUAUUCAACGGUGCAGAACAUAGCUUAAAAGCUCUAUGCUACGUGCUCAGUCGAACUCACUAAGUACCUCUGCACUGCGACCAUGCUACACCUUUGUUGGGCCUGUUCUGGUUGGGCCGGCUAUGCUUGGCUCCCCUGUUCGCAUUGAGACUCGCAUGGCCCCUGGCCUGGCCAGUCUUGUGCUAAUUUUUUUAAACUAUUUAGCUUGUUUCAAAAUUUAGCUUUUUCAACAUAUAUUUUUCAAAAUUUAGCUUCUUUCAAUGUGUAGUCAUGUCCUAAUCAGUGCCGUACCUAACAAUUUGAGGCCCUGCUACAAAAUUAAAGGAUCGUACAUAUAAGAUAUAGUCUUUUGACCUUUUAUCUUUAAAUAUAACUUGCAUGUUAUUUGAGAUUUGGACUUUGUUAUCGUUGUCAAUAAUCAGCCUAAUUGUAUGAAAACUUAUACAACAAAAGUGGUUAAAUUGGAGUUAUAUUUAUGAGUGCAUUGUAAUGUCAAAACUUUAGCCAUAUAUAUGAUAUACUAUGAGAGAAAUUAGUCAUUAAUGUCACCUUAAGGACCAUAGCAAGUUACACUGGGACUUUAUAUUUAACUAUAUCACAUAUGCUUUUCUAACCUUACUACGACAUGAAACAUAACAUAGGGUAUAUAAUAAGAGUUACAAUACCUAAUUUGUAUUAAUGGAAUUAAGUAUGUAUAUGUACUUAAGUAAAUUUUGGGGCCCUAUUUUUUUGGGAGCCUUUUGACAUUGCUCCACUUGCACUGACCCAUGUACGGACCUGGUCCUAAUCACUUAAUAUGUACUCACCAAGUGUCAUGUUGUAUGUCACAUGUCAUGACCAACAACUUUAUUAUACAUCAUCUAUAGUGGGUUUCUUGUCUUAGGUCACCAAUUGCCAUGUCGUAUGGCACCGAGACUGAACUCGUCAUGUCCAACUAGUCUAGAUUCGUCCUACAGGUGAUGUCAUUGCAUACUACCUAGCUUCCUUGUUCUUACAUGGGCGAUAUAUAUCCUGAGUGUCCCACGUGAUGUCCUAAUCACUUAAUAUAUAUACUCACUGAGUGUCAUGUUGUUUGUGAACUAAAUCAUGUUCAUCUUAUUUAUAUAAAUUAUUGAUUUAUUACAACUUUAUUUAGUUAAUAGGUACGUGAUCCAUUAUUGUUUCAUUAUUAUUUAUUUCGAUAAAUUAAAAAUUUAUCAUAACUCUCUAACUGAACCCGUUAAGAGGUUAUAAAGUUGAAAAAUCAGUGGAUGUCUAUGGCGACGUGCAAAAAUUUGAUGGACGCGCGUCACAAGCUCGAAUUCGCAGCCAUCUCCCGUGAAAACAAUAUUGGUAACAAAAGGGCCCGCUAUUUACUUCCUAAUUAAAACACCGUCGCCCUCGCUGUGCAGUUUCGGCACGCGGCUCCCUCUCUCGCGAUCUACGCGCGCGAGUCAACAAAGCCUCAUGGCGAAAACCGCCCCUGACCCAUCGUCGCCGUCCCCUACCUCCGGUAUGGCGCCGUCUCCUUCGCUCGUCAUGAGAAGGCCGUCCCACAGGAUCAUGCCGUCUCCUCCGGCUGUGACAUCGCACCAUCCACUGACGUCCUGCAGGCGUCACGGUGACCCAGGAACGUCCUCUGAAGUUCUACAGCCGAAUGGAGGGUCACUACACGAUCCAAUGGAUGACACAACGCAUCCUGGACAAGCCCACAACAAAGCUAACCUACCCAGGUAUGCGCUCGCCAUGUUUGAUUCUAGGGUUUAGGGCAGUCCAUUCAUGUGAUGUGCUGUGGCAUUUAGGGUAAAACAUUAGGCGUUGCGAAAUUGGCAAUUUUUUAGAUCCACUAUAAAUUCCAUUUGGUAUAUACAGAGAUCCAGGUAUAUACAGAGAUCCCGGUAUAAAUUCCAUUUGGUAUAUAUAGAGACCCAGGUGUUGACACUUGCUAACACCACUUAGAUACUAGGUUGUCAUCCCUAGCAUGGCGCCAGAGUGUACAAAGGUAUUUAUAAAUGUAAAGGCUCUCUAGAAAAUAAUCUAUUCUAUCCGCAAGCGCACAGAUAAAACACCUCAUUGUAGCAUUUCACCAGGAUAAGUAUUCCAGGUAUCGUUAUUUAUAAUUUUGCUUAGGGAUCUGAGGAAGAUGGAAUUAAAUCAAAGGGGGCAAAAUCUAUCAAGGCAUAGACUAGAGAUAAACUUGCAAGAACAUGAUUACUAAUGAGAAACUCGUCACACAGUCACUUACUUAAGCAGGGGGUAAACCAUAAAGAUAACGAUAAUAAAGUAUAACUUCAUGGGGGUAAAGAGCACAGCGAUUAGAAAAUAGACUACUCCUCAUAUAUGUAGGUGAUCUACUAAUUACUAAGUCAUAAUCUACUCUAGUUAUCUACAAGAUCAUAUAUAGCAUAAAAGACUCUUCAUUCAUGUAUAAGGAACAUUGAUAAAGUAAAUCAGAACAUCGCAUGACUUACUCCACAAUACCGGUUCUGCCUGUCCUAUCAACGGAGGGUGGACUAUAUAAGAAUCAACGAAGCUGUCACUAUCGCGAACUACCACACGACUCGGCCAAUAGGAUACAUUUGCAGAUAAAUAACAUCUAAGCACCACGCUCACAUGUGAUCUAUCACCUAACUCCCUCGUGACAAGAGCUAAGCGCUUUGCAAACUUAUACAUAAACUCAUUAUCAAUUAGAACUAUAUCAAAUAUAGAACUAGAGCAAACUAAGAACAUAAUAAUUAGAGACAUAAUGCAAUUAGAACAAUAGAAUUAGAGAAAGAUAUGAAUAAUACCAAUCUUUAUUACCGAAGAUCCGAAUCCAGAGCGUAGUGCUCUACUUCUCUAAUUGCUAUCUAAUCAAACCUCUAAACUUGAAGGAUUAGGGAGUAGCUAAUUCUAAUUCUCUGUGGGAGAGAAGCUCUAAACCCUAACUUUGAUGGCUACCUCUGAAUAAUGAUUUCUCCUCCUCUCCUCCAGGGGCCAGGGGGUCUGGUUUUAUAGUCCCCUCAAGUGAACGUGAGCCAUUGGAUCAAACCGACAUAGAUUGUAUGGUUUAGAUUGAUCCUUUAGGUCGGUGGAGCGUAGUCCCGAAGCAGAGUCCUGAUUGGCUUCCUGGCCAGGGCGGGCGCCCAGCCCCCGAGCCCGAAUUGCUUCCCGUUCGUUCCCGUGGCUUCUGGACCCUUCUAGAUCAAGGAAAAUUGCGCGGCACGUAAUUAUCUCGUUGUAAACAUGACAUGUGGGCCUUCUCUCCCUAUUUUCUGAUAAACCCCUGCAGAAAUAGAUAAACACCAAAACUCGUGGAAUUCUGUCAGAUAAAACCCUAAUUCUAGAUGUUUGUUUCAUAUUGAUCCUUUUUUAUGUUUAUUUGAUUAUUAAUUUUAGUACUUAAGGACCGUCAACACCAGGUAUAUAAACAAUCAGUUUAUAUGCAGAUCGAUGUACAAAUAAUCAUAUGUAUGCCAAUUUGUUAAUUGAUAGCUGUAUGUGCAAUUUUUUCUAUUAAACUCAUGAUAUCAAGUUCUCUGUAUGUACUGUUGUAAACAUGCAUAUGUUAAGAUCCACUAUAAAUUCCAUUUGGUAUAUACAGAGAUCCACUUAGGCUGUUUUGGGUUGGGUUAAGAUCAACUUUGAAUCUCUGUAUGUUAAGAUGCACUACAAAUUCCUGCCUACUUCUUAGUUGAUCACAGUGCUUGCCUUUCACUAUAAAGUCAGCUGUCCUAAUAUUAUUUAUUAAUAUUAUUUUGUUCAAAAUCAUUUGUAGGAAAAGACAUGAGAAAACUAGAGAAAUUUGGCAAGUACAUGUUGAUUUCUGGGGGGGCCAACGACAACAAACGUGCGGUACUGAAGGUUGACCUUGCUAAAAUUACCUUUGCCAGCUUAUUAAAGCUCAAAGGCAAGAUAGGUUAUUCUGCAAGGGACUUCAUGUAUUAUCUGAAGAGAUGUGACACAGAUACAGCUUUGCUUCAGUGCAUGGAUUACGAAGACGAUGUUCUAACAAUGAUACAAUAUUGUAAAGAAGAGAAGACAGUUAGGUUACUAGUUUCAAAAACCAAGGAAAAUCAGGAUGGAGUAUAUUCAAUAACACCAAUUAAGCAACGUAGUAUACAUGAGGAAGUUAGUGAACAAGGAAUUUUGGAUGAAGACAUUGAUGCAUACAAGGUGUGGCUUGCAAAGCUGCCACAGGAUGCAACUAUUGUACUAGAAGCAUACACAUAUCUCUUAUUUUUAGUAACAACUAUCUGCAUAUAUGUAACAUGUAUGUGCAUCUCGUAGAAUUCAAGAAUGACACCCGGCAAAAUACUGUUGCAACAUAUAGAGAAUGGUUGCGGCGGGAAGGGCUGCUUCACGAUAUUCGUAAUCAGAUUUUGUUUUAUCUUGGCAUUAGUGCAAUUAGAUUUCCAACUUCAUUGUAAUGGUGUACUUUCACUUGUUUGUAUGAGCAGAUGCAUAUAUAGAUGAUGAUGAAACCAUUAAUGAGGACCAAAUUGGUGAUGAAGACCAAAGUGGUGACGAAGACCAAACACCCAUAAAGUUUCCAUCUCAUGCUCGUAGGACAAAGCGAGCUGAUAAAGGUAUGCAAUGGUUCAGAUUCUUACUACAAUAAUAUUUUGAAAAUACUAAUUUUGACUAUUUACAUACAUCAAUUUUAUAAUAGGGGUUGGAGAGAAGAGAAAGAUUGGGCGUGGAACCAUUAAAGGUUUCUCGGUCGAAACUAAGAGAACAAAACUUGCCACUCCCAAACUUAGUAUAGAUUUCUCAUCCACGAAAGGCGGUCCUAUAGGAGAUAACUAUCGUGCAUUUGUUAACGAAGUAGUGCGGUAUACAAGAAAAAGGACUCCACUUAUUGGAGUUAAAAAGUGGGGAGAUGUCAAGCAGAAUGUUAAAGAUAAAAUAGCACGAGAUAUAAUGGUAUGUUACAGUCUUGCUCCCGCGCACGUGUGAAAUUAAUUCUUUGUAGUAUCUAAUUUUUUCACAAUUUGUUGGUCGUCCAUAUUAUACAGGUUAGGUGGGACAUUGAGGACACUCCUAAGAUGGAGGAGAGGAUAUGGAAUAUUGCAAAACAGCGUUACAAAGGAUGGCGAUCUCAAUUCAGUUCCACAUACAAGGCAUACAAGAGUUAUCAUCAAAGAAUGAAACAUAAGCCUGGAGAUCUGGACAUUGCGGAGUGGCACUACUUGGUGUUAUAGUUUGGAACCGAUGAAUUCUAGGUUCCAAACCACUGACAUAUAUGUGUUUGUUGUGUGCAAUUUUUAUGUGCAACUAACAUGUCUGUGUUUAUAUUAGAGAUUAAGCAACACCAACGCUAGCAAUUCCCAGCAUUGAAAGACAGUACAUGUUACAGGAUCAAAACCUUUCUCGUGAGUUAUGAGCAGGUAAUGAUAUGGAACCUAACUUUAUUCUUUUAAUUGGUAGCUAAACAGUAACAAUCUUCAAUGUUCUCAUCUUAGAUAAACCUGGAGACUGGUGAUGAGCCAGAUCAUUUGGCACUUUGGAGGAGCACACGCAGCAAGGAAGGCCGAUGUUCUCCAGAUGCUGCUAAGGAAAUAUAUCUAAGCACUACUUUCCUCAUUAAUACUCUAGAUUUAUAUGGCGAGCUACUGAUGUGAUGAUGGAUAAGUGGUAAUUAUUUCAGGAUUUUAGGAUUUAUAGUUUAGGAGUUAUAAAAAUAACAAAUGCACUGUGAUAUCUUAUUCCCAUUCUGAAUAGAUCUUGAUGUUUGAAUUGUUUGACUUAAUUAAGUCUUGAAUAAUGCCUUGGUGAUGUUGAAUGAUUUCUAGUACUUUUGUUAAGCUUUCCAAAAAGCUAAAUAUCAGAAUUUUCCGUUGAGUAUGUGUUGAAUUAUGUCUGCUCAUAUCUUAGUUACUGAUUCUGUCCAAACCUAGAAAGGGUAUCCUUGUUGCUAAUGUUUGGCACUGUUAGUAGUAUAAUUACAUAUGGAAGAUUAUAACAAAGGUGUUCACAAUUUGAUGGGCAUUCCAAAAAGUCCAGAACCAGAUUUUUUGGAUGAGUAUAGCUCUGGUUAUGGCUUUUUAAACUUGCAUGUCAGAUUCUGUGAAUGUUCUGUAGAGGUACCUUUAGAGAACUAAUUGACCUUACCUAUAGAAUCAUCUUAAGAUGACAUUAAGAAAGUUGUAGGUACCUUUCUAGUCAUAAAAAAUGAGAGGCCGCGGCGCGUCCGGCAACGGCAAGGACCGGAGGGGUCGUAGCGCGCCGGAUCGGGACAGGGCUGGCGGCGUUCGUGCGGAACCUGGCAACGAGAGCGCGCACGGAUCUGGCCGGCGUGGACGCGGGAGUGGCCGUGCUAGUGGGACGGCUGGAUCCGGUCGGAGGCCACAGGCGAGACGGCGGCUAACUCUUGCACCGGCGACGCAGCGUGCGUUACGGCCUUCUCCUGUGUCGGCUGAAUCCGACGAGGAGGACGCCGAUGAGGACGGUCAUCGACGGAGGGCGGAGGGCCGAGCAGCCUUAUCAAGAGUUGUGUCACUUGCAGUCGAUGCAAGCCAAAGACCUAAACCGAUCCACGUGGUGCCUGAUCAAGUCGGAGGGAUUCAGUCCAAGUUCUGGGCGCAGCCAGGUGAUCAGGAUGAUACGGACGAAGACGAACCAUCGACUCCGGAUUUCAUUAAUGAGGCACAGGAGGCGGGCUUCUCUGUUGAUCAAUUAGUCAGAGCCGAAAGGGCUCUGCAUUCAGGUAAUGAUCCAAACUCUGCUGAUAUCCGUUUAACUAAACAUAUUGUUUCAACGUUGGUUCACAGGAAGAUUAGCACAGGAGCACCAUGGCAAGGUCCUCUGUCAUCGCCCCGCGUUUCUCCGCCACGAACGUUGGGUGAUUUCCUGGUCACUGCUUCCGUUCAGAGAGACCUGCGGCGAGGUCGAACAACUUCACCACGGCUGAGUAACACGAAUUCGUGGCGAAGAACACUGUCAUCACGACGGGAGAGUGGCUUCCUGGCAUCCUCAGAUGCACUUCCGAAUAAGCUGUUCGAGUGUGCAAGGAGAGGAUCGCCGGCGAGGACACCACCGGCGAAGUCGUCUUCCACCCCAGCGUCAGCUACUGGUUCAAAAAUUUCUGAAAUUUUGAAUCCCCAACUGUGUCCGACUUUUCCUCCGUUGAAAGCCGCGAUACUUCCGGUCGAUCAGGCCGAGUGUUUCACGUGCUCAGCAACAGCGAAGUCAGAUCAGGGAAUUCUGGAAUUUCCAAAGAAAAUAGUAAUUGGGCCAGGAAAAAUUUUUAGGCCCACUCAAGGGCUUUGUGCAUUAUUCAGGAGAACAGGCAUCAAGAAAAAAACCCUACCUCCACCGAAGCCCUCAUCUUCAUUGUGCUCGCCGCCGGCAAGGUCCUACGCGGACGUCGUGCGAAGAGGGGUGGAGAUGGCGGCUCGAGGAAACGACAAUGCAUUCAGUCGUGGAGGCGGGGGUCGGCAUGGAGGCUUCAAUCCUGGGUUCCAUCCUGGCUUUAACCCAGGAUUUGGAGGAAGAGGGAGAGGCCGCGACUUCUAUCCACCACGCGGCCGUGGUCGUGGUCAUGGUGGCCAUGGCGGCUUUGGCUACAGCGGCAACAACCAGAGCUUCGGACGCGGUGCACGCUCUCAUGGUUUUGGUGGGAGCCGUGGCCGCGGAAACUGGUCGAACCAUGGCCACCACCACAACCAAACGGCGGCAACGGGCCCGUUCCAGGCGAGCGGACACACGGCGGCGGCGAACACCAACGUCGGGGAGCAGCACAGGUUGGUCCCCAUCGAUGGGAGCCUGGCCGGAGGGGCUGCCAGUCUUUCAGCUGGAGGGCAGCACGCUGUCUGCAACGAGGUAGGGCGCAAGGAUGAAGGAGCGAUGGCAGGGCAGCUGGCCAGCGUGUCAACCACCGUGGGAACUGCUCUCCAGGCGUCGGCAGCAAAUGCACAGGCAAAUACAACGUCGAUGAUCUCAGUAGCAACUGAACCUUCAAAGAGCACUGUUCCACCGAGCACUAAUGCUUUUGAUGUGCCUGAAUCGUCCCAACAGGGGGCUCAAAAAAAGGGUAAACCAUUCUGCUAUCGCUGCCAUACUAAAGGCCAUACAAUGUCUGUUUGCACUGUGUCUCUGUCUUGUGAGAUUUGUUUUGGAGAACAUGUUACUAAAGUUUGCUCAAAUUUGAAGAAAAUGCAAAAUUCACAUAAUACUGCUAUUCCUUGUGGUUAUGCGGUUGAAGGCUUGGGUUUUUAUUUUAUUCCAGUUGCUGAGAAUCCCAAAAUAAAUUUAGAGGAAAAAUCGGCCGUGGUACGUGUUUUGGAGGGUUCCCUCACUGCUGAUCAAUUGGCAGUGGAACUUGAAAAAUUACUACCUGGAAAAAACAAGUGGGUGAUUGAAGAGAGGGGCACUGAUGCCUAUAUCACUAAUUUCCCAUCCUCUGAUUUAUUGGAUUGUGUGGUCAACUGGGGUCCGAUGGAUACAAAGAUGGUGAAAGGAAAAUUUCGUUUUGAGAAAGGAAUUGAAAACGAUGUCUAUAAAUAUGAAAUAGACAAAGUCUGGGUUCAAUUUCGUGGUUUACCAAAGGAGUUUCGGGAAUUCCCUAUCAUUUGGGCGAUUGGCUCCAUUUUAGGUGUUUCGCGAGCUGUAGACAUGAAAUUUACUAAGAAGUGUGGCCGGGCAAGGAUGAAGGUAGCCGUGCUAGAUCCCACUAUUAUACCGAACCUUGUGGAUAUAGUGAUCGGAGAUUAUGUAUAUGAGCUACAGUUUCGUGUUGAGGAAGGAUUGUCUGAUGGUGAGCCUCAGGUCAUUGACAUGGACUCUACCAUAGAUGACGAUGAUCCAAAAGGGGGAAAAGAAGAGGAUCCAAUGGAUGAAGAUGGCAAAAAAGAGGGACGAACAGAAGUGAAUGCUCCUAAGGAACAGCAACCUCAGAUCGGCAAGCACAAUAGUGCAGUCGAAAAAGAAAAGGGUGCUGGUUCUGGGGUUCUUCAAAGCAAGGAUAUAGGUGCACAAUCAGCACCAGCAGUUGUCCAAGCAAAUAAGAAACCAACAGUAGUGCUUACUCAGUGCGGGUUAACAGAAGAUGGAACUGGUCAUUGGAAUGCUAAUGUGCUCAAUGGUGGGACAAUGCCUCUGAUAAGAUCCAGUAAAAGAAAUGCGAGAACUUCAGAUCAAGACUCUCUUGAGAAGGCGUCCAAAUUAAAAGCUCAUAAAAACUUGGACUCCUCUCCAGGUGAAGGUAACAAAACUCUCCCAAACUCUUUUCAUACUGUUGAUGAUUCUAUUUUGCAGUAUUCUAUUAAUUCUUUAGGGAUAACGUUGGGUACUAGCCAAAAAGAAGUUUUAUCAUCUUUGAAUUCUCUGAGAGAGUUAGAAGCUCAUAGAUUGAACGAGAAUAUUAGCAUAGCAGAGGAUCUGACUUUUAACGAUGCUUCUACUUUAUGUUCCACGGAAGAAAUUUUAGAUCUAGAAGCCUUAAAUUUCAUUUGUUCAGAGGUUUCUGAAGACCUAGGUGGUGGGGGUUGCGACCCGUUGUGUUUACAGACCCCUAUAUCACCAAUCAAAAGGUCACGCUGUGGAACAAGAAAAAAAUCCAAAAAUAAUAAUAAAAAAAGGGGUUCUAAAUGAAAGGUAUUUUUUGGAACUGUAAUGGGUUUGCCGACCCAAAAAAAUAUAGAUUCUUAUCUGACUUAACAAAAGAAAGAAAUUUAGAUUUUAUUGCCUUAUCAGAGACAGGCAGAGCCAAUUUUCCGCAAUCUACCUUGAAUAAUAUCUGUGCUGGCAGAGAUUUUCUUUGGCAUUGCAUGGCUCCACGGGGCCGAUCUGGUGGCAUGAUUCUAGGGAUAAACUUAUUAGCCUAUGAUAUUGGUGAGAUUGAAGAAGGGGAUUUUUUUAUCCGUUUUAAAGUUCGUCAGAGGGAAGAUGACUUUAAAUUUAAUUUAAUCUCUAUUUAUGGGCCAGCUCAGGUAGAACUCAAAUCAUAUUUUCUUUCAGAGGUUGUGCGAGUAUGUUCAAAAGACACUUGCCCAAUUAUCAUGGGUGGUGAUUUUAACAUUAUUCGUAGCCCUGUUGAGAAGAGUACUGAUAAUUAUAAUGAUAGGUGGCCCUUUCUGUUUAAUGCUGUGAUUGACACUUUAAACCUUAGGGAGCUAGUUCUAUCAGGUAGGAAAUAUACGUGGGCUAAUCAUUUACAAUGUCCAACUUUCGAAAAAUUGGACAGAAUAUUGGUUUGUACGGAUUUUGAGUCAAAGUUCCCACAUAUCACUGUAACUGCCCUAUCUAGAGAGAUUUCUGAUCACACUCCACUACUUUGCUGCACAAAUAAUUCAUCCUCAUCUUAUCAAGCCCAGUUUAAGUUCGAACUAGGAUGGUUGAUGAGAGAUGGAUUCUGUGAUUUAGUAAGAGAAGUAUGGCAGGCUGUCCCGGCUUAUGGUACUCCUAUACAGAGGUGGCAAGCUAAAAUUAGAAGAUUACGCCAGUAUCUCAGAGGAUGGGCAAAGGAUGUAAGUGGGGCCUGUAAGAAAGAAAAGUUGACUCUCUUAAACAAACUAGAUGAAUUGGAUAAAAAGGCAGAGAACUGCACUCUCGAUGAAACAGAGUUGUAUCUAAAACAUGUGUUAAAUGAAAGGCUAGCUGACCUUCUCCGUGAAAAAGAACUUAAAUGGUAUCAAAGGGCUAAGGUAAAAUAUCUAUUAGAGGGAGAUGCAAAUACGAAGUACUAUCAUUUGUUGGCAAAUGGUAGGCAUAGGAAAACUCGUAUUUUCCAGUUAGAAGAUGGGAAUGAUAUAAUAACCGGUGAUGCUCAACUUAAAAAGCAUAUCACCAAGUAUUAUAAGGCACUUUUUGGCCCAUCAGAGAACUCUACCAGCUACAUGGAUGAGUUUCAAACUGAGGACAUUCCUCAGGUUUCGAUUCUGGAAAAUGAGUUUUUAACAGCCAAUUUUACUGAAGACGAAGUGAGGAGUGCUGUUUUCCAAAUGGAACAUAAUAAGGCACCAGGGCCAGAUGGGUUUCCGCCAGAGUUUUAUCAGGUCUUCUGGUCUUUGGUAAAGGAUGAUCUGAUGGCUAUGUUCACGGACUUUUAUAAUGGCUCACUCCCAUUAAAUAGUCUCAACUUCGGCACCAUAAUUUUGCUACCUAAACAGAAGGAUGCGAAAGUAAUUCAACAAUACAGGCCAAUUUGUUUGUUGAAUGUCUCUUUCAAAAUCUUUACCAAAGUGGCAACUAAUAGAUUAUCUACCGUAGCCCAUAAAAUUAUUAGACCAACACAAACAGCUUUUUUACCUGGUAGAAAUAUCAUGGAAGGGGCUGUAAUUCUUCACGAAACGAUUCAUGAACUUCACUCAAAAAAGAAGGAUGGGGUAAUCUUCAAAAUUGAUUUUGAGAAAGCGUAUGAUAAGGUAAAAUGGAGUUUCUUACAACAAACACUGAGAAUGAAAGGCUUUUCACAAAAAUGGUGCGGUUGGGUAGAACAAUUCACACAAGGGGGAAAUGUUAAUAUUAAGAUCAAUGAUCAACUGGGUCCUUAUUUCCAAACAAAAAAAGGCCUGCGGCAGGGGGAUCCAAUGUCGCCAAUUUUAUUUAAUAUAGUGGCGGAUAUGUUGGCUGUAAUAAUUUCUAGAGCAAAGGAAUCAGGACAAGUUGAAGGGGUUAUUCCCCACCUUAUUCAAGAUGGCUUGUCUAUCCUACAGUAUGCGGAUGAUACGGUGAUUUUUAUGAGUCAUGAUGUUCAGAAAGCGAUAAAUAUGAAAUUAAUUCUGAGUACUUUCGAACAACUAUCAGGACUCAAAAUAAACUUUCACAAAAGUGAAAUCUUUUGUUUUGGUAAAGCAAAAGAUUAUGAAGUGUUCUAUUCGCAACUGUUUGGAUGUAGAGUUGGGAAGUUCCCCUUUCGAUAUCUUGGUCUUCCGAUGCAUACUAGGAAAUUAAAAAACAAAGAUUGGCAAAUGAUCGAGAAGCAAAUUGAAAAGAGACUCAGUGGUUGGAAAGGUAAAACGCUUUCAGUCGGGGGGCGUUUAACCUUAAUAAACUCGGUGCUUUCUAGUUUACCGAUGUUUAUGAUGUCUUUCUUCGAACUCCCAAGAGGAGUGCUAGAAAAAAUUGACUGUUUUAGAUCACGCUUCUACUGGCAAAACGACCAACAUAAACGUAAAUAUAGACUAGCCAAGUGGGAACUAUUAUGCCAGCCUAAAAUACAAGGUGGACUAGGUAUUCAAAAUUUAGACAUCCAAAAUAAAUGUUUGUUGAGUAAAUGGUUAUUUAAAUUGUUGAAUGAGGAUGGUUUGUGGCAGGAACUUUUAAGAAAUAAAUACAUAAAAGAUAAGACCCUAGGGAGUUGUGUUAAAAAACCUACAGACUCACAUUUUUGGAGAAGCUUGAUGAAUGUUAAAGACACCUUCAUGGGUUUUGGCUCAUUCAAGGUCAAAGACGGGUCACAAACCCGAUUCUGGUUUGACACCUGGAUGGGAAAUAAACCUCUAAAAGAUAGAUUCCCAGCGUUGUUCAAUAUUGUAAGAAGAAAACAAGACUCUGUGGCACAAGUACUUAGUUCAUCCCCAUUAAAUAUUUCUUUUCGCCGAAAUUUAGUGGGGGCAAACCUAAGGGACUGGCAUAGAAUUGUCAAUUCUGUACAGGAAUUGAACUUACAUGAACAAAGGGAUAUUUUUGUCUGGGCGUUACAUUCAUCUGGCAGCUUCUCUGUAAAAUCCAUAUACGCUGCGUUAAUUAACAAUGGGAUUGCAGUCUCACAAGAUAUUUGGCAAAUUAAAAUUCCCACAAAAAUAAAAGUUUUUCUGUGGUAUCUAAAAAAAGGUGUCAUAUUAACUAAGGAUAACCUUGUUAGGCGACACUGGAUCGGUGACACGACGUGUGCCUUCUGUCACCUUCCAGAAACCAUUCGACAUCUUUUUUUGGAUUGUUUUUAUGCUAAAUUUCUGUGGCGAGCGGUACAUAUGUUGUUUGGCAUAUCUCCCCCCUUAAGUUUGUCUGACCUUUUUAAUAGAUGGUCCAAAAGGGGUAAUAAAAACCUAAAUUCAUUGUUAUUGAUAGCAGCGGCGGCGCUUAGCUGGACUGUGUGGUUAACAAGAAACGAGGUGAUUUUUGAUAAAAGUAGACCAAAAUCUUUUUUGCAGGUUAUUUUCAGAGGAACUCAUUGGCUUCGACAGUGGGCACAAUUGCAGCGGUGUGAGGAUCUACGGAAUGAGUUGAUUUCAACGGGGCGAUAUCUUGAGAUGUCAGCUUUGAAGUUCUUCAAUUCCAAUGGAUGGCUAUCAACUAGAUCUAUUGCCUCUUCUUAGUCAAGUUCUAUUCCAAUUGUUUUUAUUUUAAGUUCAACAUUUUUUAGCGGCAUGUUGGCCGGUGGACUCAAACUUUGUAAUAAUUGGCCUGAUUCUAUCAGUCGAUAGAUGAAGCCGGAUAUAAAAUAUCCUUUAUCUAAAAAAAUGGAUAGGAGGUGCACAACUCCAAUUAUGCUUCUUUUACUAGCUCUAUUAUUCUAAGAAUUACUGAGUUUCAUAUGUAAUUUGCUUUCCAAUGGAUCUCUGUUGAUGCAAAAGUGGAUCUGCAAACACAAAGGGCUAAUACCCGAUUCAAACGUUAAGGCGUGCCAGCCGAUUUGACCUUACUAUCGGCAAAGGUGAUAACUCGAAUACUUUGGUCCCGACAACAGCGCUGCGCCCGGAUGCCACGGCCAAGAGGUAUUCACGCGGAACUCGAGAAUACGCCGAGCUUAAGUCGACGAACUCCUAAGAACACGUAAUAAAAAGGAAAAUAUGACGAAGUCGUCCAAAAAGUAGAUGCUGGAAUAUGAGUAAAAACUUGUGUUUGAUUGAUUGAUAGAUUGUUCAUUACAAGGCCCCAGGGUCUACAUUUAUACCCUGCUCAAAGAGCUACAAUCAGACACGACUAGGACUCGAAUUCCAAAUUAAACAGAAUCCGCAUACAAAACGAUUUAAAUAACUAAGAAAAACUCAAAACUAUCCUCCCGUGACAAACUGGGACACCACUAUGGACCAAUCGGCAACCUUCAGGUUCUUCCGAAUCAUCGGCAGACUCCUCAUCGUAGCCAUCGGCAAAGGCUAACGCUGACCAUCGGCAUGAACGCGUCACCACCCAUGGACUUAGUCACAUUGAGCUGUCCCUUCAUCGGAAACCACCCUCAUCGGCAACUCCCCUGCAGACCAGUUACUGUUGCCUUAUCUUGCCGAUCUAUACUCUACCGAUCCUGGGUGCGUGUCCAAAAACGGUGUCAACACAUGCCCCCCAAUUUUGGAGUAUAAAAUGAUUAAUGCUCCGAAAUUCUCUGCAGUAAUGAUGCCUUUCCGCAAUUAAUCCUCUCAAUUUGGUAAUCGACCGUUGAAGCCGAACAACUCUGGCCCAAUUCUUCCGCAGAUUCCUCAAAUUCCUCAACCUCCCGAACUGGACAUCUCCACCAUAUUCGCCCAUCGGCAAUAUUACCGUUAGAAGGAACUGCCGAUGGACCGACCAGGAAAUCCCGCACAGUGAAAUAUCUUCAAAUUAUGACCGCUUCCUGUCAAAUCACCUGAGCAAUCCCUUGAUUACCGUGCGAACAGUUACCAUAUCCACCUGAGUACCCUCGGAUUUCACGGAUACGGCGAAGAGAUAAGUCAGAUUUGCCCUUGCCUGUUUUGUCCUAUAAAUGGUUCCUUCUCGGGUACUCCUUCUCCAUCGCAUCAUUCUACAGCCCCAACAUCCACUUCCUUGGCGGUGGCACCGUUCGAGGACUCCAAGAAUUCUAGCAAGAACUUCCUCCAACAACCCUCGAGUUUUCGAUCUUCUUCCCUGCGAGAAAAUGGCCAUCAACUUCAUCGUGCCUGAGGUCAGUUCUACCUCUCUCCAAUAUUUUAACUGCACUCCUGUUCAUCCAUAGUUCAUCUUACUGAAUACUUUUUUCUUUCUUUUGCUUUUCUUUUUACCCCCAAAAACUUCUAGGAUCUGUCCAAUAAAAUCGUCAUCCCUACCGAUCAACCACACCUCCAAUGUCUCGGUCCGCUAGGGAACCCAGAUCCUACCGAUCUGAUCAACGCAGAGACCAACAGAAUCCCCUUUAGAACUAAGAAUUUUUCUCUAGAUCUGUGGAAAGAUGCCUUCCGCUCUUGGCCCAGUCCUACCAAGGGAUGGAAGGAUUGGUUCUUGAGACUCAGCCAUUCAAAUGAAGUUCAGUGGGGCGAGCGAAAACUGGACCAGUGCAUUAGACUGUCUCUUGCCGAUAUGCAUAGGAAUGAGUCACUGCUGAUUGCUGCAUCAUAUUUCUGGUCAGACACCCAUAAUGCUUUUAUUCUCGGGCAUGGCCCUGCUUCUCCCACUCUUGCCGAUGUGCUCAUGCUCGCCGGCUUAGAUGUAUCCACUGCCGAUAGUAGUCCCAUAUUUGACACCACACCUAGUGCUAAAGUGGAAACCCGUUCUAUCGGCUGUUGGUCUGGGUACAUUCAGAAAUACCGUAGAACAGGGCCUGUCAACAUAAAGGAACAAACCACCUUCCUGAACAUGUGGCUGGACAAAUUUGUAUUCUACGGUCGAUUGGUAGGACCAACCUCUGUCUACCUAUCGGCAGCAGAGAGAUUAGCUAAUGGUGGCCGAUUUCCCCUCGGCCGAUACCUGCUUGGCUCUGCCUAUCAUCUUCUCCAUCAAGUAUCCAAGAAACUUCUGCUCGGUGAACCCAUCGGCAACUUAGGGGGCCCUUGGUGGUUCAUUGUAACAUCCCCGAUGUUACGGUUACUAAAAUUCGGAUUAUGGCAUCAUCAGCAUUGCACAGCAUAGUUGUUAAGCACACCUUGAUGCAUCAACUUAAAAUGAGUUUAAUUUGGUUGAAUGUGCUUAGGGAACUAAAGUGUGUUUAUCUUGUAUAUUGAUGCUUGAGUUGGUUGCUAGAACCCUAGGGUAAAGGUUUUCCGAAGGCUUAGGGGGGGGGACCCUGAUUUCUGAACCCCAGAUUUGCCCCCUUUUGUGCAAUUCAAAAACCAAGCAAAAUUUGAGGUUGAGUUCAAAAGCAAAGUUGUAGAUCUUGUCAAGAUGUACAACUUUGGUGUUUUGAGUUUUUGAAGUUUCAAAACAAAAUUCAAAGUAAUUUUGAAAAUACAGAUUUCCGGAAAGUGUCCCCUUUUCUAAUGUGAAUCUCCACUUCAAAAUCUAUUUGGAAUUUUGAAAAGUGACCAACAUGAAAGUUGUAGAGCUCAAAAAGUUGAACAACUUUCAUGUUGGGAGUUUUUCAAGUUGUUUAGGAAAAACAAAAGUAAUUUUGGAAAUUCUGAUCUGCCCCAAUUCAAAAAUUUGAAUCCUCUCAAAUUGAAUUUUGAUUAGCAAACUGUUUUGGCCAAAUUCACCCUGUUACACUCAAAAUCAGCUCUGGUCACCAAAACAUGUUUUGUAGCUUAUAAAUUUCUGAGCAACUUUUGUUUUUGUGGAAUUUUGUGUUCAGUUCAAAUUUUGGGCGAAAUUUUCAAAACCACAAAACUGGGUUCCAGUGGAUAUGGACUGCUACAGUACUGAGAGGGGGGGGGGGUGCUCUGCCGCCGGAGCAGAGCCGCCUUCGCGCGCGCCGCCACACGCCUGGCCACGCAGCUGCUUGGCUGCGCGAGCCCGCCGUGUUGUGGACGAGCCCCCCCUAGCGUGCUCAUCCACUCCCCUGCUGCUUCCACUGCACGGCCGCUCCGCUUCUCCCUUUUCUGCCGACACCGACGACCCGGCCGCGCCUUCAAAAUUCAUCGCACCCAAUCCCUCUUAAGCCCAAUUGAGCAACCCAGAGCACUCGCCACCUCCUUGCGAACCCAGUGCACCUCCGAGCUCACUCCCUAGUCCACUCAAUCGCCGGAACACCUCCCUCUUCUCCAACUCCGGCCGAAACCGCCGCCGAGGAACUCCCUUCGUGGCCACGUGGUUCCAGUAAGCGGCAAACCUUACUCGCGGCUGUUUCCGGUCCCUCUUCAGCUCCUACAGCUGAUGCUCUUGCUUUUUCUUCUUGGACGCGAGCAGGAUCGCCGGAACGACGCCGUUGAGCUCAGAGCGUCCGCCCGACGACACCGCCUCCGUCGCCAGCGACCUUGGCUACUUCCCCAAGCCUUGCAGCGUGAGCACCACCCUCCCUAACCCCCGUGGAAGCUCGCUAGGCCGUCCGUUUGCACUCUACCGGGCCCUAGUGGCCGGCCGAUGGUCGGCCAUGGCGGCCGCCCGCCUUUCUCGUGGCCGACGUGGAAGGGAUAGGGUAGAGCGUGAAUAGAAGGUGUCCACAGGGUCGCGAAGUCGAGGUGAAGCCGAUGCGCACGUGCACUCGGGCUGAAACCCUCGCCAACGGCGGUCGGAGCCGUGGCCGAGCCGCCGUGUGCGGUGAGGACGCAGCUGACGGGUGGGGUCGCCCCGUCAGCGUCCCGCAGAGAGGGGAGAGGUGGGCCUGACGAGCGGGACCCGCUCGUCAGUGACCACGCAGAGAGGAGGGCGCGCGGGCGUGGCGCCCGUGUGGACUGGGCGUAAGUGGGCCGGCCUGCGGGCCUUUUGGCUGGGCCUCGCCCAGUUUCAAUUUGUUUUUUUCUUUCUCCUUUUGUUUAAAAAUGCUUAAUGUUUGAUUCUGUGUCAUAAAUCAUGUGCUGAUCCAAAAAUUGUGAAAAUUUUUGUAUAGCUUUCACAAAAUAAUUAGAACAUAGGAAAAAUAUUAGAUUUUACUUUCUGGUAGUUUGCAUAUAUAUAAAAAUGGUCUCUCUUAAUUAAUGAAUAAAACUUCCAUGAAUUUUCAUAAUUUGUGAGUAUAUCCAAAAAUCACCACAAAUUGUGAGAGGCCUCUGAAUAUUAUUCCCUAGCUUCACACAAAAUUUGGUGGCAUUUGGAUGAUGUUUGAAUAAAAUAUUAUUAAACCCUUAUUUAGUAAUUAACUAGUAAUUCUAAGAUAAUUAGAUAGUGAUUAGUUAAAUCCUCAUAAUUAGGGUUGAGUGAUUUUGGGAUUGUGUGAUGACCUAAGGUCAUUAACCUUAAUGUGCUUUAGCAUUUAAUUAUUGUUUAGUCUUAAUGCUUAAUUACUAUCAUUAAUAAUUAAUUAAGAAAUAAUUAGGAUGAAAGGAUUAACAAUUAGUUAGUUUAGGAUAAUUACGAAUUAAGAAAAGUACUAAUUUACAGAUGCAACCUCUUGGGUAGAGACACUAAGAUGUUAAACAACUGUAAUCAUUGUUUAUUCUGUGUUGCACCGAAAGGGCCAGUUAUACUUAACUUGGUCCCUUUUUGCAUAUUUAUCACAUGCAUAUCAUGAGCAUUCAUCAAUUUGCGUAUAGUGCACGUGACCGAAGGAGCGCUCGUCGAACCGAACCCCGAGGUCGGUGCUCCGUUCGAGGAAGUAGGAUUCGAGACUUGGGAAGUCUCCGAGGGUCCCUCUCUGCCCUGCAACCAAGGCAAGCCCCGGAUGCAUUAACCCCUCCUUGAAUGUUUUAAAUCUUUUAUCACUUAUGAAUUAAAAAUGCUGCAUUAGGUGGUUGAGAAUUGGGCUAACCUACUUGCUACAUUUACUACCUUGAUACUUGUUAUCUUGUCCUUGACACCUGUUUUAUUUAAAAAUUGCGUAGCGAUGCUUAGCCCUGCUACUAGAUAGGUUUUCAAACAAAGUUUGAAGGGUUGUUGUGGAAUACACUUAUGAUCAAUGAUGUUUCAACUUGAGACCGGUCGGUGGACUUGCUUUAAGAAUGCAGUCUUAAAGUAGUGUCUCGAACUGUGUCGGUUAAGGGCCGGUCCGUUGAUGGCCCGCUGGGUUGAGAAUUUAUAGUACUAGCCACUUGCCCUCGGUAAGCCCGGUAUUGUGAUCCCUCGACGCGAACAGCUACUCACGCACUGGGCGUGGAGCGAUGGCGAGAGUAGUGUGUACCCACCUUACGGAUCUGAGAUGACCGAAAAACAUCUAGAUCGGCUGUAGGAUGGUGGAGUAUUGUGCUCUCAGGUGCCGCGAACCUGGUCAAAUUUGGGGAGAGCUUGAUUUGGGUUGACAUAUGCAAGAUCUGGUUCUACAUAUGUCGGGUGGUUAGGAACUCCAGCUGGAUUGCUAAGCGGUUCGAAUCGUCGUUGCUCCCCGAUUGGGAGACUCAAUCAACUGACCCUCAUCGUAGUUAAAUAUGCAACUAAGUGGUAAAAUGAGAAAAGGGAAAAUGUCUCAUGAGGUUCGGAUCCCAAUUCCCGGACUCAGAGUGACAUGAAGCUAUGGCUGUUGGAUAGAUAAUACUUUGGUUAAGGACUAGGAACUUACAGACUUGUCUAUGAGAAGCAACUAGAUAGACUGUCCUCGAACUCCUCGGCCUCUUAAGGAGAGGAAUUCGCGGGUAAAACUUGAAAGUAAGGAUGCACUAUUAGUAAGCUUUUCCGCAAAACACUUUGGCUCCUUGCUCAGCCACUCCUUGUCUACCCUAAGCCUGUAUUCCUGAUUUCUUCUCUUUUUGAGGGUAAGUCUUGUUGAGUACUCCCGUACUCAGGGUUUUAUAACCCCUGUUGCAGGUGAAGUUCAGGAGCCGACCUGUUUCGGACCCUGUUGUGUGUCCGUCGUCGAGGUUGACGACGAAGAAGAGUGAACGUGACCCAUGGACAGGGUCUGUAAAUUUGUAAUUUGUAUACUAAAGUUUAAGUUGCUCCGCUGGACCUGGUUUGUAAUAACACUCGGCUAUUUGGAAGAACACUCGGCUAUCCUGUAAGGGCGAGAAGAAGACAUUUUCGUUAAAUGACCAUUGCUGGUGGUCAAGACGAGCUUGUGUGAUACGCCCCGGAUAGCGGUGGAAUGAGCGUCCAGAGGUGCUCAUCGGACUUCUAGAGUGGGAGGAUCUCCGGCAUUACCGUCAGAGGUCUUUGGGACAAUGACAGGUGCCGGUGGGCCCAAACACUUAGGAGGUUCCGCCACAGCUGGUAUUAGAGCAUUCAUUGCUAAGAUGACUGUUGUAUCCUUUGAAAAACUUCAAAAUCAUCUGGAUCUAAUGCUAUAAACUAGCCUACUUUGAGUCCAAGUGCUUUAGUCCUAACGUACCCCUGUCUGUAGGCUUUCUUAGAAUUUUUGAAGUGGUAUGGAGGAGCAACAUAAAGUACUGCCCUAUGUUGUAAAGUUUAAGGUAUUAUCGUUGUGAAUCGUUCGUAGGAAUUGUAAGUUCGUGCAUGCAUCAUGAUGUAUUAAUUGGUUAAGUUCCUUCCUCCUUGUUUGGGUUGGGUGAAUAGAAUCAAUCCUAUUCUUGCUAACCUUUAAGGUCUCUCUUACUAAUGCAAACUUACCCUCUAUAGGAUGGCCCGUUGGAAACAGACCUCGCGCAAGAGGACAGGUCCAAAAGGGGUCCCCAGACAUCAGUUGGCCCCGCGCAGCGAUCAAGCAAGCAGUAGCCGUUCACCGCCUCAGCAGGUGGUGGACAGGUUGUCCGCCGAGUUGACCGAAGUGAUGAGAGAAAGGAUGUACAACGUCAUGGAGAUCGGCGAACUUAAAGCUCAACUAGCCAAAGAAAAACAAGCUACCGAGAACCGUGAGGCCAUGUUGUCCCGUAUGGUGGAGGAGAGGAAUGCCGCUAUUGCCCGAGAAGAAGAGGCCAGGAGCACACACAGGCAUGAGCUGACUAGGAUGAAUGCGAAGCUGGGCAAGGCCAGGUACCUUAAAGAUCUGUACGUGAAGAUGGCGGCCACGGUCACCGCGCAGCGGGAUGUCGCGUGGCAGCGGGAGGACCAGCUCCAGUUGGAGAAGCUGGAGCUGGCACAUCAUUUAGAUACCGUUAAUGACUUGGCAAUGCAAUAUCGUGAUAUUGCAUUUGAUCUAUAUCAUCAGCUCCAUCCACCUCCUUGCGAAGGAGAGAUGGAUACGGAUGGAGAGUUGGCGGACGAUGGGGAACCCGAUCAAGGCCUCAGUGAUGAAGAGGAGUCCGACCCCGAUGACAACAAAUCGGGGGGUAAUCAGGAUGAUGGCAAUGACGACCCGGGCUACAGCUCUGGCCACACCGACUAGUUCGGUGAAGCCACGGGCAACGUCGUUGUAGGAUUCCUAGUUUACCGUAGUGGGGUCGGGUUUGUAAUAUAAAGUUUUCUUUCAGUUUAAGAAGUUGUACUCGUUUGUUCCUGGUGUGUUGAACUAAUGUUGAUAAAUAAAUGGAAGCAUGUAAGAUAUGUUCUAAGUUAUGAAUUCUAUGUGGUAACAAGUACAUAUGACUCUUGUAGCAGAUGCCGAUGCGUACACGCGUAUCUGAUGGAGCUGGGACAUCUCAGGGAGGGGAUGAUAUCCCCAACCCUCCACCUGCCCCACCUUCUUUGGCUGAUGCCAUCGCUGUUCUUUUGAGUGCCACUACCGACAACGCUCGCUUGCUGCGCGAGUUAGCACAACGUCAACCACACCUCGCCCCAAACUUCAGGGCACUGCACAAUGGGGACAGAGAAGCUCGGUACGUGGACUUUACCGAGACAAGGCCCCCGGUAUUCAUUAAGGCUGAUGAGCCGUUAGAAGCGGAUGACUGGCUCCGGACUAUGGAGCACAAGUUCGGUUUGAUUCAGUGUUCAGAAACUCAGAAGCCCCUGUUCGCAGCUCAGCAGCUUCGGGGAGCUGCAGGUGCCUGGUGGGAGAACUUCCUAGCUAUCCAAGCUCUAGGACACCAGGUCACCUGGAUCGAGUUUAAGGACGUGUUCCGCGCCCAUUACAUCCCUGAAGGGCUCAUGGCCAUGAAGGCCGAAGAAUUUCUCGCCUUGCAGCAAGGCGAUAAAAGUGUCAUGGAGUACGUGGCAAAGUUUAAUCAUCUCUCUCAAUAUGCCACAUACCAUGUGAACACGGACAGAAAGAAGAAAGCCUGCUUCAUGCGUGGUCUAAAUACUAAACUUCAGACCAUGAUGACUACCUGCCAAAAUGCUACCUUCUAUGAGGCGGUAAAUAUUGCCAUCGCCUCCGAAGAAAAGAAUAGAAAGCACAAAGAAGCCAAGAAAAAGGCUGCUUCUUCCUCCUUCUCUGGUCGCGGUCAAAAGCGCUAGAGAAUCAAUUAUCAUCCGCAGGGUCACGGACGUUUCCAAGCGCCGUCACCUUAUCGUGGUCCCUUUUCCCCACCACAAUAUAGACCAGGGCAGCAGGUAUACCCUCGACCUACUGCCAUCGCCCUUGCACCACGCCAGCCAAACGCCCUAGGUGUUCGCCCCACUGCUCCGCCCAGCCACAAUUACCCUUGUUUAAAUUGUGGUAAGCCUGGGCAUUUUUCUAAAGAGUGCCCUUACCCCUGCCAAACCAACCCCACCUUCCAAAGGCCACCUAUGGGCCAACCCCAGCUGGGCCAAUUCAGGACUAGGGUUCAGAAAGGACAAAAUGUGCAAAGGGGAAAACCAGCGAAGAAGUGGGACAAGUCUUCCAUACGGAGGUGGAGACGAUCCCGGAGGGUGAACUAGUAAUGAUGGGUACGUUUCCUGUCGCGAAACAUCCUGCUUUAAUGCUUUUCGAUUCUGGUGCAUCUCAUACAUUCAUCAAUCGCACCUUUGUGUUAAAGCAUGGCAUACCCAUUGGGGAAACACAAGAUCAUUUUUAUAUACAGUCGCCAGGAGGGCGACUGAGUUCUAAAGAAAUGGUUCACCAGGUACCCAUCGAAUUUGGUGGGCAUAGUUUUCCCACUAGCAUGAUUGUUCUGAAGGACCAGGAGAUUGAUGUCCUACUAGGCAUGAACUGGAUGGCACAACGAGGGGUUGUGCUAGACACUUUGCAUCGAACCAUUAAAAUCUCAUUGCCCAAUGAGAAUUCUUAUUUGCUAAUUCAAUUAGUUACUCCCAAGCGGGCAAAUGCGCAAGUUCAUGCCACUAAUGUGUCUGCAGUUGAAGAUAUCUUGGUAGUUCGAGAUUUUCCGGACGUGUUUCCUGAAGACCUACCAGGUCUGCCACCGGACCGGGAUGUACAAUUCAGUAUAGAAUUGAAACCAGGGACAGCCCCAAUAUCUCGAAGGGCCUACAGAAUGACACCGAAAGAGCUGGCCGAAUUAAAAACCCAACUACAAGAGCUGUUGCAGAAAGGUUUUAUUCAGCCCAGUUCUUCUCCAUGGGGUUGCCCAGCCUUAUUUGUAAAAAAGAAAGAUCAAACAUUAAGGCUGUGUGUCGACUAUCGUCCCCUAAAUGAGGUGACGAUUAAGAACAAGGACCCAUUGCCCCGUAUUGACUUAUUAUUUGACCAGCUAGCCGGGGCCAAAGUAUUCUCAAAAAUUGAUUUGAGAUCAGGGUACCACCAAAUUAGAAUUAGGCCGGAAGAUGUGCCCAAGACAGCUUUUACAACCCGUUACGGGCUGUAUGAAUACUUGGUAAUGUCUUUUGGGUUGACCAAUGCACCGGCCCAUUUCAUGUACCUGAUGAACUCUGUCUUCAUGCCUGAACUAGACAAAUUUGUAGUCGUCUUUAUUGAUGACAUCUUAAUCUACUCCAAGACUAAGAAAGAACAUGCUGAACAUUUGAGAAUCGUGCUGACCUAUCUUAGGGAGCAUCAACUAUAUGCGUUCAGCAAAUGUGAGUUCUGGCUGGACAAAGUUCAUUUCCUGGGUCAUGUAUUAUCCGCGGAGGGAGUCGCUGUAGACCCAGGCAAGGUAGAAGUUGUGUUGAAUUGGAAACCCCCGACUACGGUACAUGAGGUCCGUAGUUUUCUGGGUAUGGCGGGAUAUUACCGUUGUUUUAUCCCGGACUUUUCAAGAGUCGCCAAACCAAUCACGACCUUGCUCAAGAAUCAAACAAAAUUUGUUUGGUCACCUCAAUGUGAGCAAGCCUUUCAGACUCUGAAAAGGUUAUUGACAACUGCACCUAUCUUAGCCCAGCCAGAUAUUGAAAAACCCUUUGAUGUGUAUUGUGACGCAUCAGGGAUUGGUAUAGGCUGUGUGCUAAUGCAGGAGGGUCGCGUAAUUGCAUAUGCUUCCAGACAGCUUAAACCACAUGAAGAGAAUUACCCGACCCAUGAUCUUGAACUAGCCGCCGUGGUACAUGCACUAAAGAUCUGGCGCCAUUAUCUGUUGGGGAACACAUGUCAUUUAUAUACCGAUCACAAAAGCUUGAAGUAUAUUUUUACUCAAGCCGAGCUUAAUAUGCGCCAACGAAGGUGGCUAGAACUAAUCAAAGAUUACGACCUUGAGGUGCAUUAUCAUCCUGGCAAGGCAAAUGUAGUAGCUGUUGCCCUCAGUCGUAAGGCUCACUGUAAUUGCUUAACAGUGAUGCCUAGAGAUAUAACUUUGUGCCAAGAGCAAGAGAACUUGGGAAUAGAAAUGAUUUCCCAAGGAAGCCUUACCAAUCUAAAGAUUGAGUUUAAUCUCGAAGCUCAAAUCAUAGAGGCACAAAAGGAAGACAAAGGCAUGAAACAUCUUAAAGAGAAAAUUUCUAAUAAAGCAUCCACAGACUUUAAGGUGGAUGAUGCAGGAGUGAUCUGGUUCAAGAACCGGUUAGUGGUUCCAAAGGUACCUGAGCCACGUCAACAAAUCCUAGAUGAAGCUCAUACCACAAGGUAUUCUAUUCAUCCGGAAAGCAAUAAGAUGUAUCAGGACCUAAAGCAAAGGUUUUGGUGGACAAAAAUGAAGAUAGAAAUAGCCCGCUAUGUGGCCCAAUGUGACACCUGCCGAAAGGUCAAAGCUAUUCAUCUCAAAUCCGGUGGAGAGUUGCAACCUUUGCCUAUUCCAGCAUGGAAAUGGGAUGAUAUUAGCAUGGAUUUCAUAGUAGGAUUGCCCAAAAUGGCCAAAGGCUUUGAUUCAAUUUGGGUCAUUGUGGAUCGUCUCACCAAAACAGCACACUUUUUACCUGUAAAGACAUCGUAUCAUACUUCCACCUAUGCUCAGAUUUAUUUUGAUCGUAUACUAAGUCUGCAUGGGGUGCCAAAGACAAUAGUGUCAGAUAGAGGCACAUAAUUUGUCUCCCAGUUCUAGAAAUGCUUACAUAAAUCCUUGGGCACCAAACUUUUAUACAGCACAGCCUACCACCCUCAAAGAGGUGGGCAAACUGAAAGGGUGAAUCAAACUCUAAUAGAUCUAUUGAGAUCUUGUGCCCUAAAUUUUCCAGAUAAGUGGGAUGACUGCUUGCCUCUAGCAGAGUUUUCUUACAAUAAUAGUUACCAAGAGAGUAUCAAGAUGGCUCCCUUUGAGGCACUAUAUGGCCGUCGAUGUCGAACUCCGUUACACUGGUCGGAACCCGGAGAAAGAUGGUUCUUCGGGGUUGACAUAGUGAAAGAGACUGAGAACAAAGUUAGACAAAUCCGAAAUAACUUGAAAGUUGCUCAGUCCCGACAGAAAAGCUAUGCCGAUAAAAGACGUCGACCACUAAGGUUCGCCAAAGGUGAUCAUGUGUAUUUGAAAGUAUCCCCAAUGAAAGGAGUAAAUCGUUUUGGUGUUAAAGGCAAGUUAGCGCCCCGUUACAUUGGUCCAUUUCCAAUCGUUGAUCGAUGUGGACAAGUAGCUUACCGCCUUAAACUGCCCGAGCGAUUAUCCGGGAUACACAACGUAUUUCAUGUGUCUCAAUUGAAAAAGUGUCUUCGGGUACCAGACCAAGUUCAAGAUAUUGAAGAUGUGGAACUUGAACCGGAUCUAACUUAUUCGGAGUAUCCUAUCCGAGUACUGGAUCAAAGAAAUAGAGUUACUCGAAGAACGACUACCAAGUGUUACAAGAUACAGUGGAGCCAACACUCUGAAGAGGAAGCCACCUGGGAAUCUGAAGAUUACCUGAUGGAGAAUUUUCCUGAGUUCCACGCUUCUCUUCAGGACAACAUCUGAUAAAUAGGGUGUUGACGGUCCUUAAGUAUCAAAUUUAAUUAUCAAAUAAAUAAAGAAAAGGAUCCAAAUGAAAUCAACAUCUAGACUUAAGGUUUUAUCUGACAGAAUUCCACGAGUUUUGGUGUUUGUCUAUUUCUGCAGGGGGUUAUCAGGAAAUAUGGAAGAAAGGCCCACACGUCGGGAUUGCAUAGAGAUAUUAACGUGCCGCGCAAUUAUCUUACAUCUAGAAGACUCCAGAAGCCACGAGACCGAAGCGGAGGCGAAACGGGGCCAGAGGGAGGGCGCCCGCCCUGUUCUCCUGGGCGCCCGCCCACCUCUGGAGUCCAAUCAGGACUCUGCUUCGUGGGAGAUCUCCACCGACCUAAAGGAUGAAUCUAAACCAUACAAUCUAUGUCGGUUUGAUCCAACAGCCCAUAUUCACUUGAAGGGACUAUAAAACCAGACCCCCUGGCCCCUGGAGGAGGGAGCCUCUCAACCCUAAUUCAUUGUUCCUCAAGGGAGAAGAAGCCUCUGAUCAAGAUUAGAGCCACCACAUCAAUUAGAUAUCUAGAUUAGCAUAGCUACAUAGGAUUAGAACUAGAAGGAGUCAAUCUUCGAUUGGUUUCCGGAUCUGUCAAAAGGAUUCUUGGUAAUUCUCUAAUUGUGCUUCUAAUUGCUUUCUAAUUAUCUUUGUUCUUCAAUAUUAUGAAUAUGACUUUGUUCUACUUCAAUAUAUUGCUUAUGACUUUGCUCUACUUGCUUAUAUUCAAGAUUAUAUUGUUCUUAGUUUAUCAUAGUUAUGUACUUGGCUUAGUUAGAUUCGAUCUAUAUACAUGCUUAGGAUCGUAUAGCGUUUAUCCAUCGGAUCCAUGGGUAAAUGAUAGAUAUUGUGUAGGCGUGGUGCUUAUACCGUAUUUAUCUACGAUUGUACCCAAUAUGCCACAUCGUGGGGUGGUUCGUGAUAGUGAUAGCUUCAUUGAUUCUUAUAUAGUCCCCCUCUCGUGUAUUGGGCUGGCAGAGCAAUAUUAUUACAGGGGAGUGAUUGCUAUGUUUCUCAUAUUCCUUGCUAAUAUCACUAUGCAUGGGCGUAGUCUUGUCUCGCAAUGAUUGCUAAGUAUGCUUGCACUAACUAUGAUAUGCUAAACUAUAUAGUUGAGAAUAACUUAGGGAAUAUUCUUGUAGUUCGUUCUAAUACCAUGCUAAUGACUUUCUGGAGUAUCUAAUUGAGGUGCUUAUCAUAUUUAUUAUGUGGCUAGAUCAGAUUAGUUAUCCUUGUCACUAUUAUUAUUUCAUAUAUCUUUUAUGUGACACUUAUCCCUGUAUGAAGAGUUAGAUAUAAUGUUCUCAAUUAUACAUGCAAUGAUAGAUGCUCAAUCUCAUAUUCUAUUCUAUAAUCAAUAUUGAUGAUUGCUAAUCCCUUCCCAGUGGUAAAAAUAUAAAUAACGAUACCUGGAAUACUUCCCGGUUAAAAUGCUACAUCGGUAUUAAUCUGUGCGCUUGCAGAUCCUAUUCAUUAUUUAUUUAGAAGAGCAAUUGCAUAUUUCAAUACCGCGUCUCUUAUAUCAUGCUGGGGAUGACAACUUGGCUUAAGUGGUGUGAGGGAUAGGUUUGGCAUUUUUGGCUCCGUUACUAGAUUUAGAGAACUUAGUCUACUUUUGGUAAUGAUGUUAAGAAUACCCAACAAGCAUUUUUGGCGCUGUUGCCGGGGAAGGUUGAUUACUAAUCAGGAAUGGAAUAAAGGAUUUUGAGUUAUCAUUCGCAUCACUAAUCUGAUUGAGCUUAUCUAUUCUCUCAUACAGUUUUACCCCGAUAUUUUUCUAUUUUAUCUUAUGCAGGGGAAUGUAUGAAUAGAAGACAUCUUCCAGGAAAUUUUGUUGACAACCCCGAAGCAUUAUUCAAGAAGACGAGAGCCAAGCUCAAGAAGAGAUCAUCAACACUUCAGCAAGAAGCUUCAUCCAAUCAAGAAGAUCACCGGAACUUGUCUUCAGAGUUCGAAGCCAUGGCGAACAAAUCAAUCCGCGAGUUCUCAGCUCCCACUACGGACAACAUCCGCACUGGACCUGCUGCAGAGAUCGAUGGCAACUUUGAGCUCAAGCCUGGACUUAUCAACAUGGUGCAAUCCAAUCAGUUCUGUGGGAAGGCACACGAAGAUGCUAGUGCUCAUUUACAACACUUCCUGGAGAUUUGCAACACAUUCACCAUAUCAGGAGUUUCCAAAGAUGCUAUACUACUUCGCCUCUUCCCAUUCUCACUGUUAGGAAGAGCGAAGCAGUGGUUCUACGCUACAAAGGAGAAGAAUACUACGUGGGCACUCUGCUCAACAAACUUUCUGGCUAAGUUCUUUCCCAUGGGCAAGACCAAUGCUCUCCGUGGGAAGAUUACAAGUUUUCAGCAACAAAAUGAUGAAUCUGUUCCAGAAGCAUGGGAGCGCUUUCAAGACUACAUCCUAGAAUGUCCCCAUCAUGGAAUGGAAAGUUGGCUAUUGAUGCAGACAUUUUAUCAUGGGCUCGGCAACAGUGCCCAAGAAACCAUGGAUGCUGCAGUUGGAGGAGCAUUCUUAUCACUUACAAUACCACAAGCCACAGCUCUUGUGGAGAAGAUGGCGUCCAAUCAAAGCUGGAAUGAAGAGAGGACCCAGACACGCAAGAGAGGUGGAGGUAUGCAUCAGCUGAAGGAGGUAGACAUGUUGUCUGCAAAGCUAGACCUACUCAUGAAGAAGCUCGACGAUAGAGCUGGAGACAAGAAAGAAGAUAUGCACAUCUACGACUCUCACAUGACUUGUGAGGAGUGUGGAGACACUGGACACUCAGGCAAUCACUGCCCUGAGAUGCUUGAGGAUGUGAACUACAUCAACAAUAACAACAACAACUACUACAACCGUCCUCAACAAAAUCAUGGUUGGAAUCAACAGAGGCCUAACUACUCAGGUAAUUAUCAAGGUAACAAUUCUUAUAACAAUAAUAAUAAUUUUCCACCUCUGAGAGAGUUAGUGUCUAAUCAAGGAAAGCUAAUGGAUAACCUAUCUAAGAAAUUGGCAUCUAAUGAUAAAAUGCUAGAAAAUAUAAAUAAUAGAAUGGAUAAUUUUUCUACUGCCAUCAAGAAUCAAAUUAGCUUUAAUAAAAUGAUUGAAUCUCAGUUAAAUCAAAUAGUUGCUGCUGUUCCUGCUACUAACCCCGGUAUACCAUCACAACCGGAAGGAUAGAAUCUGCAAAUCUUGUAGACAUGUUUGAUGCAGGUAAUUGGAGUAACCCCGUGACUGAAUUCUCUACUGACCUUCUGCCGGUCAAGAGAGGCGAUCCAGGACGCCCCGUCAUCCCGAUCUCCAUCGGCAUGGUGGAUGUUCCAGAAGCACUCUGCGACUUUGGCUCUAGUGUCAACAUUAUACCCAGGGUACUCUAUGAAAAAUUCUUUACAUAUCCUUUAUUAGAAACAACCAUGUGUUUGCAGUUUGCAGAUCAGACGAUAACUUUUCCAAAGGGAAUAGUGAAGAACCUUUGUUUCCGAGUUGGUACCUUGUAUGCCCUAGCAGACUUCGUAGUGGUAGAGACCAAAAAUGAUGAGAGAGCACCUAUCAUCUUAGGGAGGCCAUUCUUGAACACUACGGGAGCUAUCAUCUACGCUAAUGCUGCCAAGAUCAGUUUCUACGCCAAAGGGAGGAAGGAGACAUUUUUCUUCAAGAACAAGAGUACACAAAUUCCAGAUCAAUCCAGACGUGAAUCAAGGAAGAGGACCAACAGGAGGAACAGGAACAAGCAAGUGUGGACCGAGUCAGCUAAGAUGGUCACUGUAGUUCAUGGAGGCCAAGAUCGCCAACUUAAGUCACCGCUUUUGACCAAGAAGGACGACCCAGGAAUGCCAAGCAUCUACUACUCCAUCAAUGGAUACAACUUCUACAAGGCAACUUGUGACACCGGAUCGGGCGUCAACAUAAUGGCCGCAGUCACCUAUCGGCUCUUGUUCGGAACCAUGCCACUAAGACCAACAUACAUUCAGCUCCAGAUGGCAGAUCAGACAUUUCGAGAAGUUAAAGGAAUAGUAACUGAUGUCCCAGUCAAAAUAGACGAUCACUUUGUCUACACAGACUUUCAGGUUAUUGACAUGGGAGAAGAUGAGUACGAUCCACCCAUCAUCCUUGGAAGACCGUUCCUCAGCAGCGUUAAAGCAAUUAUCUACAUUGGAACCGGAGAAGUCCAUAUGCACUUCCCUUCAGAGAAGGUACGCCGUUAUUUUACUGACCCUAACUAUAUCGUUGAAGAAUCUAAGCAGGUCAGGAAACGACGUAACCGCAACCAGAGGAGGCAAAUCAUCAAGGACGGAUGGACAGACUAUGAAGGAGAAGUUAUAAGGUCAGAAGACAUAGAGUUUAAACAGAAUUAUCCAGAGGAGAUUGAAGCACCGAGUCAGGUAUGGAAAAUGAAGAUAACUAUACAUGAAGAGGAGGCGCCGCCGGAAGUACUGACUACGCCACCCAACGAACCUCAAGACGAUUGAAAAAAUGGAGAGUCCUGUUCGGAGGACUUAAAAACACCGAACGCCUUGCCAAGAGGUAAACUUGGUAGUUAUCCUUUCCCUUUCAAUUAUUUCAACUAGUUUACUUAUUUAAAAUAGUUUGCUUAGUUAAUCAUGUUCAUGCUAUCCUAAAAAGAAAAUAAAAAUAUGAAAAAAAACACAGUAAGCCCCAUGUGAGUAUACGAGUGGCAUAAAACACAUAAGUACAUUCACUGUGGUGGCAUAAAAAUAAAAUAAAAAGUUCUUUUCUGCUUUAUAAAAUAAAAAUACAUAAAAAAAUAGGGAGUAAUAAUUAUUAAGGAGUCUCAACAUGAUAAAGGCUAGAUAUUUAUGCUAACCCUUAAUUGUCGACGAAAGCUGGUCGGCAGUCUACCUUGGGGUAUACCCACGGUAGUAGUUUAUCGGUAGACGGUGCGCAAACUACGAACUCGAUGGUGACGCAAGACACGGACAAGCUUUUUAUCCAGGUUCGGCCGCCGAGUUGGCGUAAUACCUACGUCCUGCGUCUGAUUGUAUUGAUUUGUGUUGAGAGAAUAUGAUGUCCUAGGGGGGUCCCUUGCCUCUCCUUAUAUAGUUCGGAGGGCAGGGUUACAGAUCCGGAAACUAAUCCUAGUCGGUUACAAUUGCCAUAGAUAGUUCGAUAUCAAUUCCUAUUCUAACCGACUAGAAUCCUGUUUGAUCUCCACGUCUUGUUUCCUUGCGCGAAACUCCGAGCUGUCGGAUCAAACCUUGAGCUUGUCUCGUAAUGGGCCAAGCCUCCUGGCCCAAGUCUAGCCGUAAGGGUAUAGGGGUUUAUACCCCCACAGCUAGUCCCCGAGCACCAUGUAUUGUGAUGUAACACGCCGUCUUGAGCUUCUUCGAUCAGUGAGGCUUGACGUCUUCAGUAAACAGAAAAGUCACCCAAACAGUUGCAACGGUACUUUGACCAACUCAAAAGACAGUUGAUCAACAUUGACAUCGAAGAAGCUGGUUGUUCGAAGAAUGCAUGGUGCUCUAAAUUAAAAAAGAUUUCUUUCCUGGUGUAGUGUGCCCACUUUACUUUUAAGAAAAGUAUAAACCUCAAAAAAGCAAGCAUAUUCACCGCAAGGUGAAGUGUGCCCACUUAGUCCCCGAGCCUGGUAGUAGGUGACGUAGGCACGUGGUGCCAGGGUCAAAAGAAAAGUCCUCAAAGAAAUUCUGUAACUGAGAUGCAUCGCCAGAUGCAUCGUACCGAUGUAGUCCCCGAGCAUGCUGGAAGGCGAAGUAUGAGCCUUGUAGCAAGGUCUAAAAAAUUAAAUUUACUAGUCCGUUUGCAAUUGAAUAGACUAAUCGACCAGUCCCCGGGUGUACAAUAGUAUGACCACCAGGACCCAAGCACCAAGUGCGCUCCUUAGAAUUCUGCGUUGCUAUACUGGACGACCAGUCCCCAAGCAUCGAGCGCUCAGUGGUAGGUGCGAUAUUUUGAAGUUCCGAGCUGAUAGACUAGGCGACCAGUCCCCGAGCAUCAAGUGCUCGGUGGUCGGUACAGUCUUUGAUGUUCCGAGUCGAUAUACUAGACGACCAGUCCCCGAGCAUAAAAUGCUUGGUGGUCGGUGCAGACUUUGAAGUUCCGAGUCGAUAGACUAGGCGACCAGUCCCCGAGCAUCAAAUGCUUGGUGGUUGGUGCAGUCCCCGGAUUGUUGACUCCCUACCAGUUGUGUCUUCUUGUUUUGAAAAUUUUUCCACACAAAGAGUUGACGUGAUGAGACCUUCUGACGAGAUGUCAGAUGGAUGCAUGAAAAGUUGCGCCUGGCAACUGUACAGCCGCCCUUUGCGCGGUUUGAGAAAAGGAAACCAUCAAUUUGUACGAAAACUCCGCCGCAUUAAUUGUCGAUAACCAUUGAAAACCGAAACGCUGCAUCCGCCGUAUGGCCCGCCCACUUCCCGAGGAUGCGGGAAGUGGGAGGGGUGAAGUUGUGGGUUAUAAGAGCUCGACAGUUCCCCCUUUACUGCUUACCCUGCCAUUGCCUUCAAGCCUUCCACUCUUGCCUCCUUCAAUCAUCUACACCUUCCAAACUCGAAUCCACUUCCUCAACUCCAAUGGCGAAGAGCGACUCCAAGAAGAGGGCCGAGCUGAUGGCCAAGGAGUGGAAGAAGUCCCGUAGCACCGCCAAGUCUCUCGGUGACCUCGUCGAUAUGGGGCUUCUGCACGGCCCGGAGCUCGGCGGCUGGAGAGCGCCGGAAGGAGAGAGCUUCCCCGACCCCCGUGCUGGUGAGAUCGUGGUGUUCGAAGACUUCGUUAAGAGGGGUUUUGGGGUUCCUGUUCAUCCCUUUCUUCAGGGUCUUCUUCUUUAUUAUGAGAUCGGGAUUUGCAAUCUGCACCCGAACUCAAUCCUUCUUAUUUCUACUUUUAUCCAUUUGUGCGAAGCCUAUGUUGGCAUAGAGCCGCACUUCGACCUUUUCCGCUAUCUUUUUUGUUUAAGAAAGAAGGGAGCAGUUGGAGGCUCCAAGGUUGCUGGUGGAGUAUACCUCAACCUUCGCGACGGAAUGAAGAACCGCUACCUGCACUGUCCAUGGAACACUUCCCUGACCGAAUGGUACAGGAAAUGGUUCUACAUCAGGGAGGAACCGGGCAGCUCCACGUUCUGCGAUGUGGGAUACAUCCCUGAGAAGAGGGUGAGCUGGACCGACCGCCCAGAGUUCGACGGUCAAGUGGCAGACCUCAUGAAGCUGAUCGACUGGUCGCGCCUGGACGGGCUUGGCGUGGUCGGCAACUUCAUUUGUCGUCGGGUGAUGCCCUGUCAGAAGAGGGUGCACUCGGCGUACGAGUAUGCCGGAAGCGUGGACCCGACCAGGAUGCGACCUGAAAUCUUGGAGAAGGCGGAGGUAUAGCAGCUGCUGAACGAGCUGUUCAACUUCGCGGACGGAGGCUUCAUCCGUGGCAGUGAUCGGGUGCAGGCCUUCAAGUUGGGGCGACCAGCGCCUAAGGUAUGUUAUUGAUUACUUCGCUUUAGCAUCCGUAUAUUGGCUGCAACUAACUUAUCUUUGUUACUUUUGUAGAUCGGAGAUGUCGACCGGUGCACAGCGUAUGUAUCACUGGCACCGGGAAUGGAGAAUCCUGCGGGAGAAGAUCCGCCAGAGGAAGACGCUGAUCGGUGUACUUGUUACACCAGCAGUGAGGAAGACCAGGCCCGCCCCGUCCCGACCACCGAGGAUAGAGUGACGGGGAAAAGGCCAAUGCCCGCGGAUCCGUCGCCGGCACCGACGCUGCCGGCAGAGAGCAGCUGAGCGCCAAAGCGCCAUCGGUUUGUUCGGAUCGAUGACGACGACGAGGAGGAGGAGGCCGUACCGUCGUUGGUCCGGAGGCCUCAUAGCCCUCCAGACAGCGUGCCGGCCACUGCUGAUCGGGUGGCCAGCGACCCUCCUACGCCUCGCAUAGAGGAGAUGGGGGCAUAGGUGCCAACCGGCCGGGCAAGAAGGAGGUUCACCGCGGCCCACCGUCGAUCGGACCUGUAAGUGUUCGACUUACGUAUUUUGGCCUUUUUUUUGAGCUAUUGUUGAAAAUAUCGCUCUGUUAUGUAGCGCGGCGUCGGACGUCAACCCCGACCAGGCCGCAGAACAGGGGACGGCCGCUCCUGCUGCCGCUACUGAAGACGCCGCACCACAGGUCACAGGGCAACCUGCAGUGGCAGUGGGCACCGAGGAUCAAUCUGUCCCGACGAGUGCCGCGCCGAGCACUCAGCCGAGGGGUGAGGAGGCAACAGGGACCCCUCCCCCGAGUACUAUUGCAGAGGAGGGGAGCAGAGUCCCGACUCCUCCAACCGAAGAAGGGAGGGUGCCGACACCGCCCCGAGCAGGGGCUUCUUCGCCCGUGGGCUCCCCUGGCCCAUACCAGGGACCAGUGAUGCCCUCGGCCGCAGCCGGAGGCAGUGCGGCGAACGAGGAGCCCCAGGAGGCCUCCGAUGACGAUGUGGAGGAGGUCCAGGGUCGUCCCCGUGAUGGUCGCCAGCACGUCUAUGUGUGGCGCCAACGCGGGGACCACUUUAUUGGUCACGAGGAGCUCGCGGAGACGGAGGAGGACGCGAGGGUGGAGCGCGCGGCUAAACGCCUCGUGGACGAGGUUAAGGUGGGUGGUCCUGUGUGUUGCUUGGAUAACUUUGUGCAGUGUUCCCGUAUUCGACAUGUGUUCUUUUUUGCAGGGCGCAAUGAAAACGGCGAAGUACCGGAAACGGUGCUUCGACCAGAUCGAAGGAAUCGUGGCCGAGAAUAAGGCCUUGUCCGCGGAGGUAGACCGGCUGCGGUCGGAGGUUGGGGAGAAGGUGGCCGAGAUGAAUGCCCAGGAGGAGCAUCGUCUCGAGCUUAUCCGUCGCUUGGCCGACCAGUACCGACAGCGAUCAGGUCAGUCACGCGCUCCGAGCAGCUUUGUGUAGCUGUGUAGUUGGCUUUAUUGACCAGGUUAUGAUUCACGUAGACUUGGAGGAGGAGGUGGCGCGGCUCCGACAGGAGAAGGAGCAGCUCAGCCAAGAGCUUGCCGGUUCGCUGGAGUCCGGGCGCCGAGCAAGAGAGGAGUUGGGCCGGAAGGACCGGGAGUUAUCUGGUAAUACGCGCCGCCUCGUUAUCUGCCGCUUGUCGCCCCUUUGUUUCUUUUGAUAUAACGUCUUGCUUGAUUUGCAGUGCUUAAAGUGAACGCCAAGAAGCACCUGGACGAGCUGAUCAAGGACCGGGACUCCUGGAAGGUCAAUUGUUGUAAGAUCUGGAAAGGAGUAUCCCCGGUCCUGGAUCUGAUCAGUCCCGAGCUCCCGGAGAGCCAGCCCCGCGCGCCGAGGUUGACUCCAGUGGAGAAGGCGCAACGGGCGUGGGACUGGCUCCAGCAAUUUGUGAAGGACGCCGGGGAGUUUGCUGGCGCGCAUGUCCUUAGCAUGGUGCGCGCCCACUACCCCCUGGUCGACUUGACCAGGCUGGAGAAGGGGUACCCCAAGGAGGUCGGCCCGCAGGUGGCGGACGAGCUUCGGGGUGGUCUGCUGGACUUGUCGUCGACAGUGAUCGGCGACAUCAAUCUAUGCGGAACAGCCACCCCCCCCGACCAGCCGGGUUCAGACAGGUCGGCCAGGGAGCUGUCGGGCGCGUCUAAUGCAGGAGAUGGGCGGUCAACGCCUGCGGUCUCGACCAGCCAGGCGCCGGUGGCCCCGACCCCUUCGUCCGGGCAGCAGGGCCAGGCGGGUGAUCAGCCCGAGCAGUAGGCCAAUAGGGUAGUCUAUAGGAAUAGACUAGCGUCUGCCCGUUAGGAUAUUUAUUGUAAACUUUGUAUGUAAAUUUUGUAAUAAAGUUUGCUUUUGUCAUGACUAUUGUUUUGAGCGCUGUACAAUUAUCUGAGUGACGUGCCACUGUAUUUGACUUUGUAGUCGCUAAGAGCUUCUGGUGCAGAAGGCUUUCCGAGUUCAGCGUGUAACAAAGUAUAGGCAAAAAAUAGAAACCUUUAUUAUUGACAGCUAUAAGAUAUUUACAAGCGAAAGUUAUUAGAACUUAUGGAUAAAAUCGACGCAGUUUGUCUAUGUGCCAAGAGUUAGGCACGCGUGUUCCGUCUAGGUAUGCCAAUCUGUAGGACGUGGGUUGGGUAACUUCGGCGACCACGAAGGGUCCUUCCCAGGGAGUGGAUAGCUUGUGCAUUCCCUCUUGGCUUGUUUUCCACCUAAGUACCAGAUCGCCGACCACGAAGGAACGGUCCUUAACGUUCCUGUUGUGGUAUCGCCUGAUUGCCGCGAGAUACUUUGCUGUUCGGAGACAAGAAUUCAAACGCUUUUCCUCCAUGCAGUUGAUUUCGAGUUCUCUGGCGUUGUCGGCUAUUGACUGGUCGAAGUUUUCAAUCCUAGGAGAACCGAAGGUUAUGUCAGACGACAGGAUUGCCUCGGUGCCGUAAACCAUGAAGUAAGGAGACACUCCUCUGUUCCGACUGGUCUGAGUUCGGAGGCCCCAGACCACGGCCGGUAACUCUUUCAUCCAUCGACCGGGUGCUCUGUCGUUCUCGGUGUACAGCCUUUUCUUUAGGGCAUCAAUGAUCAUUCCGUUCGCACGCUCAACUUGACCAUUGGCCCGUGGGUGAGCUACUGACACAUAUUUUAUGACUAUGCCCCUGUCAUCGCAAAAGUCCCAAAAUGUGGUGCCAGUAAACUGAGUACCCAGGUCGGUGAUUAUACUGUUUGGGAUCCCGAACCUGUGUAUGAUUUGACUAAGGAAUUCCACAGCCUUCUCGGAGGUUGCUUUGACCAGAGGCAUAUAUUCGAUCCACUUGGAGAACUUGUCGAUUAACACGAAAACGAACUUGAAGUUGCUGAGAGCUGGUUUAAAUGGCCCGAUCAUGUCGAGCCCCUAGCAGGCAAAGGGCCAGGAUGAUGGGAUGGUUUGAAUCUCAUGAGCAGGUACGUGGGUCCUUUUAGCGAAGAACUGACAUCCCUCACAGUGUCGGACCAGUUUUUCUGCGUCGCCGACCGCGGUUGGCCAAUAAAAACCUGCUCGGAAGGCUUUCCCGACCAGUGUUCUGGAUGCGGCAUGAUUGCCGCAGGAUCCAGCGUGUAUGUCUUCUAGGAGCUUGAUGCCGUCAUCUUGGGAUAUGCAUUUGAGCAGUACUUCAGAACUUGCAUUUUUUCGCAUAAGUUUGCCGUCCACCAGUAUGUAGUUCUUUGAUCGUCGAAUGAGGCGUUCAUUUUCUGUUCUGUCCUGAAAGCCUGACCCGUCCGAUAUAUAUCUUAUGAACGGGGUGUGCUAGUCGCGGCCACUAGUUGUCGGAGUGGCAUCGUCUAUGAGCAUUGCCUCAGUGAGUUGUUUUUCGACUAGUCCUGUGCCCACACUUUGCUCGUGGAUGUCCUGGACGAAAAUACCCCGCGGGAUCUGUGCCCGAGAUGACCCUAACUUUGACAACGCAUCUGCUGCCUGGUUCUUAUCCCGGACCACGUGGAUGUACUCUAUGCCGUAGAAGUUGGUUUCCCAUUUGCGAAUUUCUUUGCAGUAGAGAUCCAUCUCCUCGUGGGUUGCGUCCCACUCCUUGUUGAGCUGGUUGAUAACUAAAGCAGAGUCGCCAUAGACAUAGAGGCGUUUGACUCCCAGCUCAAUGGCUAGCCUUAUGCCGUGCAGGCAUGCUUCGUAUUCGGCGACAUUGUUUGACACCGGAAAGAGGAUCCUAAGGACGUAAUGCAGUUUGUCCUUGUUAGGCGACACGAACAGUAUCCCAGCGCCGGCGCCGUUGAUGUUCAAGGAUCCGUCAAAGAACAUUGACCAGUGGUCGGAGACAUCAGGAACGGGAGGCUCGUUGAGAUCUGUCCAUUCAGCAAUGAAAACGACCAGGGCCUGAGACUUGACUGUGGUGCGGCUCUGGAACUCCAGGGAAAAUGGGCAUAAUUCCAUCGCCCAUUUUACGAUUCUGCCGUUGGCAUCUUUAUUGCGCAGAAUGUCCCCGAGAGGGAAACUGGUGGUUACCAAGACUCGAUGGCCGUCGAAGUAGUGCUUCAGCUUUCUUGACGUUAUUAGAAUGGCGUAUAUGAGCUUCUGUAUUUGUGGGUACCUGGCCUUGGACUCGUUUAAGACUUUGCUUAUGAAGUAAACGGGUCUCUGGACCUUGUAGACAUGACCUAGCUCAUCUCGCUCGACCACUAUUGCUGUGGAAACAACCCUGUCGGUUGCAGCAAUGUAAAGGAGUAGGUCUUCAUUGGGCUGAGGCGCUGCAAGGACAGGCGGUGAAGUGAGGAAAGUCUUAAGCUGAGUGAACGCGGCGUUGGAUUCCUCUGUCCAAGAAAAUUUUUCCGACGCUUUCAAGAGUUUGAAGAAAGGGAGGCCUUUUUCUCCUAGUCUUGAGAGGAAGCGACUGAGGGCGGCCAUACAUCCGAUGAGCUUUUGAAUAUCCUUGACGUUUUUAGGUGGUCGCAUGUCGAGCACUGCUUUUACUUUUGAAGGAUUUGGCCGUAUGCCGUCACGACUGACAACGUUGCCGAGCAGUAGACCAGAAGGAACACCGAAGAUGCACUUUUUGGGGUUAAGCUUCCACUUGUACCUAUUAAGCGCCUUAAAAGUUCAGUCUAAGUUGUCGAUUAGGGUGUUCGCAUCCCUUGUUUUGACGACCACGUCGUCUACAUAGGCCUCGACGAGGUCAUCACGAAUCUCGUCGUGGAGGCACUGCUGGAUGGCCCGUUGAUAAGUGGCUCCGGCAUUUUUGAGUCCGAAUGACAUGGUCGUGUAGCAAUAUGCGCCAAAAGGAGUAAUGAAGGAUGUUUUUAUCUGAUCGUCUUCCUUUAGCGAGAUCUGGUGAUAACCAGAGUAGCAGUCUAGAAAAGAGAGGAGUUCGCAUCCGGCCGUUGAGUCGACCACCUCGUCGAUGCGAGGGAGACCAAAAGGAUCUUUAGGACAGUGUUUAUUGAGAUCAGUGUAAUCAACGCACAUUCUCCAUUCAUUAUUCUUUUUGCGUACAAGAACCGGAUUGGCGAGCCAAUCGGGGUGAUACACUUCUUUUAUGAAUCCGGCUGCUAGAAGCCGUGUUAUUUCUGUCCUAAUAGCCUCCUUUUUGUCACGAGUGAACCGUCGUAGCUUUUGCUUGAUUGGUCUUGCGGUCUUCGAGACAUUUAAGGAGUGCUCGAUCAGGUUUCGUGGGACGCCAGGCAUGUCUGCGGGUUUCCAUGCGAAAACGCUCACGUUGUGCCUUAGAAACCUGACGAGCGCGUCUUUCUAUUUUGGAUCCAGAUUGGCCCCGAUGAGGGCCGUCUUCUCGGGGCUGCCGUCGACUAGCUGCACUUCUUUUACUCCUUAGAUUUUGAGUUCUUUCUGGCGGUCUCCUGCUUGGGUAAUGGGAGCUGGUCGGGAGGCAGCUGUGUGGCUUGGGUUGCUGUUUCUGCCAUGCGGAUUGAUAUGUCGAUUGCCUCGGUAAUCUUGAAGCUUUCCUCUUUGCAGGUAUACGCGGUGUAGACGUUGCCUCUGACGGUUAGGACACCCUUCUCUGUAGGCAUUUUAAGGACCAGGUAUGAGUAGUGCGGGACUGCCAUGAACUUUGUCAACGAUGGUCGGCCCAGUAUAGCGUGGUAGGUCCCGUCGAAGUCCGCGACCACAAAGUUGAUGAACUCUGUCUGAAAGUGGUCGGGUGUGCCGAAUUGGACAGGCAAUGUUAUCUGUCCAAGGGGCACUGAACUCUGACCUGGCAAAACCCCCCAGAAUUGAGCAUCAUAGGGUUUUAGUUGUGCAGGAGAUAUUUUGAGGGCGGGCAGGCCGUUGCAGAAGAGGAUGUCGAUGGAGCUUCCCCCGUCCACGAGCACGCGCUCGAAUCUGAUGCUGUUGAUGCAAGGGUCCAGGAUCAGUGGGAAACGACCUGGCUCUGGGAUAGCGGCCCACUGAUCCUUCCUGCUGAAUGAGAUCUCCCUGUGCGACCACAGGGGAAAUUUUGGGUCUGCGAUCAGCCCGUCCGUGCUGUCUAUGUUGAGGCAGGCUCUCUUUAAUAGCUUUCUCUCUCGCUUAGAUUCGAUGGAGACCUUGCCCCCGAAGAUGGAGUGGACCACGUCAGUGGGGCUGACGUAUUGGUGUCGGGGGUCCCUAUCUUGGUCCUCGUCCUCGUCUUCGUGGUCGUGCCCGUCUCGCUUGCCAUUUUUCAUGGUGGAGUCGUCUUGGGCGGCCCACCGUGUGUUGAUGCUUUUGAGGACGCGACACUCCUCCAUGGUAUGAUUAGACUUUGGAUGCAGUUGGCACGGUCCCUUCAACGUUUUGUUGUAGUCUUCUUGGUAGUCCCGCCGCCCGUUGGGACGCUUGACCGUAUUCACUUCAUGGUCGUAGUCGCGGGGGCGCUUUCCUCUGAAAUCGUCGCGAUUGUCGCGGCGCCGAUCCCAACCUUCUCUGUGAUCACGGUUGUCGGGGCGGCGGUGGUUCCUGUUGUCGUAGCGACCGCGACUGUCAUCUCGCCGGGGAGGCUGGUCGGGACCUCUCGCAUCGUCUCGGAUUAGUUUCUCUGCGUCGUCGGCAUCGGCGUAAUUUUUAGCCGUGGCGAGGAGCUCCGCCACCGUUGUUGGCCGUUUGCGCAACAGCUUGUUCCUCAGCGCUUCAUGGAAAUGCAGGCCCUUGAUGAAGGCAGAGAUGGCCUCGUCGUGGGAAAUCUUCGGGAUCUUAAGGCGCAUAUCCGAGAAUCGUCGGAUGUAAUCGCGCAGAGGUUCAUUCUUCCUGUCCCUUAUCCUUUCGAGGUCAUACUUGUUUCCAGAUUGCUCGCAUGUGGCGAUGAAGUUGUCGAUGAAAGCCUGGCGUAGCUCUUCCCAAGAGUCGAAGGAGUCCUCGGGCAAGCCAAGGAGCCACUGAUGACCAGCCUGGUCGAGGACUACAGGAAAGUAGUUGGCCAUGACGUGCUCAUCUCCCGCUGCUGAUCGGAUGGCAAUUUCAUAGAGAGUGAUCCAGUUCUCUGGAUUUUCCUUGCCGUCGUAUUUUUUAAGUUUUUCGAGCUUGAAAUUGUGGGGCCACACGACCUGGCGGAGGUGUGAGGAGAACUGUCUUAGGCCCGGGGGGCCGUGCGUUGCAUCGUACUCGAUACGGCGCAGGUUUUCGUGGACUGCUCUCUCUGUGGCGCGCCUGUUGAUGCGGUCCCGGGCAUCUUUGGGAGGGAUGUUGUAUCAGAGAUCCCUGUGCUGGUUUACUUCUUGACCGCACCUGCGGUUCUGCUCACGGUGACCGUCAGUAUCCCGACCACCAUCGUUACGCCGUGAAUCUUUUCGAUUGUUGUCGGGAAAGCGGUUGCGGUGAUGCCUGCUGGGAGGCGGUGAGGUCCGGCUACGAUUAGUCUGGUCGGAGGUGGCUUCCGUAUAAGAGACGUCCUGGACUCUCUUAAGCAGAGUGGCUGUCUGUCCCAUUACGGCAAUCAGGUGCGCUCGGACGCUGGUUCGGACUCCCUGGCACUCAGGGGUAUCAGGGAGCCGAUCUAGAUUAGCCAUGGCGACAGCCACGUUGGCGCUUGGCGUUUUGUAGACUGGAUGGUCCCCGACCAUGUCAAAAGCGUCGCUGAGGUUAUGCGGUGGAAUUUGUCGUUGCUCAUCUGCGCGUCGUCGGGCGCGAUCGGCGUUGCGCUGCUCGCGGAGCUGCCUCUGCUCAUCCGUUCCUCCAUCAACGACUGGCUUGUCGGCGCUGACGUUGAAAACAAUGUCCCCUCGCCGGGGGGGAAAUAUCGGGAAACGAGGGAAACCCGGAGAGUGUGAAGGCAAAUCCAGGUCGUAGUCCUCGUCUUCGGAGUUUAUAACUUCGGUGGGGACGGAACCGGUGCUCGAGUUGGUGCUAGAAGCCUGACCGUCCCGUAGCUCUCGGAUCGUCACCAUGUUGACGUAGUGACGAGCAGGUCGAUCGUUCCUUUUCAGCGGCCAAACUGCCUUGCUGAAAACAGAUUGGAUGUGCCGUGAGUAGAGAGAGGCCGAGUUGUUCAGGCCGCAAGGAUAAUCUUCCUCCUUGAGCUUGACGGUCCGUCCUGAGGGAGUUGAGGUUAUCGUCAGAGACGUUCCUAGCCAUUCGUGUGUAACGACACGAGUUGGCCGGCGGGAUUUGAAAAAAUCCGUUGAAGCGGCUUGAUCAGGCUGGCGCAGGAUUCCAUCUACUAGUUGGGAGGCUUCGAGUAGCUUGGAAUCAGCGCGAUCAAGCGCUUGGAGAAGGUCCGAGCAGUCGAUCUUCUUUCCCUUGUAGAGCGGGAACGGUGGUCGGGUGCUUGGUGCCGCCAUCCGGGUGGUCGGAGACGACGUGAUCUCAGAUUGGAUCUGAGUUUCUUUCGAAACCGUGGUCGUAAGGCCACCGCCGCGCGUCGUCCACGUGAUCUGGCCGACGGUGAACGUGAGGCCUUCGGGCACGGUCGCGGAAGUUGGGAUUGUGACCAUCUUGUUCGCCGGAGAAGUUGCACGCACACCCCCUACCUGGCGCGCCACUGUCGACGAAAGCUGGUCGGCAGUCUACCUUGGGGUAUACCCACGGUAGUAGUUUAUCGGUAGACGGUGCGCAAACUACGAACUCGAUGGUGACGCAAGACACGGACAAGCUUUUUAUCCGGGUUCGGCCGCCGAGUUGGCGUAAUACCUACGUACUGCGUCUGAUUGUAUUGAUUUGUGUUGAGAGAAUAUGAUGUCCUAGGGGGGUCCCUUGCCUCUCCUUAUAUAGUUCGGAGGGCAGGGUUAUAGAUCCGGAAACUAAUCCUAGUCGGUUACAAUUGCCAUAGAUAGUUCGAUAUCAAUUCCUAUUCUAACCGACUAGAAUCCUGUUUGAUCUCCACGUCUUAUUUCCUUGCGCGAAACUCCGAGCUGUCGGAUCAAACCUUGAGCUUGUCUCGUAAUGGGCCAAGCCUCCUGGCCCAAGUCUAGCCGUAAGGGUAUAGGGGUUUAUACCCCCACAUUAAUCAGUUCCACAAGCUUUGUUGUCUAUUUGAGCUUCGCAGAAUUUAAGAAUCAAGAAGACUAGCAGACGGAGGACAUUCUAAUCGCUGUUAGAAUGCUGCUGACUUUCAAAUACACCUCUGCCACCUGCUAGCUACAUCAAGAGAAAUUACGUCAAAAUUCAGCUUGGGGGAGAGCACGUCCAUUUAUCUCGAGAAGUAUUCCUAUCUUUAUACUAUUUUAGAAUAUUAAAAUACAUAAACUAUGAAAAACCAAAUAAAUAUUUUAUGCUUAUAUAUAUCUCUUUUACUUAGUGUGUUUAAUAAAUAAAUAAAGUGGCUAUGCUAAUCUGUAUCUAAAUAAAACUCAAGGAUGGAUAUGAUGAAUAGUUGCUCUGCCUAAUUUGCACAUUUUAAGUUCUCUCUCAAGUUUAGACAUAACUGUUAUAAUUUAAAGCUUGCUCUAGACCUAAACUUGUGGGAUGAAAACUUGAUCGGAAGUCUAAGUUGUUAACGGAUACGAUAUGGGAAGGUUGAGCUGUUGUUUAUCUGUUCCUAGAGAUGCUAGAAUUCUGGAGAAUUUUAUCUUUGAAAAUCUUUAAAAAUUUCAUGAUGAGUUCCUGUAUGAUGAGAGUUUAAAUUCCUACCACAGCCAUAUAUACAUGCUUGCUAGACUUUGAGCCACACAUUUACUAUUUACUGCUUAUGAGCAUUGAGUGUGGUCAAGCUGUGUAGACCCUUAGGAGCUUGUCAUGUGGUUAAAUCAAGAUUCACUUGCACGUUCACUCAUAUAUGCUACUUCUACUUCGGAAGUACCAUCCACAUAUAUCCACCCAUUCCAUCUCCAGAAUCACCCAAAAAUAUUCUACUCCUAAUCCGAGAGAGAAUAAACAAAAAUAUUCCUGUUUUUCCCUUGUGAAAUAAAUGCUCAAGUUAGCUUGUUACUACCACUUGCUAUAUUAUCUCAAGAGAUGAGUGCUCUCUAAAAUAAUAAUAAUAAUAAUAAUAAUAAUAAUAAUAAUAAUAAUAAUAAUAUGAGGAAAUAAAAAGGAGCAAGUGCUCGGAACCUCGAAAGAAAAGAAAAAGUGAGACGAGAGGUAAAAAUGGACAAGUGUCUGACAGUAGAAUUAGGGGUACAAGAUACCCACCUGAGAGAAAAGAAAAAGAAGAGCAUCUCAUUCUCCUCAUAAAGUUUCAAAAAGCAAGGAAGGUAUGUAUCCCCUCAAAGAGCAAAGUAGAAUUAGACUUCCACCACCAUUGUUUUCACUAUUGUUAUCACCAUCAUCACCAUACAUCAUUCAUUCGCCACACAUGCACAUCUUGAUUAAACUUAUUGACUUGUUACUUUGGAUCCAUGGUUUGACUAUACAAUACAUGUCUUGUAAGUAUGUAUACUUUAUCUCCCACCUAUGAGCUCUAGAUAUUAAAGCCUUAUUAGAGUAGGGUGAGAGAUAAGACAAUGUCACUAUGCUUUAUACCACAAAUACUACAUAUCUUGAGAGAAGGCAUAUACCAUCACUGCCUUGGUAAGGAUCCAGAAAUACCACAAAAGAGAGAUAUGAGAGAGUCAUACAAGGAAUCUCUGAGUUUUAUUUGAAAAUCUGCAAAAACCCCAGAGCUAUAGCUGAUCAAGAAUAAGAGACAUGGCACUUGGCUAGACUGUUCUAUCUUUUAACUACUCAAGACAGAAGUGACGGUUGCAAGUCCCGUGGUGAAGGUAAAGUAAGUAAGUUUUAAGUCUUGACAGUUUACUCUAACUCAGAGAUGAGAUCUUAUUUAAAAAGCAUGUGUACCGUCAAUUUUUCUAAAAGAUAUUGCAACAACUUAUGAUCCAUAGCUGAGUCUAUCCUUGCUCAGGGACGAGCAAGAGGUAAGCUUGGGGGAGUUUGUUGACGGUCCUUAAGUAUCAAAUUUAAUUAUCAAAUAAAUAAAGAAAAGGAUCCAAAUGAAAUCAACAUCUAGACUUAAGGUUUUAUCUGACAGAAUUCCACGAGUUUUGGUGUUUGUCUAUUUCUGCAGGGGGUUAUCAGGAAAUAUGGAAGAAAGGCCCACACGUCGGGAUUACAUAGAGAUAUUAAUGUGCCACGCAAUUAUCUUACAUCUAGAAGACUCCAGAAGCCACGAGACCGAAGCGGAGGCGAAACGGGGCCAAUCAGGACUCUGCUUCGUGGGAGAUCUCCACCGACCUAAAGGAUGAAUCUAAACCAUACAAUCUAUGUCGGUUUGAUCCAACAGCCCAUAUUCACUUGAAGGGACUAUAAAACCAGACCCCCUGGCCCCUGGAGGAGGGAGCCUCUCAACCCUAAUUCAUUGUUCCUCAAGGGAGAAGAAGCCUCUGAUCAAGAUUAGAGCCAUCACAUCAAUUAGAUAUCUAGAUUAGCAUAGCUACAUAGGAUUAGAACUAGAAGGAGUCAAUCUUCGAUUGGUUUCCGGAUCUGCCAAAAGGAUUCUUGGUAAUUCUCUAAUUGUGCUUCUAAUUGCUUUCUAAUUAUCUUUGUUCUUCAAUAUUAUGAAUAUGACUUUGUUCUACUUCAAUAUAUUGCUUAUGACUUUGCUCUACUUGCUUAUAUUCAAGAUUAUAUUGUUCUUAGUUUAUCAUACUUAUGUACUUGGCUUAGUUAGAUUCGAUCUAUAUACAUGCUUAGGAUCGUAUAGCGUUUAUCCAUCGGAUCCAUGGGUAAAUGAUAGAUAUUGUGUAGGCGUGGUGCUUAUACCGUAUUUAUCUGCGAUUGUACCCAAUAUGCCAGAUCGUGGGGUGGUUCGUGAUAGUGACAGCUUCAUUGAUUCUUAUAUAGUCCCCCUCUCGUGUAUUGGGCUAGCAGAGCAAUAUUAUUACAGGGGAGUGAUUGCUAUGUUUCUCAUAUUCCUUGCUAAUAUCACUAUGCAUGGGCGUAGUCUUGUCUCGCAAUGAUUGUUAAGUAUGCUUGCACUAACUAUGAUAUGCUAAACUAUAUAGUUGAGAAUAACUUAGGGAAUAUUCUUGUAGUUCGUUCUAAUACCAUGCUAAUGACUUUCUAGAGUAUCUAAUUGAGGUGCUUAUCAUAUUUAUUAUGUGGCUAGAUCAGAUUAGUUAUCCUUGUCAAUAUUAUUAUUUCAUAUAUCUUUUAUGUGACACUUAUCCCUGUAUGAAGAGUUAGAUAUAAUGUUCUCAAUUAUACAUGCAAUGAUAGAUGCUCAAUCUCAUAUUCUAUUCUAUAAUCAAUAUUGAUGAUUGCUAAUCCCUUCCCAGUGGUAAAAAUAUAAAUAACGAUACCUGGAAUACUUCCCGGUUAAAAUGCUACAUCGGUAUUAAUCUGUGCGCUUGCAGAUCCCAUUCAUUAUUUAUUUAGAAGAGCAAUUGCAUAUUUCAAUACCGCGUCUCUUAUAUCAUGCUGGGGAUGACAACUUGGCUUAAGUGCUGUGAGGGAUAGGUUUGGCAUUUUUGGCACCGUUACUAGAUUUAGAGAACUUAGUCUACUUUUGGUAAUGAUGUUAAGAAUACCCAACAUAGGGAGUGUACUCUAGUGAAGGAAAAGAGUAGCCAAAGCCAUGUACUUAGUGUACAUAUAUGUUUAUAAUUGAGUAAUCUUCCCCAACUUCUUGUUUUAUGAGAAAGUUGAAGAUGAAAGAGUUUUGACAAAUUUCCUUUUCCAUUACAUACCCUAAGGCUUUAAAUCUCGGGGAUGAGAUUUCUUUAAGGGGGAAGGGCUGUAACAUCCCCGAUGUUACGGUUACUAAAAUUCGGAUUAUGGCAUCAUCAGCAUUGCAUAGCAUAGUUGUUAAGCACACCUUGAUGCAUCAACUUAAAAUGAGUUUAAUUUGGUUGAAUGUGCUUAGGGAACCAAAGUGUGUUUAUCUUGUAUAUUGAUGCUUGAGUUGGUUGCUAAAACCCUAGGGUAAAGGUUUUCCGAAGGCUUAGGGGGGGGAACCCUGAUUUCUGAACCCCAGAUUUGCCCCCUUUUGUGCAAUUCAAAAACCAAGCAAAAUUUGAGGUUGAGUUCAAAAGCAAAGCUGUAGAUCUUGUCAAGAUGUACAACUUUGGUGUUUUGAGUUUUUGAAGUUUCAAUACAAAAUUCAAAGUAAUUUUGAAAAUACAGAUUUCCGCAAAGUGUCCCCUUUUCUAAUUUGAAUCUCCACUUCAAAAUCUAUUUGGAAUUUUGAAAUGUGACCAACAUGAAAGUUGUAGAGCUCAAAAAUUUGAACAACUUUCAUGUUGGGAGUUGUUCAAGUUGUUCAGGAAAAACAAAAGUAAUUUUGGAAAUUCUGAUCUGCCCCAAUUCAAAAAUUUGAAUCCUCUCAAAUUGAAUUUUGAUUUGCAAACUGUUUUGGCCAAAUUCACCCUGUUACACUCAAAAUCAGCUCUGGUCACCAAAACAUGUUUUGUAGCUUAUACAUUUCUGAGCAACUUUUGUUUUGGUGGAAUUUUGUGUUCAGUUCAAAUUUUGGGCGAAAUUUGCAAAACCACAAAACUGGGUUCCAGUGGAUUUGGACUGCUACAGUACUGAGCAGGGGGGGUGCUCUGCCGCCGGAGCAGAGCCGCCUUCGCGCGCGCCGCCACGCGCCUGGCCACGCAGCUGCUUGGCUGCGUGAGCCCGCCGUGAUGUGGACGAGCCCCCGCCCCCUAGUGUGCUCAUCCACUCCCCUGCUGCUUCCACUGCACGGCCGCUCCGCUUCUCCCUUUUCUGCCGACACCGACGACCCGGCCGCGCCUUCAAAAUUCAUCGCACCCAAUCCCUCUCAAGCCCAAUUGAGCAACCCAAAGCACUCGCCACCUCCUUGCGAACCCAGUGCACCUCCGAGCUCACUCCCUAGUCCGCUCAAUCGCCGGAACACCUCCCUCUUCUCCAACUCCGGCCGAAACCGCCGCUGAGGAACUCCCUCCGUGGCCACGUGGUUCCAGUAAGCGGCAAACCUUACUCGCGGCUGUUUCCGGUCCCUCUUCAGCUCCUACAGCUCAUGCACUUGCUUUUUCUUCUUGGACGCGAGCAGGAUCGCCGGAACGACGUCGUUGAGCUCAGAGCGUCCGCCCGACGACACCGCCUCCGUCGCCAGCGACCUUGGCUACUUCCCCGAGCCUUGCAGCGUGAGCACCACCCUCCCUAACCCCCGUGGAAGCUCGCUAGGCCGUCCGUUUGCACUCUACGGGCCUUAGUGGCCGGCUGAUGGUCGGCCAUGGCGGUCGCCCGCCUUUCUCGUGGCCGACGUGGAAGGGAUAGGGUAGAGCGUGAAUAGAAGGUGUCCACGGGGUCGCGAAGUCGAGGUGAAGCCGAUGCGCACGCGCACUCGGGCUGAAACCCUCACCAACGGCGGCCGGAACCGUGGCCGAGCCGCCGUGCGCGGUGAGGACGCAGCUGACGGGUGGGGUCGCCCCGUCAGCGUCCCGCAGAGAGGGGAGAGGAGGGCCUGACGAGCAGGACCCGCUCGUCAGUGACCACGCAGAGAGGAGGGCGCGCACGCGUGGCGCCCGUGUGGACUGGGCGUAAGUGGGCCGGCCUGCGGGCCUUUUGGCUGGGCCUCGCCCAGUUUCAAUUUGUUUUUUUUCUUUCUCCUUUUGUUUAAAAAUGCUUAAUGUUUGAUUCUGUGUCAUAAAUCAUGUGUUGAUCCAAAAAUUUUGAAAAUUUUUGUAUAGCUUUCACAAAAUGAUUAGAACAUAGGAAAAAUAUUAGAUUUUACUUUCUGGUAGUUUGCAUAUAUAUAAAAAUGGUCUCUCUUAAUUAAUGAAUAAAACUUCCAUGAAUUUUCAUAAUUUGUGAGUAUAUCCAAAAAUCACCAAAAAUUGUGAGAGGCCUCUGAAUAUUAUUCCUUGGCUUCACACAAAAUUUGGUGGCAUUUGGAUGAUGUUUGAAUAAAAUAUUAUUAAACCCUUAUUUAGUAAUUAAAUAGUAAUUCUAAGAUAAUUAGAUAGUGAUUAGUUAAAUCCUCAUAAUUAGGGUUGAGUGAUUUUGGGAUUGUGUGAUGACCUAAGGUCAUUAACCUUAAUGGCCUUUAGCAUUUAAUUAUUGUUUAGUCUUAAUGCUUAAUUACUGUCAUUAAUAAUUAAUUAAGAAAUAAUUAGGGUGAAAGGAUUAAUAAUUAGUUAGUUUAGGAUAAUUAUGAAUUAAGAAAAGUACUAAUUUACAGAUGCAACCUCUUGGGUAGAGACACUAAGAUGUUAAACAACUGUAAUCAUUGUUUAUUCUGUGUUGCACCGAAAGGGCCAGUUAUACUUAACUUGGUCCCUUUUUGCAUAUUUAUCACAUGCAUAUCAUGAGCAUUCAUCAAUUUGCGUAUAGUGCACGUGACCGAAGGAGCGCUCGUCGAACCGAACCCCGAGGUCGGUGCUCCGUUCGAGGAAGUAGGAUCCGAGACUUGGGAAGUCUCCGAGGGUCCCUCUCUGCCAUGCAACCAAGGCAAGCCCCGGAUGCAUUAACCCCUCCUUGAAUGUUUUAAAUCUUUUAUCACUUAUGAAUUGAAAAUGCUGCAUUAGGUAGUUGAGAAUUGGGCUAACCUACUUGCUGCAUUUACUACCUUGAUACUUGUUAUCUUGUCCUUGACACCUGUUUUAUUUUAAAAUUGCGUAGCGAUGCUUAGCCCUGCUACUAGAUAGGUUUUUAAACAAAGUUUGAAGGGUUGUUGUGGAAUACACUUAUGAUCAAUGAUGUUUCAACUUGAGACCGGUCGGUGGACUUGCUUUAAGAAUGGAGUCUUAAAGUAGUGUCUCCAACUGUGUCGGUUAAGGACCGGUCCGUUGAUGGCCCGCUGGGUUGAGAAUUUAUAGUACUAGCCACUUGCCCUCGGUAAGCCCGGUCUUGUGAUCCCUCGACGCGAACAGCUACUCGUGCACUGGGCGUGGAGCGAUGGCGAGAGUAGUGUGUACCCAUCUUACGGAUCUGAGAUGACCGGAAAACAUCUAGAUCGGUUGUAGGAUGGUGGAGUACUGUGCUCUCGGGUGCCGCGAACCUGGUCAAAUUUGGGGAGAGCUUGAUUUGGGUUGACAUAUGCAAGAUCUGGUUCUACAUAUGUCGGGUGGUUAGGAACUCCAGCUGGAUUGCUAAGCGGUUCGAAUCAUCAUUGCUCCCCGAUUGGGAGACUCAAUCCACUGACCCUCAUCGUAGUUAAAUAUGCAACUAAGUGGUAAAAUGAGAAAAGGGGAAAAUGUCUCAUGAGCUUCGGAUCCCAAUUCCCGUACUCAGAGUGACAUGAAGCUAUGGCCGUUGGAUAGAUAAUACUUUGGUUAAGGACUAGGAACUUACAGACUUGUCUGUGAGAAGCAACUAGAUAGACUGUCCUCGAACUCCUCGGCCUCUUUAGGAGAGGAAUUCGCGGGUAAAACUUGAAAGUAAGGAUGCACUAUUAGUAAGCUUUUCCGCAAAACACUUUGGCUCCUUGCUCAGCCACUCCUUGUCUACCCUAAGCCUGUAUUCCUGAUUUCUUCUCUUUUCUACUGGGUAAGUCUUGUUGAGUACUCCCGUACUCAGGGUUUUAUAAUCCCUGUUGCAGGUGAAGUUCAGGAGCCGACCUGUUUUGGACCCUGUUGUGUGUCCGUCGUCAAGGUUGACGACGAAGAAGAGUGAACGUGACCCAUGGGCAGGGUCUGUAAAUUUGUAAUUUGUAUACUAAAGUUUAAGUUGCUCCGCUGGACCUGGUUUGUAAUAACACUCGGCUAUUUGGAAGAACUCCUUUUGUAAAAUAAGUUAUGUAAUACUUCCGCUGUUUUAGUCUGAAAUAUUAUUUUGGUCUUGUGUCGUCUGUGAUACUGCAAUGUCUUCGCAACGAGUGAUCCUGGUGUUGAGGUGGCCACUUGCUAUCCUGUAAGGGCGAGAAGAAGACAUUUUCGUUAAAUGACCAUUGCUGGUGGUCAAGACGAGCUUGUGUGAUAUGCCCCGGAUAGCAGUGGAAUGAGCGUCCAGAGGUGCUCAUCGGACUUCUAGAGUGGGAGGAUCUCCGGCAUUACCGUCAGAGGUCUUUGGGACAAUGACAGGUGCCAGUGGGCCCAAACACUUAGGAGGUUCUGCCACAUUCAUCAACAUGUUGCUUAGCCUCCAUAUGCACAAGCGACUGGGAUUCGACCUUUUUGCACAACGUUUCCCCAGGGAUAUAGCAGAGGAUCAUGAGUUCGAUGAAGAAGAAUCGGCAACCCGUCCACCCUUGAACUAUGGCGAAGCCGUCAUAGUCUUGCCUGGUACUGGAGGCAAUAGAGAUCAAGUCAGCCGAUUCUUUCAGACUCUUUAUGAGGGUCUGACCAAAGAACAGCGAGCAUGGAUGCCUUAUGAAGAUCCACACACAAGAUUUCCUCUGACCUUUCACCCCUUCGACGAUGCUCUCAAUAAAGAUCAUGAUGUGAUGAUGGCACUUAUCACUCCAAGAGCCAUACCAGUAAACUUCUUCGGCAGUGGGAAAACCUCCAACCAGACCUAUGAAUUUUACAACCCAUCGGCACUAGCCCGUCAACUAGCUUUCGGUCAGCUGCUGAUUGCACUCUAUUAUGCCGAUGUGAUAAAUCCCAGGGAAACCAUCACUAGUCUUCUCGAGUGGACCAGAAUAGCUCAAUUGCCACCAAAUGCUAACACAGAUGCCGAUCUAUCAGAUUGGAUCCCGACCCUCUUCAUUACUCAGGCAUACAAACAAUGGUGGGAAGAAUGGAAAGAGCAUUUGUUCUGCAAACCGGCUCUUACGUACCGCGGCAUGAUCGACCCCUAGUACAAAGUCCCCGAUAAUACUGUAAGUAACUCCAAACCGACGUUUCAAUCCUUUCACUUUUACUUCCAUCGGUAACUGACUUUCUGUGUUAUAUUACAGGUUGAUAACACACCCCCAUCGGUCAGCAGGAGUGGUAAGCCGAUCGAGCUCCUUCCAUCGGGUACGAUUUUUUUGAUCAGCAGCAACUCUCCAUCGCUGGCCGCUAUAAUGCAUCGGGGUGUACGUCUCAAGAAAGUCACCACCAAGCGGACGAAGGCAUCUCCAUCGGUAGCUGCCUCUACUUUAGCACAAGCCUUCAAGGUAAAAUUUGAAAUUCUUUUACCCAUACCGAUUCUGUUACACUUGUACUCACAAGUUUUCAUUAUUGUAUCAGCAAACUGGCACAUCGGCAAAGACCAGAGGUGGGACUGCCGAUGCUCCCCAGUCCAGCCAACCAAAGAGGAAAAGCUCCAAGAGUACCAGAACCCACGCAAAGCGCCAGAGAACAGCAAUACUUGUGGUAGAACCUCCUAAGUGUUAGGGCCCACCGACACCUGUCAUUGUCCUAAGGACCUCUAACGGUGAUGUCGGGGAUCCUCCCACCCAGGACGCUAUUGACGGUCCUUAAGUAUCAAAUUUAAUUAUCAAAUAAACAAAGAAAAGGAUCCAAAUGAAAUCAACAUCUAGACUUAGGGUUUUAUCUGACAGAAUUCCACGAGUUUUGGUGUUUGUCUAUUUCUGCAGGGGGUUAUCAUGAAAUAAGGACAAAAGGCCCACAUGUCGGGAUUACAUAGAGAUAUCAACCCACCGCGCAAUUUUCUACCAUCUAGAAGACUCCAGAAGCCACGGGAAGGAAGCGGAGCCCGAAAGGGGCCAGGCCCAGGGCGCCCGCCCCCCUGUUGGAGCCAAAUCAGGACUCUUUCGCUCGGGAUAUUCCACCGACCUAUUGGAUCAAGAAAAACAAAGUACCACCUCACCUAUCGACCCAAAAACGCAUAGAAGGGGAGGACUAUAUAAGCAAGGCCCCCUGGCCCCUGGAAGAGACAAGAAAUUAUCAUAGAGAUUGAGGGGUGCCCUCGAAGGAAAACCUCUUCUCUAAAUAAUAUUUCUUUUUAGGCUUAGCAACCAAUGUAAGGUAGAAAUAGAUCUUCUAGUUUCUACUAGAUUGAGAGAGAUAGAGUGGAGGUGUGGAUCGGAGGAAGGCCGGCCUGUCGGUGUCUACUCCGAGUUGUACCUGCGGGAUCAAGUCUCCUAACCCGAGGCUUGCUUCUAAGAUUCUUCAGUAAUUCGACUUCUAAUACUAGUAAGUUCUUGUUUUAUUGUUCUUUGGUUUAUGAGUUUACUUUAUUCCUCUUCCGGUUGAGUAUUAGAGUAAUCACUUGUUAGCGUAAACGUGGUGUUUAGGCUAGGGUACUCAUAGAUAUCCCCUGACUAGCUGGACCGUGGUAGUAGCGAGGAACGUGACAUUUCCGAGUUACCUUUGCAGAUCACAUCUCGUUAGCAGGACGGGUAGGUUUAUAGGUGCGGGUCGAACAUCCUUUGUGUUGUCUAGAUUCCGUGAGCCUCCUCAAUAGAACAGUAGAUCAUCCUUACUAAGGUUAGAACGAGACUACGGUUGCAGUCUUCUCUAUACAUCACUCACAUCGAGAGACAUUCUUUGUAGCCUAAAGGGAUAGUAGCAAUAGAUUUGGUUAGUCAGAUGCACCCUUUCUCCCAGUGGUAAAAAUAUAAAUACGAUAACUCUGGAUAACCUCCCGGGUGAAAUGCUCACCGAUAUCCGUGCGCUUGCGGAUCAUUUUCUAAUUGCGUUACCAAAUAUCAACAGACGCCCAUUUCACCGCUACCUGUGGCGUAUCAAACAAGCUCGUCCUGGCCACUAGCGAUGGUCAAUUAACGAGAAUUUCUUCUUCUCGCCUUUACAGGAUAGCAAGUGGCCACCUUAACACCAGGAUCAUUCGUUGCGAAGACAUUGCAGUAUCAUGGACGACAUAUAACCCAAAAUAAUAUUUCAGAGUAAAACAGCGGAAGCAUUACAUAACUUAAUUUACUAAAGUAGUUCUUCCAAAUAGUAGAGUGUUAUUACAAGCCAGGUCCAACGGAGCAACUUAAACUUUAGUACACAGAUUACAAAUUUACAGACCCUGCCCAUGUGUCACGCUCACUCUUCUUCGUCGUCAACCUCGACAACGGUCACACAACAGGGUCCGAAACAAGUCGGCUCCUGAACAUCACCUGCAACAGGGGUUAUGAAACUCUGAGUACGGGAGUACUCAACAAGACUUACUUGGUGGAAAAAGAGGAGAAAUUAGGAAUGCAGGCUUGGGGUAGACAAGGAGUGGCUGAGCAAGGAGCCAAAUUGUUUUGCCAAAAAGCUUACUAAUAGUGCAUCCUUACUUUCAAGUUUUACCCACAAAUUCCUCUCCUUAAGAGGUCGAGGAGUUUGAGGAUAGUCUAUCUAGUUGCUUCUCACAGACAAGUCUGUAAGUUCCUAGUCCUUAAUCAAAGUAUUAUCUAUCCAACGGCCAUAGCUUGAUGUCACUCUGAGUCCGGGAAUUGGGAUCCGAACCUCAUGAGACAUUUCCCAAUUUUUCAUUUAUCACUUAGUUGCAUAUUUAACUACGAUGAGGGUCAGUGGAUGGAGUCUCCCAAUCGGGGAGCAACGACGAUUCGAACCGCUUAGCAAUCCAGCUGAGUUCCUAACCAUCCGACAUAUGUAGAACCAAAUCUUGCAUAUGUCAACCCAAAUCGAGCUCUCCCCAAAUUUGACCAGGUUCGCGGCACCCGAGAGCACAGUACCCCACCAUCCAGCCCAUUUGCCAGGAGGGUACAUGCUACUCUCGCCAUCGCUCCACGCCUAGUGCGCGAGCAGCUGUUCGCGUCGAGGGAUCACAAGACUGGGCUUACCGAGGGCAAGUGGCUAGUACUAUAAGUUCUCAACCAAGCGGACCAUCAACGGACUGGUCCUUAAUCGACACAGUUGGAGACACUACUUUAAGACUCCAUUCUUAAAGCAAGUCCACCGACCGGUCUCAAGUUGAAACAUCAUUUACCAUAAGAGUAUUCCACAACAACCCUUGAAACUUUCUUGUUUGAAAACCUAUCUAGUAGCAGGGCUAAGCAUCACUAUGCAGUUUUAAAAUAAAACAGGUGCCAAGGACAAGAUAACAAAUAUCAAGGUAGUAAAUGCAGCAAGUAGGUUAACCCAAUUCUCAACUACCUAAUGCAGCAUUUUCAAUUUAUAAGUGAUAAAGAUUUAAAACAUUCAAGGAGGGGUUUAAUGCAUCCGGGGCUUGCCUUGGUUGCAGAGCUGAUAGGGACCCUCGGAGACUUCCCAAGUCUCGGAUCCUACUUCUUCGAACGGAGCACCGACCUCAGGGUUCGGUUCAACGGUCGCUCCUUCGGCCACGUGCACUAUACGCAAAAUGAUGGAUGCUCAUGAUAUGCGUAUGACAAACAUUUAAGAAGGACCGAGUUGAGUACAACUGGCCUUCUCGGUGCAAAACUGGCUAAACAGUAAUUAAAGUUGUUUAUCAUUUUAGUGUUUUUACCCAAGAGGUUGCAUCAGUAAAUUAAGAUUUCUCUUAAUUCAUAAUUAUCCUUAAUUAACUGACUAUUAAACCUUUUUAUCUUAAUUAAGUCUUAAUUAAGUAUUGAUGGCAGUAAUUAAGCAUUAAUACCAAACAAUAAUUAAGUGCCAAAGGUCAUUAAGGUUAAUGACUUCAGGUCAUCACAUAACCUCAAAAGCACUCAAAUCCUAAUUUGAGAAAUUAAGCUAAUUAUUACUUAAUUAUUUUGAAAUUAUUACUAAAUUACUAAUUAAGGGCAUAAUAUGAUUUUAUUCAAACAUCAUCCAAAUGCCACCAAACUAUGUGUGAGGCCAGGGAAUAAUAUUCAGAGACUUCCCACAAAUUUUGGUGAUUUUUGGAUAUGCCCAUAAAUUACUAAAAUUCAUGGAAGUUUCAUUCACUAAUUAAAAGAGGCAAUUUUUAUAUACAUGCAAACUACCAAAAAUAGAAUCUACUAUUUUUCCUAGGUUCUACUCCUUUUAUAGAACCUACACAAAAAUUUUCAUUAUUUUUGGAUCAGCAAACAAUUUUCUACACAAAAUCAAACAUAAAAAAAAAUUUGCAUAAAAGGAAAAAGGGAAAAGCACUAUGCUGCGAGCAGCCCAGGAACUCGGCCCGCAGGCCGGCCCGUUCAGCCUCGGCCCAAGCCGGCCCACGCACGCGCUGCUCCCCUCCUCUCUCUGCGGGUCGCUGACGGGCGGGUCCCGCCCGUCAGACCCUUCUUCCUCCUCUCGCCGCGGCUCCGGCGAGCCCAAGCACGCCGUCGGCGAGCUCCCGGCCUCCGCGGUAGGGUGAGAUAGCACCCUCAGCUCCCCGCGCAUCUCCUGAGACACUCAGAUCACGUGCUACUCCGCCCUAAUCCCCUUGCCCGCGUCUAUGGCGGACAGCCCUGCUAACCGCGCGAGCACCGGCCACUGCAAGCGAGUAAAGCGUGAACCGAAGAGCGCAUAAGCAUCAGUGGCUCACCGUGACUUCAACGAAGCAGAGAGCGACGAUUGAGAAGCUCGGAGAGGAGCUGGCCACGGUGAAGUGUCCACGGUGGCGUUUCGGCCGGGAUUGGAGAAGGACGGAUCGGUUGAGGGCUACAAGGGGUUAGAGCUUGCGAGAUGGCGCGCAAUCGGUUGCUAGGGUGUUGGCGGAGCUGCUGGUGUGCUCGGGUAGCUGGGAAAGGGAGCGAGUGAGGCGAAUUUCGCAGGCGCAGCAAGGUCGUCGGCGUUGAGCAAGAAGAGAAGAAAAGGGUCGAAGCGGGGUGUUAACCACGGGAAGAAGUGGAUGAGGAUGCCAGCGGCUCAUCCACUUCACUGCGACUGCCAGCAGGCGAGCAGCUACGUGGCUAGGUGCGUGGCGGCGCGCGCGAAGGCGGCGCCUGCCCGCCCUGCGGCCGCGCUGGACAGAGCUCGUGAUCCCCAUCGGAUCACUGUAGCCGUCCCUAUCCCCUCCUUUCUGUUUUUUUCAAAAUUCAACUAAAAUUUGAACUAAAGUCAAAUUUUCACCAAAACCAAAGUUGUUCAGAGUUUUAAAAGCUACAAAACGUCUUUUGGUGUUGAAAGCUGAUUCCAAGUGGAAAAAGCUGAAUUUGACAAAACAGUUUAAAUUUCAAAUCCUAAAUUGGGGAAAUUCCAAUUUUUGAAUUGGGGCAGAUCGGAAUUUCCAAAAUUACUUUUCAUUUUCCAUAACAACUAGGAAAAUUCCCAACAUGAAAGUUGUUCAACUUUUUCAGCUCUACAACUUUCAUGUUGGUCACUUUUCAAGAUUCCAAACAGAUUUUGAAUUGGGGAUUCAAAUUGGAAAGGGGGACAUUUUUUGAAAUCUGUAUUUUCAAAAUUACUUUCAAUUUUGUAUUGAAACUUCAAAAACUCAAAACACCAAAGUUGUACACCUUGACAAGAUCUACAACUUUGCUUUUGAACUCAACCUCAAAUUUUGCUUAGUUUUUAAAUUGCACACUAGGGGGCAAAUCCAUGGUUUUAAAAUCAGGGUUUUUCCCCCUAUUUUCUCGGAAACCUUCCACCCUAGGAAUUUCGCAGCCACACUAGCUUCAAUACACCUUGCAAACACACUUUAGUUCCCUAAGCACAAGCAAUCAAAAUAAACUUGUUUUAAGUUGAUGCAUAAUAAUGUGCUUAACAAAUAUGCGAUGCAAUGCUCAUGAUGGCAUGAUCUAGUUUUAGUAACCGUAACAUCGGGGAUGUUACAGCCCUUCCCCCUUAAAGAAAUCUCGUCCUCGAGAUUUAACACCUUAGGGUAUGUAAUGGAAAAGGAAAUUUGUCAAACUAUUUUAUCUUCAACCUUUUCAUAAGAUAAUGGACUGGGGAAGACUAUUUAAUUAUAAACAUAUAUGUACAUUAAGUACAUGGCUUUGGCUACCCUUUUCCUUCACUAGAGUGCACUCCCUAUUUAUCGGGUGUUGUCUUGAAGAGAAGCAUGGAACUCAGGAAAAUUCUCCAUUAGAUAAUCUUCCGAUUCCCAUGUGGCUUCCUCUUCAGAGUGCUAGCUCCAUUGCACCUUGUACCACUCGGUAGUUGUUCUUCGAGUAACUCUAUCCCUUUGGUCCAAUACUCGGAUAGGAUAUUCCGCAUAAGUCAGAUCCGGUUCAAGUUCCACAUCUUUGAUAUCUUGAACUUGGUCUGGUACUCGAAGACACUUUUUCAGUUGAGAUACAUGAAAUACAUUGUGUAUCCCGGAUAAUCGUUCGGGCAAUUUAAGGCGGUAAGCUACCUGUCCACUUCGGUCAAUGAUGGGAAAUGGACCAAUGUAACGAGGCGCUAACUUGCCUUUAACGCCAAAACGAUUUACUCCUUUCAUUGGGGAUACUUUCAGAUACACAUGGUCACCCUUGGCGAAUCUUAAGGGUCGACGUCUUUUAUCGGCAUAGCUUUUCUGUUGGGACUGAGCAAUCUUCAAGUUAUUUUGGAUUUGUCUAACUUUGUUCUCAGUUUCCUUCACUAAGUCAACCCCAAAGAACCAUCUUUCUCCGGGUUCCGACCAGUGUAGUGGAAUCCGACAUCGACGACCAUAUAGUGCCUCAAAGGGAGACAUCUUAAUACUUUCUUGGUAGCUAUUGUUGUUGGAAAACUCUGCUAGAGGCAAGCAGUCAUCCCACUUAUCUGGAAAAUUUAGGGCACAAGAUCUUAAUAGAUCUUCUAGGGUUUGAUUUACCCUUUCUGUUUGCCCACCUGUUUGAGGGUGGUAGGCGGUACUGUAUAGAAGCUUGGUGCCCAAAGAUUCAUGUAAGCAUUUCCAGAACUGGGAGACAAAUUGUGUGCCUCUAUCUGACACUAUUGUUUUUGGCACCCCAUGCAGGCUUAGUAUAUGAUCAAAAUAAAUCUUAGCAUAGGUGGAGGCAGGAUAUAAUAUCUUUACAGGCAAGAAGUGUGCUGUUUUGGUGAGACGAUCCACAAUGACCUAAAUAGAAUCAAAGCCUUUGGCCAUCUUUGGCAAUCCUACUAUGAAAUCCAUGCUAAUAUCAUCCCAUUUCCAUGCUGGAAUAGGCAAGGGUUGUAACUCUCCAGCGGACUUGAGAUGAAUGGCUUUGGCCUUUCGGUAGGUGUCGCAUUGGGCCACAUAGCGGGCUAUUUCUGUCUUCAUUUUGGUCCACCAAAACUUUUGCUUCAGGUCCUGAUACAUUUUAUUGCUCCCCGGAUGAAUAGAAUAUUUUGUGGUAUGAGCUUCAUCCAGGAUUUGCUGACGUAGCUCAGGUACCUUUGGAACCACUAACCGGUUUUUGAACCAGAUUACUCCUGCAUCAUCCACCUUAAAGUCUGUGGGUGCUCAGUUAGAAAUUUUCUCUUUAAGAUAUUUCAUGCCUUUGUCUUCUUUUUGUGCCUCUAUGAUUUGAGCUUCAAGAUUGAAAUCAAUCCUUAAAUUGGCAAGGCUUCCUUGGGAAAUCAUUUCUAUCCCCAAGUUCUCUAGCUCUUGGCACAAAGUUAUAUCUUUAGGCGUCACUGUUAAGCAAUUACAGUGAGCCUUACGACUGAGGGCAUCAGCUACUACAUUCGCCUUGCCAGGGUGAUAAUGCAACUCAAGGUCAUAAUAUUUGAUCAAUUCUAGCCACCUUCGCUGGCGCAUAUUAAGUUCAGCUUGAGUGAAGAUGUACUUCAAGCUCUUGUGAUCUGUGUAUAGGUGACAAGUGUUCCCCAACAGAUAAUGGCGCCAGAUCUUCAAUGUAUGUACUACGGCGGCUAGUUCAAGAUCAUGGGUCGGGUAAUUCUGUUCAUGUGGUUUAAGCUGCCUAGAAGCAUAUGCAAUUACUCGACCCUCCUGCAUUAGCACACAGCCUAUCCCUAUCCCUAAUGCGUCACAAUACACAUCAAAGGGUUUUUCGAUAUCUGGCUGGGCUAAGACAGGUGCAGGUUUUAAUAACCUUUUCAGAGUUUGGAAGACUUGCUCACAUUCAGAUGACCAAACAAAUUUUGUUUGAUUCUUGAGCAAGGUUGUGAUGGGUUUAGCGACUCUUGAAAAGUCCGGGAUGAAGCGACGAUAAUAUCCCGCCAUACCCAGAAAACUACAGACCUCAUGUACCGUAGUCGGGGGUUUCCAAUUCAAAACAUCUUCUACUUUACCUGGAUCUACAGCGACUCCCUUCGCUGAUAAUACAUGACCCAAGAAAUGGACUUUCUCUAGCCAGAACUCACAUUUGCUGAACUUGGCAUAUAGUUGAUGUUCCCUGAGACGGGUCAGCACAAUUCUCAGAUGUUCAACAUGUUCUUUCUUAGUUUUGGAAUAGAUCAAAAUGUCAUCAACGAAGACGACCACAAAUUUGUCCAGCUCUGGCAUGAAGACAAAGUUCAUCAAAUACAUGAAAUGGGCCGGUGCAUUGGUCAACCCAAAUGACAUCACCAAGUAUUCAUACAGCCCAUAACGGGUUGUAAAAGCCGUCUUGGGUACAUCUUCCGGCCUAAUUUUAAUUUGGUGGUACCCUGAUCUCAAAUCAAUUUUAGAGAACACUUUGGCCCUGGCUAACUGGUCAAAUAGCAAGUCAAUACGGGGCAAUGGGUACUUGUUUUUAAUCGUCACCUCAUUCAAGGGACGAUAAUCGACACACAGCCUUAGUGUUUGAUCUUUCUUUUUCACAAAUAAGGCUGGGCAACCCCAUGGAGAGGAACUGGGCUGAAUAAAACCUUUUUGCAACAACUCUUGUAGUUGGGUUUUCAAUUUGGCCAGUUCUUUCGGUGCCAUUCGGUAGGCCCUUCGAGAUAUUGGGGCUGUCCCUGGUUUCAAUUCUAUGCUGAACUGGACAUCCCGGUCCGGUGGCAGACCUGGUAGGUCCUCAGGGAACACAUCCGGAAAAUCCCGAACUACCGGGAUAUUUUCGACUGCAGUCACAUUAGUGGCAUGAACUUGCCCAAUUGCCCGUUUGGGAGUAGCUAAUUGGAUUAGAUGGUAAGAAUUCUCAUUGGGCAAUGGCACCUUAAUGGUUCGAUGCAUGGUGUCUAGCACAACCCCUCGUUGUGCCAUCCAGCUCAUGCCUAGUAUGACAUCAAUAUCCUGGUCCUUAAGAACAAUCAUGCUAGUGGGAAAACUAGGCCCACCAAAUUCGAUGGGUAUCUUGUGAACCAUUUCUUUAGAACUCAGCCGUCCUCCUGGCAACUGUAUAUAAAAAUGAUCUUUUGUUUCCCCAAUGGGUAUGCCAUGCUUCAUCACAAAGGUGCAGUUGAUGAAUGUAUGAGAUGCACCAGAAUCGAAAAGCAUUAAGGCAGGAUGUUUCGCAACAGGGAACGUACCCAUCAUUACCGGUUCUCCUUCCGGUAUUAUCUCCACCUCUGUAUGGAAGACUUGUCCCACCUUCUUUACAGGUUUACCCCUUUGUGCAUUUUGUCCUUUCUGAGCCCCAUUUUUGAAUUGGUUCGGUUGGGGUUGGCCAAAUGCUCAUGAUGGCAUGAUCUAGUUUUAGUAACCGUAACAUCGGGGAUGUUACAGCCCUUCCCCCUUAAAGAAAUCUCGUCCUCGAGAUUUAACACCUUAGGGUAUGUAAUGGAAAAGGAAAUUUGUCAAACUAUUUUAUCUUCAACCUUUUCAUAAGAUAAUGGACUGGGGAAGACUAUUUAAUUAUAAACAUAUAUGUACAUUAAGUACAUGGCUUUGGCUACCCUUUUCCUUCACUAGAGUGCACUCCCUAUUUAUCGGGUGUUGUCUUGAAGAGAAGCAUGGAACUCAGGAAAAUUCUCCAUUAGAUAAUCUUCCGAUUCCCAUGUGGCUUCCUCUUCAGAGUGCUAGCUCCAUUGCACCUUGUACCACUCGGUAGUUGUUCUUCGAGUAACUCUAUCCCUUUGGUCCAAUACUCGGAUAGGAUAUUCCGCAUAAGUCAGAUCCGGUUCAAGUUCCACAUCUUUGAUAUCUUGAACUUGGUCUGGUACUCGAAGACACUUUUUCAGUUGAGAUACAUGAAAUACAUUGUGUAUCCCGGAUAAUCGUUCGGGCAAUUUAAGGCGGUAAGCUACCUGUCCACUUCGGUCAAUGAUGGGAAAUGGACCAAUGUAACGAGGCGCUAACUUGCCUUUAACGCCAAAACGAUUUACUCCUUUCAUUGGGGAUACUUUCAGAUACACAUGGUCACCCUUGGCGAAUCUUAAGGGUCGACGUCUUUUAUCGGCAUAGCUUUUCUGUUGGGACUGAGCAAUCUUCAAGUUAUUUUGGAUUUGUCUAACUUUGUUCUCAGUUUCCUUCACUAAGUCAACCCCAAAGAACCAUCUUUCUCCGGGUUCCGACCAGUGUAGUGGAAUCCGACAUCGACGGCCAUAUAGUGCCUCAAAGGGAGACAUCUUAAUACUUUCUUGGUAGCUAUUGUUGUUGGAAAACUCUGCUAGAGGCAAGCAGUCAUCCCACUUAUCUGGAAAAUUUAGGGCACAAGAUCUUAAUAGAUCUUCUAGGGUUUGAUUUACCCUUUCUGUUUGCCCACCUGUUUGAGGGUGGUAGGCGGUACUGUAUAGAAGCUUGGUGCCCAAAGAUUCAUGUAAGCAUUUCCAGAACUGGGAGACAAAUUGUGUGCCUCUAUCUGACACUAUUGUUUUUGGCACCCCAUGCAGGCUUAGUAUAUGAUCAAAAUAAAUCUUAGCAUAGGUGGAGGCAGGAUAUAAUAUCUUUACAGGCAAGAAGUGUGCUGUUUUGGUGAGACGAUCCACAAUGACCUAAAUAGAAUCAAAGCCUUUGGCCAUCUUUGGCAAUCCUACUAUGAAAUCCAUGCUAAUAUCAUCCCAUUUCCAUGCUGGAAUAGGCAAGGGUUGUAACUCUCCAGCGGACUUGAGAUGAAUGGCUUUGGCCUUUCGGUAGGUGUCGCAUUGGGCCACAUAGCGGGCUAUUUCUGUCUUCAUUUUGGUCCACCAAAACUUUUGCUUCAGGUCCUGAUACAUUUUAUUGCUCCCCGGAUGAAUAGAAUAUUUUGUGGUAUGAGCUUCAUCCAGGAUUUGCUGACGUAGCUCAGGUACCUUUGGAACCACUAACCGGUUUUUGAACCAGAUUACUCCUGCAUCAUCCACCUUAAAGUCUGUGGGUGCUCAGUUAGAAAUUUUCUCUUUAAGAUAUUUCAUGCCUUUGUCUUCUUUUUGUGCCUCUAUGAUUUGAGCUUCAAGAUUGAAAUCAAUCAUUAAAUUGGCAAGGCUUCCUUGGGAAAUCAUUUCUAUCCCCAAGUUCUCUAGCUCUUGGCACAAAGUUAUAUCUUUAGGCGUCACUGUUAAGCAAUUACAGUGAGCCUUACGACUGAGGGCAUCAGCUACUACAUUCGCCUUGCCAGGGUGAUAAUGCAACUCAAGGUCAUAAUAUUUGAUCAAUUCUAGCCACCUUCGCUGGCGCAUAUUAAGUUCAGCUUGAGUGAAGAUGUACUUCAAGCUCUUGUGAUCUGUGUAUAGGUGACAAGUGUUCCCCAACAGAUAAUGGCGCCAGAUCUUCAAUGUAUGUACUACGGCGGCUAGUUCAAGAUCAUGGGUCGGGUAAUUCUGUUCAUGUGGUUUAAGCUGCCUAGAAGCAUAUGCAAUUACUCGACCCUCCUGCAUUAGCACACAGCCUAUCCCUAUCCCUAAUGCGUCACAAUACACAUCAAAGGGUUUUUCGAUAUCUGGCUGGGCUAAGACAGGUGCAGGUUUUAAUAACCUUUUCAGAGUUUGGAAGACUUGCUCACAUUCAGAUGACCAAACAAAUUUUGUUUGAUUCUUGAGCAAGGUUGUGAUGGGUUUAGCGACUCUUGAAAAGUCCGGGAUGAAGCGACGAUAAUAUCCCGCCAUACCCAGAAAACUACAGACCUCAUGUACCGUAGUCGGGGGUUUCCAAUUCAAAACAUCUUCUACUUUACCUGGAUCUACAGCGACUCCCUUCGCUGAUAAUACAUGACCCAAGAAAUGGACUUUCUCUAGCCAGAACUCACAUUUGCUGAACUUGGCAUAUAGUUGAUGUUCCCUGAGACGGGUCAGCACAAUUCUCAGAUGUUCAACAUGUUCUUUCUUAGUUUUGGAAUAGAUCAAAAUGUCAUCAAUGAAGACGACCACAAAUUUGUCCAGCUCUGGCAUGAAGACAAAGUUCAUCAAAUACAUGAAAUGGGCCGGUGCAUUGGUCAACCCAAAUGACAUCACCAAGUAUUCAUACAGCCCAUAACGGGUUGUAAAAGCCGUCUUGGGUACAUCUUCCGGCCUAAUUUUAAUUUGGUGGUACCCUGAUCUCAAAUCAAUUUUAGAGAACACUUUGGCCCUGGCUAACUGGUCAAAUAGCAAGUCAAUACGGGGCAAUGGGUACUUGUUUUUAAUCGUCACCUCAUUCAAGGGACGAUAAUCGACACACAGCCUUAGUGUUUGAUCUUUCUUUUUCACAAAUAAGGCUGGGCAACCCCAUGGAGAGGAACUGGGCUGAAUAAAACCUUUUUGCAACAACUCUUGUAGUUGGGUUUUCAAUUUGGCCAGUUCUUUCGGUGCCAUUCGGUAGGCCCUUCGAGAUAUUGGGGCUGUCCCUGGUUUCAAUUCUAUGCUGAACUGGACAUCCCGGUCCGGUGGCAGACCUGGUAGGUCCUCAGGGAACACAUCCGGAAAAUCCCGAACUACCGGGAUAUUUUCGACUGCAGUCACAUUAGUGGCAUGAACUUGCCCAAUUGCCCGUUUGGGAGUAGCUAAUUGGAUUAGAUGGUAAGAAUUCUCAUUGGGCAAUGGCACCUUAAUGGUUCGAUGCAUGGUGUCUAGCACAACCCCUCGUUGUGCCAUCCAGCUCAUGCCUAGUAUGACAUCAAUAUCCUGGUCCUUAAGAACAAUCAUGCUAGUGGGAAAACUAGGCCCACCAAAUUCGAUGGGUAUCUUGUGAACCAUUUCUUUAGAACUCAGCCGUCCUCCUGGCAACUGUAUAUAAAAAUGAUCUUUUGUUUCCCCAAUGGGUAUGCCAUGCUUCAUCACAAAGGUGCAGUUGAUGAAUGUAUGAGAUGCACCAGAAUCGAAAAGCAUUAAGGCAGGAUGUUUCGCAACAGGGAACGUACCCAUCAUUACCGGUUCUCCUUCCGGUAUUAUCUCCACCUCUGUAUGGAAGACUUGUCCCACCUUCUUUACAGGUUUACCCCUUUGUGCAUUUUGUCCUUUCUGAGCCCCAUUUUUGAAUUGGUUCGGUUGGGGUUGGCCAAUGGGUGGCCUUCGAAAAGUGGGGUUAUUUUGGCAAGGGUAGGGGCAUUCUUUAGAAAAAUGCCCGGGCUUACCACAAUUGAAACAAGGAUAAUUGUGGUUGGGCGGAGCAGUGGGACGAACACCUGGAGCGUUCGGCUGGCGUGGUGCAGUGGCGAUGGCAGUAGGUCGAGGAUAUACCUGCUGCCCUGGUCUAUAUUGUGGAGGAGGAAAGGGACCACGAGAAGGUGACGACGCUGGAAAGCGUCUGUGGCCCUGUGGGUGAUAAAUGAUCCUCUGGCGCUUUUGACCGCGACCAGAGAAGGAGGAAGAAGCGGCCUUCUUCUUUGCUUCUUUGUGUUUUCUAUUCUUUUCCUCCGAGGCGAUGGCAAUAUUAACCGCCUCGUAGAAAGUGGCAUUUUGAGAUGUGCUCAUCAUGGUCGGAAGCUUGGUAUUGAGACCACGCAUAAAACAGGCCUUCUUCUUUUUAUCCGUGUUCACAUGGUCCGUGGCAUGCUGAGAAAGAUGAUUAAAUUUUGCCACGUAUUCCAUCACACUUUUAUCGCCUUGCUGCAAGGCAAGAAAUUCUUCGGCUUUCAUGGCCACAAACCCUUCUGGAAUAUAAUGGGCGCGGAACGCGUCCUUAAAUUCUGCCCAGGUGACCUGGUGUGCUGGAUUUUGGAUAGCUAGGAAAUUUUCCCACCAGGCCCCUGCAGCUCCCCGAAGUUGUUGGGCUGCGAACAGGGGCUUUUGAGUUUUCGAAGAAUGAAUCAGGCUGAACUUAUGCUCCAUUGUCCGGAGCCAGUCGUCAGCCUCUAAAGGCUCAUCAGCCUUGGUGAAUACUGGGGGCCUUGUCUCGGUAAAGUUCACGUACCGAGUUUCUCCCUCCCCAUUGUGCUCUGCUCUGAAGUUUGGGGCGGGGUGUGGUUGGCGCUGCGCUAACUCGCGCAGCAAGCGAGCAUUGUCGGUAGUGGCACUCAAAAGAACAGCAAUAGCAUCUGCUAGGGAAGGUGGAGUAGGGGGAGGGUUAGGGAUGUCCUCCCCUCCCUGAGAAGACCCGGCUCCAUCAGAUCCACAUGUGCGCAUCGGCAUCUGCUACAAGAAUCAUAUGUACUUGUUACCACAUGGAAUCCAUAACUUAAAACAUAUCUUACAUACUUCAAUUUAUUUAUCAAACAUCCGUUCAGCACACUGGAAACAAACGAGUACAACUUCUUGAACUUAAAGAAAAACACUAUACUACAGACCCGACCCCACUACGGUAGAUUAGGAAUCCUACAACGAUGUUGCCCACAGCUUCACCGAACUAGUCGGUGUGGUCAGAGCCGUAGCCUGGGUCGUCAUUGUCAUCGCCAUGGUCACCCCCCGGGUUAUCGUCGCCGGAGUCGGAUUCCUCCUCGUCACUGAGUUCUUGGUCGGGCUCCCCAUCAUCCGCCAACUCUCCGUCAGUGUCCAUCUCCCCUUCACCUGGAGGUGGAUGGAGCUGAUGGUAUAAGUCGAAUUUAAUAUCACGGUACUGCAUCGCCAUGUCGUUGACGGUGUCCAGAUGAUGUGCCAGCUCGAGCUUCUCCAGCUGUAGCUGAUCCUCCCGCUGCCACGCGACGUCCCUCUGUGCGGUGACAGUGGCCGCCAUCUUCACGUACAGAUCUUUAAUGUACUUGGUUUUGUCCAGCUUAGCCUUCAUUCUGGUUAGCUCAUGCAUAUGUGCGCUCCUGGCCUCCUCUUCCCGGGCAAUAGCGGCAUUUCUUUCUUCCACCAUGCGGGAUAGCAUCACCUCGCAAUUCUCAGUGGCUUGUUUUUGUUUUGUUAGUUGAGCUUUAAGUUCACCAAUCUCCAUGACAUUAUACAUCCUUUCUCUCGUUACUUCGGUCAGCUCGGCGGACAACCUUUCCAUCUCCUGCUGAGAUGGGGAACGGCUACUGCUAGCCUGCUCGCUUUGUGGGGCCAAUUGGUGUCUAGGCACCCCUUUAGGACCAGUUCUCUUGCGCGGAGUCUGCUUCCAACGACCCAUCCUGUAGAGGGUAAUUUUGGAUUAGUAAGGGAGACCUUAAAGAUUAGCAAGAAUGGGAUUGAUUCUAUAUAACCCAACCCGAAUAAAGAGGAAGGAAUUUAACUAAGUAACAUAUCAUGAUGCAUGCACGUGCUUACGAUUCGUACUAGAAACUCAUAACGAUAUUACUUAAAACUUUUACAACAUAGGGCGAUACUUUAUGUUGCUCCUCCACACGACUUCAAAAAUUCUAGCAAAGCCUACAAACAAGGGUAAGGUAGGACUAAAGCACUUGGACUCAAAAUAGGCCAGUUUAUAGUAUCAGAUCCAAAUGGUUUUGAAGUUUUUCAAAGGAUACAACAGUCGUCUUAGCAACGAAUGCUCUGAUACCAGCUGUGGCAGAACCUCCUAAGUGUUUGGGCCCACCGACACCUGUCAUUUGUCUUAAGAACCACCCAGGACGCCAAUUUCACCGCUACCUGUGGCGUAUCAAACAAGCUCGUCCUGACCACUAGCGAUGGUCAAUUAACGAGAAUUUAUUCUUCUCGCCUUUACAGGAUAGCAAGUGGCCACCUUAACACCAGGAUCUUUCGUUGCGAAGACAUUGCAGUAUCAUGGAUGACAUAUAACCCAAAAUAAUAUUUCAGAGUAAAACAACGGAAGCAUUACAUAACUUAAUUUACAAAAGUAGUUCUUCCAAAUAGUAGAGUGUUAUUACAAGCCAGGUCCAAUGGAGCAACUUAAACUUUAGUACACAGAUUACAAAUUUACAGACCCUGCCCAUGGGUCACGCUCACUCUUCUUCGUCGUCAACCUCGACGACGGUCACACAACAGGGUCCGAAACAAGUCGGCUCCUGAACUUCACCUGCAACAGGGGUUAUGAAACCCUGAGUACGGGAGUACUCAACAAGACUUACCCGGUGGAAAAAGAGGAGAAAUUAGGAAUGCAGGCUUGGGGUAGACAAGGAGUGGCUGAGCAAGGAGCCAAAUUGUUUUGCCAAAAAGCUUACUAAUAGUGCAUCCUUACUUUCAAGUUUUACCCACGAAUUCCUCUCCUUAAGAGGUCGAGGAGUUCGAGGAUAGUCUAUCUAGUUGCUUCUCACAGACAAGUCUGUAAGUUCCUAGUCCUUAAUCAAAGUAUUAUCUAUCCAACGGUCGUAGCUUCAUGUCACUCUGAGUCCGGGAAUUGGGAUCCGAACCUCAUGAGACAUUUCCCCCUUUUUCAUUUUAUCACUUAGUUGCAUAUUUAACUACGAUGAGGGUCAAUGGAUUGAGUCUCCCAAUCAGGGAGCAACGACGAUUCGAACCGCUUAGCAAUCCAGCUGGAGUUCCUAACCUCCCGACAUAUGUAGAACCAAAUCUUGCAUAUGUCAACCCAAAUCAAGCUCUCCCCAAAUUUGACCAGGUUCGCGGCAUCCGAGAGCACAGUACCCCACCAUCCAGCCCAUUUGCCAGGAGGGUACACGCUACUCUCGCCAUCGCUCCACGCCCAAUGUGCGAGUAGCUGUUCGCGUCGAGGGAUCAUAAGACCGGGCUUACCGAGGGCAAGUGGCUAGUACUAUAAGUUCUCAACCCAGCGGGCCAUCAACGGACCGGUCCUUAAUCGAUACAGUUGGAGACACUACUUUAAGACUCCAUUCUUAAAGCAAGUCCACCGACCGGUCUUAAGUUGAAACAUCAUUGACCAUAAGAGUAUUCCACAACAACCCUUCAAACUUUCUUGUUUGAAAACCUAUCUAGUAGCAGGGCUAAGCAUCACUACACAGUUUUAAAAUAAAACAGGUGCCAAGGACAAGAUAACAAAUAUCAAGGUAGUAAAUGCAGCAAGUAGGUUAACCCAAUUCUCAGCUACCUAAUGCAGCAUUUUCAAUUCAUAAGUGAUAAAGAUUUAAAACAUUCAAGGAGGGGUUUAAUGCAUCCGGGGCUUGCCUUGGUUGCAGAGCUGAUAGGGACCCUCGGAGACUUCCCAAGUCUCGGAUCCUACUUCUUCAAACGGAGCACCGACCUCGGGGUUCGGUUCAACGGUCGCUCCUUCGGUCACGAGCACUAUACGCAAAAUGAUGGAUGCUCAUGAUAUGCGUAUGACAAACAUUUUAGAAGGACCGAGUUGAGUACAACUUGCCUUCUUGGUGCAAAACAGGCUAAACAGUAAUUAAGAUUUCUCUUAAUUCAUAAUUAUCCUUAAUUAACUGACUAUUAAACCCUUUUAUCUUAAUUAAUUCUUAAUUAAGUAUUGAUGGCAGUAAUUAAGCAUUAAUACCAAACAAUAAUUAAGUGCCAAAGGUCAUUAAGGUUAAUGACCUCAGGUCAUCACAUAACCUCAAAAGCACUCAAAUCCUAAUUUGAGAAAUUAAGCUAAUUAUUACUUAAUUAUUUUGUAAUUAUUACUAAAUUACUAAUUAAGGGCAUAAUAUGAUUUUAUUCAAACAUCAUCCAAAUGCCACCAAACUUUGUGCGAGGCCAUGGAAUAAUAUUCAGAGACUUCCCACAAUUUUUGGUGAUUUUUGGAUAUGCCCAUAAAUUACUAAAAUUCAUGGAAGUUUCAUUCACUAAUUAAAAGAGGCAAUUUUUAUAUACAUGCAAACUACCAGAAAAUAGAAUCUACUAUUUUUUCUAGGUUCUACUCCUUUUAUAGAACCUACACAAAAAAUUUCAUCAUUUUUGGAUCAGCAAACAAUUUUCUACACAAAAUCAAACAUAAAACAAAUUUUGCAUAAAAGGAAAAAGGGAAAAAGCACUAUGCUGCGAGCGGCCCAGGAACUCGGCCCGCAGGCCGGCCCGUUCAGCCUCGGCCAAGCCAGCCAACGCGCGCGCUGCUCCCCUCCUCUCUCUACGGGUCGCUUACGGGUGGGUCCCGCCCGUCAGACCCUUCUUCCUCCUCUCGCCGCGGCUCCGGCGAGCCCAAUCACGCCGUCGGCGAGCUCCCGGCCUCCGCGGUAGGGCGAGAUAGCACCCUCAGCUCCCCGCGCAUCUCCUGAGACGCUCAGAUCACGUGCUACUCCCCCCUAAUCCCCUUGCCUGCGUCUAUGGCGGACGGCCCUGCUAACCGCGCGAGCACCGGCCACUGCAAGCGACUAAAGCGUGAACCGAAGAGCGCAUAAGCAUCAGUGGCUCAUCGCGACUUCAACGAAGCAGAGAGCGACGGUUGAGAAGCUCGGAGAGGAGCUGGCCGUGGUGAAGUGUCCACGGCGGCGUUUCGGCCGGGAUUAGAGAAGGACGGAUCGGUUGAGGGCUACAAGGGGUUAGAGCUUGCGAGAGGGCGCGCAAUCGGUUGCUAGAGUGUUGGCAGAGCUACUGGUGUGCUCGGGUAGCUUGGAAAGGGAGCGAGUGAGGUGAAUUUUGCAGGCGUAGCAAGGUCGUCGGCGUUGAGCAAGAAGAGAAGAAAAGGGUCACAGCGGGGUGUUAACCACGGGAUGAAGUGGAUGAGGAUGCCAGCGGCUCGUCCACUUCACUGCGACCGCCAGUAGGCGAGCAGCUACGUGGCCAGGUGUGUGGCGGUGCGCGCGAAGGCGGCGCCUGCCCGCGCUGCGGCCGCGCUGGACAGAGCUCGUGAUCCCCAUCGGAUCACUGUAGCCGUCCCUAUCCCCUCCUUUCUGUUUUUUGCAAAAUUCAACUAAAAUUUGAACCAAAGUCAAAUUUUCACCAAAACCAAAGUUGUUCAAAAUUUUAAAAUAUACAAAACAUCUUUUGGUGUUCAAAGCUGAUUCCAAGUGGAAAAAGAUGAAUUUGACAAAACAGUUUAAAUUUCAAAUCCCAAAUUGGGGAAAUUCCAAUUUUUGAAUUGGGGCAGAUCAGAAUUUCCAAAAUUACUUUUGAUUUUCCGUAACAACUUGGAAAAUUCCCAACAUGAAAGUUGUUCACCUUUUUGAGCUCUACAACUUUCAUGUUGGUCACUUUUCAAGAUUCCAAACAGAUUUUGAAUUGGGGAUUCAAGUUGCAAAGGGGGACAUUUUCUAGAAAUAUGUAUUUUCAAAAUUACUUUCAAUUUUGUAUUGAAACUUCAAAAACUCAAAACACCAAAGUUGUACACCUUGACAAGAUCUACAACUUUGCUUUUGAACUCAACCUCAAAUUUUGCUUAGUUUUUAAAUUGCACCAAAGGGGGCAAAUCCAGGGUUUUAAAAUCAAGGUUUUUCCCCCCUAUUUUCUCGGAAACCUUCCACCCUAGGAAUUUCACAGCCACACUAGCUUCAAUACACCUUGCAAACACACUUUACUUCCCUAAGCACAAGCAAUCAAAAUAAACUUGUUUUAAGUUGAUGCAUAAUAAUGUGCUUAACAAAUAUGCGAUGCAAUGCUCAUGAUGACAUGAUCCAGUUUUACUAACCAUAACAUCGGGGAUGUUACAAUACCCUCUCCUCCUCCAAGGUCACCGAUCCCGGUGGAAUCCUCUCCUUCUUCUCCAGAAGUCUAGAUACAACAAGUACCAUCUCCUCCUUAGCCACAAGAAGAACCUCACGCAGAAGAACCCCAGUCGGAGGAACCUCAGCCAGAAGACACAUCGGCUGACAUGCACGAGCAAACUGCCGAUCCAGCAAGUUCAAUCAUAGCAUCGGUAGUUUCCUCAAUCCAAACAAGCAUUGCAACCCCUCAAGGUAACAUACUCUCUAUGAAAUUAUUGCCGAUGAACCUACUUUUUCAUCUUAUAAUUAUCUCUGUUACUCUUUCAGCUGACAUAUUUUCAUCGGCAACUCCAGCUGAUCAGCCCGUAAUUCCAUCGGCUUCAACUGGUCAGAGGCGAGGGAUAGCUCUGAAACAAGUAAGUUACCUGAUUUCUACCCGUAUUGUUUACCAAUGCUUGAUCAUAGAAUAACUUAUUCUAUUUUCUUUUCUAGGAACAAGACUCUCCCGACAGCUUGUUCUCCUUUGCCAUCGACAUCUCUGAGGAUGAAGGCGAGGAGGCAAGUUCUUCUCGAGCAGUUGGAAUCACAUCGGCAGAAAUUAGGGCAAAACUAGAAGAAAUAUCGGCCCUCCUUCAUCAAGACACAGCCCAAUUGGUCGACGACUCCGAUCCGGCCAAGGCCUUGUUCAAGACCCUCAGAGGCCACAUUCCCGCCGAUGCCGAAGAAAUCCUUUUUCAAGCUGCACACCUAUAGAGCCGUCAGCUGUAGUACCAAAAGGCUGUCCAGCGUCUUGCCGAUAGAGCUGCUCACGCUCGGCUCUCUGAGGAGAUGAUGAAAGUAAAGCUCCUUGCCGAUGAGAAACACAAGAGCAUCGGCACUCUGGAGUCCUCAGGAGAUGUGCUGAAACAAAAGAUCUCUGACCUGUCGGCAAAAAGAGAAGCCCUGUUGGCAGAACUUAAACAGAUAGAAGAAGCCUUGUCUCAAGCCCAACAAGAAGAAAGCCAGCUGCCUGAAACGAUCAAGCUUCUUGAACAAGAGUGAAAUAUCCAAGCCCGCAAAGCACUGCAGAUGAAGAAGAAGCUUAAACUUUUAGGCAUCAACCCAUAUGCUUGGGUGAUAUUUCUUUAAAUACUCGCCAAUCAAUGCUCUAGGAAAUUCAACUCCUUCGAGAGUUUCUAAGAUAUAGGCAUUGCCAGGAGCAUAUCGAUUUACUCGAUAGGGACCCUCCCAAUUGGGAGACCACUUCCCAAAUUUUGAACUUUUAGUCCCGAUCGGUAAGAUUAGUUUCCAUACUAAGUCUCCAUCGGCAAACUCCUUAGCUUUUACCUUCUUAUUAUACCAUCUGGCAACUCUCUUCUUAUUUUCUUCUAUACUCAUCAAAGCUCUUAGCCGAUGCCCUGCUAGAUCAUCCAACUCGUCUGUCAUCAAACUAGUAUAAUCAUCGGUAGCCAAUUGAUCUUGAAAAGAUAGUCGCCUAGACCCAGCCUUAAUUUCCCAAAGUAACACUACAUCAUGCCCAUACACCAACUGAUAACGUGAAACCUUGGUCGAUCCAUGACAAGUCAUCCGAUACGACCAUAAAGAUUCAUUUAACAACGUGUGCCACCUCCUAGGAUUUUCUUCAAUCUUCCGCUUAAUAAGCUUGAUAAUUCCUUUGUUAGAUGCCUCGGCCUGCCCAUUAGCUUGAGCAUAAUAAGGAGAAGAGUUUAAUACUUUAAUUCCCAUACCGAUUACAAAUUCAUCAAACUCCCCUGAUGUGAACAUAGUACCCUGAUCGGUAGUAAUUGUUUGAGGAAUUCCGAAUCGGUAAAUAAUAUGCUCUUUCAAAAAAUCGAUCAUAUUGGCCGAUGUAACUUUCUUUAAAGGAAUAGCUUCAACCCAUUUGGUGAAAUAAUCAGUGGCAACCAAGAUAAACUUAUGUCCUUUGCUGGAUGGCGGAUAAACCUGGCCGAUCAAGUCAAUAGCCCAUCCUCGGAACGGCCAAGGUUUAACAAUGGAUUCAUAGCCGAUGUGGGUGCUCUUUGAACAUUGCCCAACUUUUGACAUCCUUGACACCCUUUGAAAUACUUAAAGCAAUCCUCAAGUAUAGUCGGCCAAUAAUACCCAUUUCUUCUGAUCAUCCACUACAUCUUAAAUGCCGACGGAUGUGCCUCGCACACUCCCUCAUGGAUUUCUCCUAUCAAACUUCUAGCCUCAUCAUCACCUAAGCACCUGAGAAGAAUCCCAUCAAAGUUCGACAAUAUAACUCAUCUUCAUGGAGCACAUACUUGGUAGCUUGAAACCGAACAUGUCUCUCAACUUCCUUGGAUGGAUCCUUUAAGUAAUCAAUGAUUUCUUUUCUCCAAUCAUCGGCACUGAUUGCCGAUACUGCGUUUAUCAUGGGUUGAUAUCCCGAGGCAUGUCGAGCCAACCGAUUGGCUUCUUCAUUAUGCAACCGAGGAAUAUGCUGCAAUCGGAAAUCCUUGAAUUCCUUUAAUAGUUGCAUACUCCUUUCAUGAUAAGUUAUCAAGACUUCGCUUCGGCAUUCAUAGCUUCCAGCCAACUGAUUUAUAACCAGCAUAGAAUCCCCGAAGAUUUCAACAACAUCAGCAUGAACUUCCCUUAGUAAUUCCAACCCCUUUAUCAAAGCUUGAUACUCAGCCUGAUUAUUUGUUGACGUGGCAACAAUCGGCAAAGAGAGAACUCAUACUUCCUUCCCCGAGGGGAAAUUAACACUAUGCCAAUCCCUGCCCCCCGGUCACAUGUGGAUCCAUCAAAGAAGAGCGUCCAAGGUACAAUUUCCAAAGUCUCCACUGUACCGCAAUGUUGAGUUACAAAAUCGGCCAUAAUCUAUCCCUUAACCGCUUUAGCCGAUUCGUAACGCAAAUCGAAUUCCGACAGUGCCAAAAUCGAUUUACCGAUUCUGCCACUCAUGAUCGGCAUAGAUAGCAUAUACCUGACCACAUCAUCUUUGCAUAUAACAGAGCAUUCGGCCGAUCGUAGAUAGUGCCUCAAUUUAGUACAUGAGAAAUAUAAGCAUAAACAUAACUUUGCAAUGGCCGAAUACCUGGUUUCAGCAUCAACCAAUUCCUGCUUAAAUAAUAAAUCACUCGUUCCUUCCCUUGAAAUUCUUGAAUUAAAGCCGAACCGAUGACCAUACCAUCGGUAGAUAAAUAUAAUCUGAAGGGCUUUCCUUGCUGAGGUGGAAUCAGAACUGGAGGAUUUACUAAAUACUUCUUGAUUUCAUCUAAGGCCAACUAUUGCUCUUUCCCCCAGACGAACUCUUGAUCGGCUUUCAACUUAAGUAGAGGACUGAAAGCAAGAAUUUUACCGCACAAAUUAGAUAUAAACCUCCUGAUAAAAUUUACCUUGCUGAUCAAUGAUUGGAGCUCCGUCUUGUUGGUAGGAGCAACUAUUUUGUUGAUAGCAUCAAUGGAUCUCCUACUAAUUUCAAUCCGCCUUUGAUGCACCAUGAAACCAAGGAAUUGUCCUGCCGAUAUGCCAAAUGCACACUUAUUGGGAUUCAUUUUUAGACCAUGCUUCCUUGUGCAUUCUAACACCUUUCGUAAAUCGGCAAGAUGCUUUGCGAAGUCUCCAGACUUAACCACUACAUCAUCAAUAUAAAUUUCCACCAACUUGCCGAUGAACUCAUGAAAUAUAAAAUUCAUAGCCCUCUGAUAAGUAGCACGAGCAUUUUUCAAGCCAAAGGUCAUGACUAUCCAUUCAAACAACCCAACAUGACCAGGACAUCUAAAUGCAGUCUUUGGAAUAUCUUCUUCAGCCAUGAAUAUCUGAUUGUAUCCUACAUUACCAUCCAUAAAGCUGAUGAUCCGAUGCCCAGCCGCAGCAUCAACUAGUAGAUCGGCAAGUGGCAUUGUGUAACCAUCCAUCGGCGUAGCUUUAUUAAGAUUUCUGAAAUCAAUGCACACCCGAAGCUUCCUAUUUUUCUUGUAAACCGGAACAACAUUGGAAAUCGACUCGGCAUACCGACACUGCCGAAUAAAUUUAGCUUCAAUAAGCUUGGUUAUUUCGGCCUUAAUAUCAGGAAGAAUAUUAGGAUUACAUCGGCGAGCUGGCUGUUCAUGUGGUCGAAAUCCAGACUUGAUUGGCCACCGAUGUUCAACAAUUGAUCGGUCCAAACCAGGCAUCUUAGUAUAAUCCCAAGCAAAGCAAUCUUUAUAUUCUUUUAACAAAUCGGUUAAUUGCUGCUUACACUCAGAAUUUAACUUAACACUAAUAAAAGUAGGUCUAAGCUUAUCACCACUACCUAUAUCUACUUCUAUCAAAUCAUCGGCCGAUGUGAAUCCCUGGCCUAAUUUUCCAUCAUCGGCGAACAUAUCCAUUAAAAACCUUCAUCAGAACCGACUUCUUGGAUCGGUGGAAUUUCAUAAUCGGCAACUUUGAGAAAAUCCUUUUCCCAAAUUUCUCCCGAGAUGCACCUAGUUCUUUCAUAGGUGUCUGCCUCUGCCGAUGCGAUGACAUAAGAAGAAUCCCCCGGGACAAUCUCAAUUUUGUCACCUACCCACUGGACCAAGCAUUGGUGCAUUGUAGAUGGGAUGCAACAAUUGGCAUGAAUCCAAUCUCUCCCCAACAGCAAGUUAUAAGUACCUUUUCCGCUGAUCACGAAGAAAGUUGUCGGCAAGGUUUUGCUGCCGAUGGUCAACUCGACGCAUAUUGCUCUCUUAACCGGAGACACGUUUCCCUCGAAGUCCUUUAACAUCAUAUCGGUCUUGGUCAAAUCUUGAUCCCCUUUUCCAAGCUUCCGAUAUACUGCAUACGGCAUGAUGUUGAUAGCGGCUCCACCAUCAAUUAAUAUCUUGGUCAUUGGCGGACCAUCAACCCUUCCUUUGACAAACAAAGCUAUAAGAUGCUGCCUCUCAUUGUCGGCAGGCUUUUCAAAGAUAGCCGUCAUCGGAUCCAGAGCCAACUGAGCUAUCUGGUCGGAAAACUCUAACUCCUCAUCAUCGCUGGAUGGUGUUGGAUAUUCUUAACAUCAUUACCAAAAGUAGACUAAGUUCUCUAAAUCUAGUAACGGUGCCAAAAAUGCUGAACCUAUCCCUCACACCACUUAAGCCAAGUUGUCAUCCCCAGCAUGAUAUAAGAGACGCGGUAUUGAAAUAUGCAAUUGCUCUUCUAAAUAAAUAAUGAAUGAGAUCUGUAAGCGCACAGAUUAAUACCGAUGUAGCAUUUUAACCGGGAAGUAUUCCAGGUAUCGUUAUUUAUAUUUUUACCACUGGGAAGGGAUUAACAAUCAUCAAUAUUGAUUACAGAAUAGAAUAUGAGAUUGAGUAUCUAUCAUUGCAUGUAUAAUUGAGAACAUUAUAUCUAACUCUUCAUACAGGGAUAAGUGUCACAUAAAAGAUAUAUGAAAUAAUAAUAGUGACAAGGAUAACUAAUCUGAUCUAGCCACAUAAUAAAUAUGAUAAGCACCUCAAUUAGAUACCCUAGAAAGUCAUUAGCAUGGUAUUAGAACGAACUACAAGAAUAUUCCCUAAGUUAUUCUUAACUAUAUAGUCUAGCAUAUCAUAGUUAGUGCAAGCAUACUUAGCAAUCAUUGCGAGACAAGACUACGCCCAUGCAUAGUGAUAUUAGCAAGGAAUAUGAGAAACAUAGCAAUCAAUCCCCUGUAAUAAUGUUGCUCUGCCAGCCCAAUACACGAGAGGGGGACUAUAUAAGAAUCAAUGAAGCUGUCACUAUCACGAACCACCCCACGAUCUGGCAUAUUGGGUACAAUCGCAGAUAAAUACGGUAUAAGCACCACGCCUACACAAUAUCUAUCAUUUACCCAUGGAUCCGAUGGAUAAACGCUAUACGAUCCUAAGCAUGUAUAUAGAUCUAAUCUAACUAAGCCAAGUACAUAACUAUGAUAGACUAAGAACAAUAUAAUCUUGAAUAUAAGCAAGUAGAGCAAAGUCAUAAGCAAUAUAUUGAAGUAGAACAAAGUCAUAUUCAUAAUAUUGAAAAACAAAGAUAAUUAGAAAGUAAUUAGAAGCACAAUUAGAGAAUUACCAAGAAUCCUCGUGACAGAUCCGGAAACCAAUCGAAGAUUGACUCCUUCUAGUUCUAAUCCUAUGUAGCUAUGCUAAUCUAGAUAUCUAAUUGAUGUGGUGGCUCUAAUCUUGAUCAGAGGCUUCUUCUCCCUUGAGGAACAAUGAAUUAGGGUUGAGAGGCUCUCUCCUCCAGGGGCCAGGGGGUCUGGUUUUAUAGUCCCUUCAAGUGAAUAUGGGCCGUUGGAUCAAACCGACAUAGAUUGUAUGGUUUAGAUUCAUCCUUUAGGUCAGUGGAGAUCUCCCGCAAAGUAGAGUCCUGAUUGGACUCAGAGGCAGGGCGGGCGCCCUGAUCAACUGGGCGGGCGCCCAGGGUCAGGCCCCGUUUCGCCUCCGCUUCGGUCUCGUGGCUUCUGGAGUCUUCUAGAUGUAAGAUAAUUGCGCGGCACGUUAAUAUCUCUAUGUAAUCCCGACGUGUGGGCCUUUCUUCCGUAUUUCCUGAUAACCCCCUGCAGAAAUAGACAAACACCAAAACUCGUGGAAUUCUUUCAGAUAAAACCCUAAGUCUAGAUGUUGAUUUCAUUUGGAUCCUUUUCUUUAUUUAUUUGAUAAUUAAAUUUGAUACUUAAGGACCGUCAACAAACUCCCCCAAGCUUACCUCUUGCUCGUCCCUGAGCAAGGAUAGACUCAGCUAUGGAACAUAAGUUGUUGCAAUAUUUUUUUAAAAUUGACGGUACACAUACUUUUAAAUAAGAUCUCAUCUCUGAGUUAGAGUAAACUGUCAAGACAUAAAACUUACUUACUUUACCUUCCACCAUGGGACUUGUAACCGUCACUUCUAUCUUGAGUAGUUAAAAGAUAGAACAGUCUAGUCAAGUGCCAUGUCUCUUAUUCUUGAUCAGCUAUAGCUCUGGGGUUUUUACAGGUUUUCAAAUAAAACUCAGAGAUUCCUUGUAUGAUUCUCUCAUAUCUCUCUUUUGUGGUAUUUCUGGAUCCUUACCUAGGCAGUGAUGGUAUAUGCCUUCACUCAAGAUAUGUAGUAUUUGUGGUAUAAGGCAUAGUGACAUUGCCUUCUCUCUCACCCUACUCUAAUAAGGCUUUAAUAUCUCGAGCUCAUAGGUGGGAGAUAAAGUAUACAUACUUACAAGACAUGUAUUGCAUAGUCAAACCAUGGAUCCAAAGUAACAAAUCAAUAAGCCAAAUCAAGAUGUGCAUGUGUGGCGAAUGAAUGAUGUAUGGUGAUGAUGGUGAUAACGAUGGUGAAAACAGUGGUGGUGGAAGUCUAAUUCUACUUAGCUCAUUGAGGGGAUACAUACCUUCCUUGCUUUUUGAAACUUUAUGAGGAGAAGGAGAUGCUCUUCUUUUUCUUUUCUCUCAGGUGGGUAUCUUGCACCCCUAAUUCUACUGCCGGACACUUGUCCAUUUUUACCUCUCGUCUCACUUUUUUCUUUUUCUUUCGAGGUUCCGAGCACUUGCUCCUUUUUAUUUCCUCGUAUUUUUUUUAUUUUCUUCUUUUUUUUAGAGCACUCAUCUCUUGAGAUAAUAUAGCAAGUGGUAGUAACAAGAUAACUUGAGCAUUUAUUUCACAAGGGAAAACAGAAAUAUUUUUGGUUAUUCUCUCCCGGGUUAGGAGUAGAAUAUUUUUGGGUGAUUCUGGAGAUGGAAUGGGUGGAUAUAUGUGGAUGGUACUUCUGGAGUAGAAGUAGCAUAUAUGAGUGAACGUGCAAGUGAAAUCUUGAUUUAACCACAUGACAAGUUCCUAAGGGUCUACACAGCUUGACCACACUCAAUGCUCAUAAGCAGUAAAUAG